This 143509-nucleotide long non-coding RNA is filed under the name Eutrema salsugineum. Its description in RNAcentral is "long non-coding RNA (ESAL_LNC000752)". The record is from RNAcentral. Lineage: Eukaryota; Viridiplantae; Streptophyta; Magnoliopsida; Brassicales; Brassicaceae.
AAAAAUUUUCUUUUCUUUUCACGAUGGCUGCUUCACCCACUACCUCCUCCGAGACAAUUGCUGUCUCCGACAAUGUCAACAUCCUCAAUGUCAAUAUGACAAACGUUACCAAGCUCACCACCUCGAAUUUUUUGAUGUGGAGUCGACAGGUUCAUGCUCUUCUUGAGGGCUAUGACCUCGCCGGAUACGUAGACGGAUCUGUCGUCGCACCGGCUCCUACAACCACAACCGAUGGUGUCACCUCUCCAAACCCUGCGUACAAUAUCUGGCGACGUCAAGAUAAACUCAUUUUCAGUGCAUUACUUGGAGCGAUCUCCAUGACGAUUCAGCCACUGCUAGGCAAAGCCACCACCUCCGCCGAGAUCUGGACAACUCUCACCACCAUCUAUGCAAAUCCGUCGCGCGGUCACACCAAUCAGAUCCGACACCAACUCAAACAAUGGAAAAAAGGGUCUAAGUCCAUCAACGAGUACGUUCAAGGAUUCACAAGACGUUUUGAUCAGUUGGCACUCCUCGGUAAACCACUUGAUCAUGAGGAUCAGAUUGAUUACAUCUUGGGCGGUCUUCCAAAAGAUUACAAGACCGUCGCAGAUCAAAUUGAAGGACGUGACGUCUCACCUUCGAUCAUUGAGGUGCACGAGAAACUCCUCAACCAUGAAGUCAAGCUUCAGGUCACUGCGCCAGCCUCACCGUCACUCCCGGUCACUGCGAAUACAGCACAUGUCAAACCCUCGGGUUAUAAUAACCCACGCGGACAGAAUCGUUCCAACAAUCGGAAUAACCAGACUUGGCAGCAACAACAGUUUCAACCUCGUUCUGACAACUCAGCUCCACGCGGAUACCAAGGCCGAUGUCAGUUAUGUGGAGUUCAUGGCCAUAGCGCACGCCGCUGCUCCAAAAUGCACCAGUCAGGUGGCUCUUACUCACCGUCUCCACGACCGUAUCAGCCCAAUACGGCUUCAUGGCAGCCUCGUGAAAAUCUGGCUGCUGCUGCACCAAGCACCGACAACAACUGGAUUGUCGACAGUGGCGCGACACACCACCUCACCACAGAUUUGAAUAAUCUGUCGCUGCAUCAGCUGUACAAUGGUGGAGAGGAAGUUACCAUCGCUGAUGGUUCUGGUCUCCAAAUCUCGCAUACGGGUUCCACUUUUCUCCCUACUCCAUCUCGUUCCCUCACUUUAAAUGAUGUCCUUUAUGUCCCUAACUUACACAAAAACCUUAUCUCUGUUUACCGUUUGUGCAACUCUAACCAAGUUUCGGUUGAAUUCUUUCCUGCAUCAUUUCAGGUGAAAGAUCUCAGAACGGGGGCCCGAUUACUCCAAGGCAGAACUAAGAACGAGCUAUACGAGUGGCCAGUCACCUCCUCAAAUACCGUAUCCAUGUUUGCCUCACCAACUCCAUAAACAUCUCUCCCUUCAUGGCACUCACGCCUUGGCCACCCAUCUCCACCUCUUUUACAAACCAUUGUGUCGCAAUUUUCUUUACCCUGUUCGGAUUCAUUGCAAAAACAGUUUCCUUGUUCCCAUUGUCUCAUCAAUAAAAGUCACAAACAACCAUUUUACUUAAACACUAUUACCUCGCACAAACCACUGCAAUAUGUGUAUUCGGAUGUGUGGAUGUCUCCUAUUGUGUCCUUGGAUAACUUCAAGUACUAUCUUAUACUUGUUGAUCAUCAUACUCGAUAUACAUGGAUGUACCCAUUGAAGCUGAAGUCACAAGUACGGGAAACGUUCAUUGCCUUCAAAGCACUGGUGGAGAAUCACUUUCAAACCAAAAUCGGAACUCUAUAUUCCGACAAUGGUGGAGAAUUUCUGGCGUUGCGAUCGUUUUUGGCGGAACAUGGCAUUAGUCACCUCACUUCACCACCACACACCCCGGAACAUAACGGGAUAUCCGAGCGCAAACACUGUCAUAUCGUUGAGACGGGACUGACGUUACUUCACCAAGCAUCGAUUCCGAAGACGUAUUGGCCAUUUGCUUUCGCGACGGCGGUAUAUCUCAUUAAUCGGCUUCCCACACCAGUGCUACACAAUACUUCACCGUAUGCCAAGCUGUUUCAACAACCACCAAACUAUCACAAAUUACGGGUAUUCGGCUGCCUGUGUUUUCCUUGGCUCCGGCCAUAUACGAAACACAAACUUGAAGAUCGGUCCUUACCCUGCGUCUUCCUAGGGUAUUCCCUCUCCCAGAGUGCGUAUCACUGCCUUGAUGUAGCCUCGGGUCGCAUUUAUAGCUCCCGUCAUGUCCGGUUCGUCGAAUCCACCUUCCCAUUUGCGAUGCCCCGGCCGUCAAAAUCACCACCGUUCGAACCAGAAAGUGCUGUCAAUGGCGAUGCUCGACCGACCCUUAUCCCAAUCCCCAAGCCACCACUCGUAUCUGCUCUGCUGCCUGCGCCCCUGUGCUCGGAUCCUCACCAGUCGUAGCAGCCACCGCCGCAACUCACAAUUGUGUCGGAGGAUGCUCCAACAGCGACGACGUUGGUGAAUCGUACUUCUCCCACGCACGAUGAUGACCCAACAAGAGAUCAGGUAAUGAAUUCUUGUGAUAAUAUUACAGGCCCAUUACUUGGCCCAAAUAAUAUCACUGUUGCACCAAACACAAACCCAAUCGACCCCAACCCACCAAAUCCCACAAACCGAGAUAAUCCUCAGCCCACUACCACUGAACCAUCGACAACCACACUUCCCCUGCAAAUUUCCACCAACCCGCCCCCAAACACUCAUCCCAUGACAACCCGUCGGAAAAACAAUAUCACCAAACCAAAAACCAAACUAAGCCUUACUGCCCAAAUCUCCAAUAAACCAGCCAUACCCAAAACUGUGGCCCAAGCUAUGCGAGAUCCAUCUUGGAGAAAUGCCAUGACCGAGGAGUAUAAUGCUCAAAUCCGCAACCAUACCUUCGAUUUGGUCCCGCCGAGGCCGUAUCAGAACGUUAUUGCGACAAAAUGGAUUUUUACACUUAAAUAUCUUCCUAACGGUUCUCUUGACAGAUAUAAAGCACGUUUGGUGGCAAGAGGAUUUAAUCAAAAAUACGGAGUGGAUUAUUCGGAAACGUUUAGUCCCGUUGUCAAAUCAAUAACCAUUUGUCUCGUUUUGCAAUUGGCGGUGACCAACAAUUGGUGUCUCAAACAGCUUGACGUCAACAACGCUUUCCUUCAAGGCACACUUACGGAUGAAGUCUAUGUGUCUCAGCCGCCAGGAUUUAUUGAUAAAGACCGACCACAUUAUGUUUGCAGAUUGCACAAGGCGCUUUAUGGACUAAAACAAGCACCACGUGCUUGGUACCAGGAGUUACGGAAUUUCCUUCUCCAACUUGGAUUUCACAACUCCCUAGCGGACACAUCUGUGUUCAUUGCCACACAAGGUACCAAUAUUGUCUACACUUUGGUAUAUGUAGAUGAUAUUGUCGUUACAGGAAGCAACCCUUCGGUUAUCACCACAUUCAUCACUAUGCUCUCUACCCGAUUCUCGUUAAAAGAACCCGUGGAUCUUACGUAUUUUCUCGGAAUUGAGGCCACAAGGACAUCCAAAGGUCUUCAUCUGAUGCAAAGAAAGUAUAUCAUCGACCUCCUGAUCAAAACAAAUAUGCUUGAUGCAAAACCUGUUGCCACACCGAUGAUGACCACUCCGAAGCUCUCACUUCUGUCUGGGAAUGUUCUUGAUGAUGCCAAUGAAUACCGCAGUGUUGUAGGGAGCCUCCAAUAUUUGGCCUUGACGAGACCAGAUAUCGCAUACUCUGUUAACCGCCUUUCACAGUUCAUGCACAGACCCACCGACUCACAUUGGCAAGCCAUCAAGCGCGUCUUACGAUAUCUGGCGGGUACGAUGUCUCAUGGGAUUUUUCUCCGAGCUGAUUCCCCGAUCACCUUACAUGCUUUCUCCGAUGCAGAUUGGGCGGGUGAUACCGAUGAUUUUGUGUCUACCAAUGCUUACAUUUUGUACCUCGGAUCCACACCCAUUGCAUGGUCCUCCAAAAAGCAAAAGGGUGUUGCUCGCUCUUCGACGGAAGCUGAGUAUCGCGCAGUUGCAAACACUGCUUCGGAAAUACGCUGGGUCUGCUCAUUAUUGUCCGAGCUUGGUUUCACUUUGCCGUCGAUGCCUGCCAUCUAUUGUGACAACGUUGGUGCUACAUCUCUAUCCGCGAAUCCUGUGUUCCACUCUAGAAUGAAACACUUAGCGCUCGACUAUCACUUUAUCCGCGACAACAUUCAAGCUGGAGCUCUUCGCGUCGCCUACGUUUCCACCAAAGAUCGGCUUGCCGACGCUCUAACGAAACCACUGCCUAAACCACGAUUCAUGGAGCUUACUGACAAGAUUGGAGUCACACAUGUACCUCCAUCUUGAGGGGGCAUAUAGAGAAUAGAUAUGGAAAGGCUAGAUUUGUAAAUACUUUAUACCUAAAUAUUGUGUGUAUCGUGUAUAUAUAUUGUACUCUCUAAUCAUCUAAGGAAUUAUUCAGUUCUCUAUUCUAUACUAUUGGUCUUCCAAAUGGAAAACAAAGCUUGUCUCGUGAAAAGGGAACAGUACAGUUUGAUGAUCAGUUUGCUCUUAGGGAUGUGUUGUUUGUUCCAGAUUUGAGAUGCAAUCUGAUUUCAGUUUCUCAGCUUGUUGCGGACUUAGACGUCGUGUUACAGAUUGCUAACAAGGGUUGUGUGAUCCAGGACCGUAUAACGAGAAACCUGAGUGGAGCGGGGGAGCUUAGAGAUGGUCUCUAUUUUUUUUCGUUGCAUUAAGGAAUUUCAAGCUUUGCAUAUGAAUAAGGAUGGAGCCGAGGAGGUGUGGCAUCGACGUCUCGGACAUCCGUCCAAUAGUGUUUUUGAUUUGCUUCCUAUUGUUGGCAGUAGAAGUAGGGAUUUUUCAGUUUGUGAUACUUGUUUGAAAGCUAAACAUUGUCGAGAAGUGUUUCAUUCAAGUGAUAAUAAAAGCGACGAACCUUUUGAUAUGAUUCAUUGCGACUUGUGGGGACCAUAUAGGAGUCCGACUUUGUGCAAUUCCUUCUACUUUCUAACUAUCGUGGACGAUCACUCAAGAGCAGUCUGGGUGUUUCUCCUUCAUGAUAAAAAACGCAAGUGAGACAAACGGUGAAGAACUUUCUUGCGAUGGUGAAAAGACAAUUUGAUAAAAACGUCAAAAUUGUGCGUACUGACAAUGGAACAGAGUUCACUUGUCUCACCUCCGAAUUCAGAGAACAGGGUAUUCGACAUCAGAUGUCAUGCGUCGGGACGCCACAGCAGAAUGGGAGAGUAGAACGAAAACACCGACAUCUUUUGAAUAUAGCUCGGGCGUUGCUAUUUCAGUCCUCGCUGCCAGUCCGGUUUUGGGGUGAGAGUGUGUUGACAGCAGCUUAUUUAAUCAACAGAAUACCUAACCGACUUCUUCAAGGAAAGACUCCUUAUGAACUGAUCUUUGGCACUCCACCAUCUUAUGAAAACUUGCGAGUUUUUGGUUGUCUUGCGUUCGCUCAUAAACAGCGAAGGGGUGGUGACAAAUUUGAAUCUCGAAGUCGCCGAUGCUUAUUUGUGGGUUACCCUUUUGACAAGAAAGGGUGGAAUUUGUUUGAUUUGGAAACAGAAGAGAUUUUUGUUUCUCGAGAUGUGGUGUUCGUCGAAAACGUGUUUCCACUUCAACAUGAAUGCCUCGAUGGACCUCAGGAUGUUCAUCGACAGGAUUCUUCUGGCCUGGACUUUCUUUAUGAUGCACCUGAAUCUCCAUCGCCACAAGUGAAUACCUUGCCUGCAAGGGAAAUGGCUGGCUCUGAGGAUGAGUCGCCAGCACAAGAAAUUGUUGUAGAAGAUAUGGCUGACUCCGCAGAAGAGUCACCACCGAAUGUGACCGCAUCAGAAGUCGACACUGUUCCUGCAGAGGAAAUGGAUGGAGCUCGUGCUGGAGAUUCAGUCGUCGUGAGUUCAGAAGAUAGAGGGCAAAUACAGACUCAGACUCUGCCUCUUGCUGCCGAUGAGCAACUUGGUCGCGGAAUGCGUCUGAAACAACGCUCAUCGAAGUUGAAAGAUUUUGUUAUGAACACUAUUUGCGACACUGAAGGUGUUGAUGGUGAGAUUGAAUUUGCUUUUGAAGAGAGUAUGGAUCAGACUAGCUUCCACCCGAUUUCUCAUUAUCUCGAUAGCAAGAGGUUCUCUCCAGCUCAUCGGGCAUUUCUUGCUGCAGUUAGUUCGGAAAGCGAACCAGUAUUCUUUCGAGAUGCUGUUGCUCAUAAAGUCUGGCGAGAUGCGAUGCAGAAUGAGAUGGGAGAAAUGGAUUUGAAUAAAACUUAUGACAUUGUUGAACUUCCAGAGGGAAAAAAGGCUAUUGGGUGCAAAUGGGUCUACAAGAUCAAGUAUCGCUCAGAUGGAACCAUAGAGCGCUACAAAGCACGUUUAGUGGUUCUUGGGAAUAGACAGGUCGAAGGCGUCGAUUAUACUGAUACGUUUGCUCCGGUUAUCAAAAUGUCAACGAUUCGUUUAUUUCUUGAAGUGGCUGCUGCUAAGCAAUGGGAACUACACCAAAUGGAUGUGCACAAUGCCUUCCUCCAUGGUGAUCUGGAAGAGGAAGUGUAUAUGCAAUUACCACCUGGGUUUUGCGCCGAGAAGAAAAACAUGGUUUGUCGUCUCCAGAAGUCUUUAUACGGACUGAAACAGGCUCCACGAUGUUGGUUUGCGAAGCUGUGUACGGCAUUGAUCGCUUAUGGUUUCAAACAGUCUUACUCUGAUUAUUCUCUGUUCUGUCGCAAAAAGGGGAGUACAGAGAUCUAUAUCUUGGUAUAUGUCGACGAUUUGGUUAUUGGAGGCAAUGAUACCAAGGAGAUUUCCGAUUUUAAGGCAUUUUUGAGCGAGUGUUUUAGAAUGAAAGAUUUGGGGUCUCUAAAGUAUUUCUUGGGGAUCGAAGUGGCAAGAAAUCCGGAAGGGAUAUUUCUUUGUCAGCGGAAGUACACUCUCGAUAUUAUUACUGAAGCUGGUUGUCUUGGAGCGAAGCCUGCCACUUUUCCGAUUGAGCAACAACAUCGUCUUGCAGUGUCAAAAAGUCCACUUCUUGGAGAACCUGCCAAGUAUAGGCGUCUGGUUGGCAGACUGAUAUACCUAUUGGCGACUCGUCCGGAUUUAGCUUAUGUGGUUCACAUCCUCUCACAGUUUAUGCAAGCGCCGAGGGAGGAUCAUUGGAAAAGUGCAUUGCGAGUUGUUAGGUAUCUAAAGGGCACUCCCGGAUAGGGGAUUUUGUUGAGGUCUGCGUGUGAUCUCCAAUUGCGAGGGUGGUGCGACGCUGACUUUGCUGGCUGUUUGUUGACUCGACGCUCUGUAGGUGCGUGGUUUGUUACUUUGAGAAACUCUCCUAUAUCCUGGAAGACGAAGAAACAGGAUGUGGUGUCUCAAUCCUCAACAGAAUCUGAGUAUCGAAGCAUGGCAAAGACAGUAGGUGAACUGAAAUGGCUGCGUGAUGUUCUUCUUGAUUUGGGCGUCGAACAAACGCAACCAAUGGAGCUGUAUUGUGACAGUCAAUCUGCUCUUCGCAUUGCUGCGAAUCCCGUGUUCCAUGAAAGAACGAAACACAUUGAGCGUGAUUGUCACACAGUUCGGGAUGCUUUACAAGAUGGUACAAUUGCGACAAGGAAGGUGCAUACGAAGGAACAACUCGCCGACGUCUUUACCAAAGCUUUGGGUCGGCGGGAUUUUGAAACGAUGAUUGGCAAGUUGGGCAUUUGGAAUCCAUACGCUCCAACUUGAGGGGAGGUGUUAGAGGAGAUCGAAUAUAGUGUUCUUGUUAAGGAAGUUAUUUGGUUAUGUACAAUAUCUUUUGUGUAUAUCUGCCUAAUCCUAUAAAGGCAAUCGUAUAUAUCGGCUUAGCUAAUUAGGUUUAUCGGCAUGUAUGUAUAUAUACCCUCUUAAGGGUUUCUCAUUGAAUAACACAGAAAAUUCCCCAUUGCUGUACUCUGUUUUACAGACAUUACAAUUACGAAAGACAUAAACUUAACUAAAAAAUCUAUAGGAAGAUGAAAAAGUCUUGAACUCGUCAAGCUCUAUCAAGAAAGGAGGCCACUCCGAUGGGAACUUUGUCAUUGAGAGAAAAUCCAAGCAAUCCAUCGCAAAGAUUUCACAGUCCACUCUGGAGGAAAUGAUGCAUCUCACCGCCCAAAUAAGAGAGUCUAAUUCUGCGUGUAAGGGGGAUAGGCUCUGGUUCAAUCCUCUGAGUCCAAGGAGAAUAGUUGGCGCUCCCAAUGAUACCACCCAACAAUGUCCACUAAGGGGAUCCCAUGCAUGCCACGAGCCAUCAAUAUGACAAACCGCUCGAUCCAAUGAGUGCUCACUAGAAGUCGUCUCUCUAGAGAUUGUUGCCGCCGGUCUCGUCUCAGAUGCAUUCGCAAUUCUCCAAACUUAUUCCUCAUGUUUUGUGUGCUCGAGGAUGUCAGGGGGAGGUUCGUCUAGAUUGUCAAAAAUCUUCUUGUUCCUUGCUUUUUAAAUGAACUACAUAAUCCAUGGAAAAACUCGAAGAUGCUCCUCACUUGUACCGAGAGUCCGAGCACGCCAAAAUAAGUAAUUAAGGUUCCUGAGGAUGGAGGACUGAGGGAAGAUGUUUGGAGCCGAAGGGAUCUCUCCUAAUGGUCAAACUUGUCUAGACAGUGGACAUUUAAACAAACAUGGUUUAUGGUCUCUUCCUCCGCUCCGCAGCUGGGACAAUCUUUUUUCCCUUCCAAUAUGUCGGGAAUAUAACCUCUGAUAUGUCACUACACAACCUGUAACACAUUGCCACACAAAAUGUUUUAUUUUUGUGUAGUUUUAAGUUUCCAUGCUUAUGCCUUUAGUACCGUGAUACUAGAACCCUGAACAGAGAGGUCACAAACUGGACGAGAUAAGGUUCUCGCAGCCUAAUAACCUGAUCUGACCGUAUAAUUUAUGGAUUUAGUUAGGGACCAACUGUACCCAUCUCUCGAGGCAUUUUGGCUCGGACAAAUCUCAAAAAUAAGGGUAAUUUCCUUAGGAGGAAAAAGCUCGCGGAGGCGGUCCAUCUUCCAUUGUUUAGACGUAAAAUCUACCAAAUAGUCUAUGUAUAAGAGUGGAUCUCUCUCCUCAAGUAAACCCUUGGGGGGGGAGCCGGUAUGAUUGGGAUCCACGACUCUGACCAGACACUAGUUCCAAUACCCGAUCCUAUAGUCUUCCGGAUCCUAGAUGCAAGUAGUGGCUUUGCCGCCAAAAUGCUUCGCCAACCAUAUGAGGGCUGAUUCGAGACAUUAAUGUCUAAAGGACUACAAUAUUUUAAGUACAUCCCCUUUAGGAACACGACAAAGCAAAGAAUCCGAGAAUUGAAGAAGGCCCAUAAUUGCUUAGCUAGAAGAGCUAGAUUGAAUUCUUCAAAUGUCCUUAAGCCAAGACUGCCUUCCUCUAGUUGAUCGAGACCACCCAGUGGAUUCCUCUACUCUCUGCUUUAGAGCUCCACCAGAAAUUAGCAAUCACACUCCUUAGCUUAGAGCAAAUGACUUUCAGGAGAAGAAAAGACGAUAUGACAUAUGUUGGAAUGGUUGGGCUUGCGAUUUUAUCAAUAUCUCUUUGCCCCCUCUCGAAGGCAAUUUAAUUAACCCUUUUCUGGAGCCUAUUGCGAACAAAGGCAAAAACUUGAGCCUUCGAUCCAUGGAGUUUUUCUGGGAGACCUAAAUAUGUUCACAUUCCUCGUUCUUGUAGUAUGCAUAUUGUAGCUUUGAUCUCUUGACGUACUUGAGUUGGGGCUUCAUUUCCAAAUAUUAUCGAUGAUUUCACAAAGUUGAUUUAUUGUCCUGAUGCAUCGUCAUAUGAGCGGAUGAUCGUCAUAAGAUGCCAUGCCCAGUUUGACGAAUCUGGAUCUAGAAAUCGCUCAAAAUAUAAAGCUGAUGAUUCCUAAUCGAUUGCGAGCGUUAACUGAUUUGCCUGCUGUUGCUGAGUAAAUGAUCCCUUCGGAUCUAACUGGAAGGUUUGGUUAAAUUUGACUGCAAAAUAAUUGUUUGUGAUUGUAAAAGCUGUUUCAUUGGGGGUGUUGUUGAUAUAUGUAUUGUUUUUGUUUCCACUUUUUUGAAUACUUGGUUUUGAACGUAUGGUUUGCUGAAUGAUUUUUUUUUUGUGAUUGUGAGAAAAAGAUUUAUGUAGUGCUUUUUAUAUCUUUUUUUUAUUUUCGUCUUCUUGAGUUGUGGUUAAACAUUUCAUAAUCAGUGAAUGAGGAUGAAGAAACCAGGUGGCAGGAAACAAAAUAAUCAAAUAGUAUCGUUUUCAAUUGUAUUGUUCUUUCUUAAACUUCUCUAUAUGUGCUCUGUUUUUGCUGAUCCUUUCCAACCGAUGUCAGAUCUAGCUCGAGUCCAUUUCAAUUUUCAGACUAUUGGCCCAACGGUUGGUAUUAAGACAAGAAGUUCAAAAUACAAUGUCGAUUAUGAAUUCCAACAACCACACUACCAUUCAGCAUCUAAACUAGUCGAAACCUAACUAUAUGUGACCUGAAACAUUGGAAAGUUUACUUUUAUUGGAAUUUUAAUUUUUUUUUCAUUCCGUUGAAAGUUCAUUAGAACUUUGGAAAGUGGCAGUUGGAAACUUAUUGGUUUAAAAAGAAACGAGUACAACACUUAAUAAAAUUCAGAUAGUUUAAUUCAUCAAGUUUUACAAUUUUACAGAUUAAUUUUUCAACUUUUAGGUUGGCAAUUUAAUUUUUCAAAUUUAUGUUGAUUUCGCGAAAUUGGACACAUAAAAAGUCAAUGCUAACUUAGAGAUUUAAAUUGCAUACUUAAUAGUUGAAAAAUAAAUUUGCCACUUUCAAAUACUUGGAGAAUUAAAUAAGCAUUUUCCCUUAUAUCCAUGCUAAUAUACCACUCUGCUGCCUUCGCUGUCUACACAAUCUGUCGCGGUGGAUGACAAUGGAUGCAUCUAGAAGAUCCAUGAAUGGCUUUAAUCAGCACGAUCCGACGCAGCCUCUAUUUUUGGCGCACUCCCUCUAUGUUAUUUCCUCCUCGACAUGGUUGUUGAAUCGCUUGUCAUCUUGGGUUUGAGGAAGAUGAAGUAAUAGUGUCAUGGGCAAAAUCAUCAGAAAUUGAUAUAUACGAUAAUCAAAGUCCUGGACGAACUAGUUUAACAAGUACCAGGCUGAUAUUAUUUUGGCGGACACUUGAAACAUUAUAUUGGUUUGACAGAUAAUUUACAUAAACAAAGUAGACAUAUGGUUUGUAUCUUCCAAUAAGACAAAAAUGAAUCCUAGGCCCUAGCUUUUAUUUUAGUUGACAGAAUCAAUGGACUGUUUUCUUAAAAAUCAUAUCAAGAACAUCCAUUAAACAACUAACCUAACUUUUCUAAUAAUUCGCCUUUCAAAUUCAAGACCAAUGGUAUCAUCAACUUACGUGAACGAAUUCUGUUUUUAUAUUUUAAUCACAACAUUACUUACCUCUACUGAAAAUGCUCAAAUCAUUUCUAAUUUUCUAUAGGAAAAGUACAAUAAAGAAAACACAGAGAAAUUCAGAGAGAACAGUCAUCUCUUUGUCUGAACACUCAGAUGAGAUCUAUUUACUUUUUCUUGGGGACCCAUCACAUACCUUGUCGCCCUUUGGUGUCUAUUUUAGAACUCGUAUACAUCACUUCUUUGGAUUUUAUUCUUUCCUACCAAAGACGUUGGUUGUAUUGCAACUACCAAAGAAGUUGUUUAUGGAUUAAGAUCAGGAACUUACCUAGGCGGUUCUUAGAGACUACAGGAAAAUAAAUAAAUAGUUUGACAUUUAUAUCAUAAAUUUACCUAAAAACGGCAAAUGGCAUUAGAGAUUCUAUUUAAGUAAGUUCAAAACAUACAUGACAUAAUUAAUGUAAAAAAGGUUUUCUAGAAGAUGCAUAACUAAUGAACUAUUUCUUAAUUAUUAGUUAGGAUAUUAGAAAUAUAAUUGAAAUAACUAGGAGAAAACUCGUACGCACGAAUCUUGUUUUACUUAUGUUUUUAAUUUUCUAGUUCAACUAUCAAAUUUUUUUUUUUGCGAUUUCCUUAAUAUUUUUUAUGACCAUAAUAAUCUUUUCUAUCAAUUAUUUUUAAAUUUUUUUAAUUGAAAUCUCAAUGUAGCAAUCAUUUUGAAAUUUCAAUCUAGCAAUCUCAAAACUUGUUCUUCAAUUGUCUAAAAUUCUUAACCUAUCUUUUUAUUUUAUUUUAUUUAGUAACUUGUUUUUUCGAUCAUUUUUACUUUCUGCAGUUUACCAUAUUCAUGUUUUGUUUUCAUAUAUUUUAUUGAUUCUAUUUAUUUGUUGUCAUAUUUUUUUCUUUUUUAUUUUGUCAUUUUUUUCUUUAUUUUUGAUAAUUUUUUAUCUUUUCGAUUGUUUAAUGAAUAUUUUUUUUUGUGUUUUGUGGUUUUCUAACUCUACUAAAUUUGUUCUUUAGUUGUUUGAAAUUUUCUUAAUCUAUUAUUCUUAUUUUUGGUUUUAUUACUUAUAUUUUUUUUUACUUUUUAUGAAUAAAUUAUCUUUGUUAAUUAAAAAAUAUGAAUAAAUCACAUAGAAAAAAGAGUAGACAAAACUAAAAUCUCAAAUUAUGUUUGUUUAUACAUUGUGAUGUUUAAUUUAAAUUUGUUUAUAUUAUUCUGAUAAUUUAUUAUUUUUAACAUAAUAAAAAUUAAAUUAAAUUUUUUUUAUGCAUUAAUAGUAGAAAUAUUUUUUUGUGACAUGUGUCACUCUUUCCAGUACUAAUAUAUCACUCACCUGGAGAGAGUUGAACAACUUUUCUAUAUACGAUAUACAGAGCAUAUAUUAGGGGGUGUUAUUCAAUCAUGGUUUUUAAUAGAGUUUAAAUCCAUCUAUAAUCCAUUGUUAUUCAAUAAUUGAUUUUGAUUUCUCCUUCAAAAUCCAAUAUUAUUGGUUCAUGUAUUUACAAUCUCUUCAUUAAUAGAGUUUAAAAUCCAUUGUUAUUCAAUUAAAGAGUUGAAUAAGUCAAUUAAAAUCUUAUGUUAUUCAUGUUUAACAGAUUCUGACAACUGAUUUUAAGUGAAAGAUUUUAACUGAAUUUGAACCUAUUUUUAUGUGUUAAAUAUAGCAAUCAAAAUCUAACCUUUUACCCUCAGAUUUUGAUAAUUAUAAAAUUCAACACAAAUAAUUAUUAACAUUUGUUUUUUUCUUUCUUCCCUCCAUAUAUUAAUCCAUCGAAUACAUCAUUUUUCAUCCCUCCAAUUUUUUUUCUUUUCCCUCCAUUUUGUCUUUUCAUUCUUCAUACGUCUUCCUUUUCCCUAGUCCAUUUCUCUCACCCUUCUCUCUUUCCAUAAGUCAACAAACCAUUUAUUAUUUAUUAUGAAAACUCAAUUUCUCACUAUUCUCUCUUUUCUUUAGCACAUAUUUAUCUCACUUCUCUUUCUCCAUAAGUCAUCAAAGAAAAAGUAAUAUCUUUCUGGAUUAGCAAUUGUUCUGAUUUUUGUUUUGAUUAUUUAAUUUAUUUGCCAUGUUUAUAGAGACUAGUGAUAUUUUUUACUUCGACGAAUUUUUUUGAGAAUUCUUUUCUAUUAGAUUUUAAAUGAUAGCAUGUGACUUUCUAAAUACACUGCUAAGUAAUUUAAAAUUUUAAAUAACUCAUAUACUUUAGAUUCUAAAUGAAUUAAAAAAUUUUAAAUCUGAUCUACUCUAAUCUGGUGGAGUUGAUUUCAACAUACAGAUUGAAUAACACCCCCUAAGUGUAAAAGAAUGGUUUUCUAGAAGAUCCUUAACUAAGGUUUCUUAAUUAUUUGUUAGAAUCUUAAAAUAGUAACAAAAAAAAAUAAAAUAAAAACGUAAAAUAGCAUUUCUACCCCAAAAAAAAAAACGUAAAUAACCUUCAAAGUUCUAACUGUAGCUUAUUCGGUCCAGUAAUUUACAAAAGGUUCAUUAAUGGUUUUAUAUAAAAAAAAUACUGUAACUUCAUCUUUUCUAUUAUAUGAUGGCACAUAUAAGAAUUAAUUUAGUUAUUUAUGUCAUCAAAGUGCAGAUCAUUUGUCUAAAGAGAAUAUUAGAGUUAAUUAGCUUGCUAAAAACUAGAGUAAUUUAGAAAUGAGUGAUCUAUUGAUAAUUUCUGACACUGUUGAUGAAGACAAAACACGGAAAAAUAUUAUGGUGAUAUACAGAAAUAGUAAACAAAUCUUACGUAACUCCCAAUGCACCGUCCGUCAGACAAAGAUAGGGUUUACAUGCCGAGAGAAGGCAUGGAGGUGCAUGAAUGGUGGUGAUCGGAGCAUUACAAAUAUGAAGUUCAAGUAGAACAUUAUCAGCGUGGUGCAAGUACAGAAACUCGUCGAAGUCUGUGUCAAAUACCAAACUUUACAUCACCAACAUAUAUAGAGCAGGUAAAACCAUCUGAUGUGGAUCUUUGUAUGCAGUAAAAUUAUCAGUUGAAGAAUUGUGCAUAGAAUUGUUCUUAGAAUUUGUAAUAAAUAAUAAUAACUCAGAAUGAAAAAAAACAUUCCAAGUAAAAUUUUCUUUCCGCACUAAAUACAAUCUUAUAUGUUUUAAUAGCCAUAUUUUGUUUAAAAUAAAAAUUGGUAAACAUUGCGGGAUCUGUAACAAAUCACUUUGUAUUGUAUACGUACACCACCUUGGUCUUUUUUACAUUUACUUAGCUAACUGGUUUAUAUACUCGUAAAGGAAUUACAUAUCAUUAUAAAUGCUAUGAAACUGUUGUUUUGCUUAAAUAAGAUUAAUCGAGGAGUUAUGGAAUCCUGUACAUUUUCUCGCCGGGAAUAUUUAUCUCCUUCCAAUCAAAAUCAAACUAAAACGGCUUAAAGACACAAUAUUUGGAGGGUCCGAGAACUCACCACUCACUCAAAAAUAACAUGAUAACAAAUACAUACCAUGAAAUUUAGAAGAUACAAAUCUCAUGCAUACACCAUAAGAUAAAUUAUACACUCUAUUUGUACGUACACUACACUAUAUAUUAUAUAUAUAUAUUAUAUAUAUAUAUAUAUUCUUAAUACGUAAGUUACGUAUAGAUGAGUAUAUAUAUAUAGAGAGAUUUAGAGAUGGAGAGUGGUCCAGUUUGAGUCUCUCGCUGACCGACUUGUAAGAGAGAACAGUCGUCGUGUGUGAAGGGAGAGAGAUUCCCUCUUGGCCAGCUUUCUUUUUGGUCUUAUCCUACAUGACUCUUUGCAACAGCCCAAAAGCUUACUAUCACAAAUAAUAAAAACAAAAUUAUAUUUAUUAAAAAUUUUACCGACGACCCCCCCCCCCAAAAAAAAACAAAACCUUUUUUUUAACUUUCUUGGAAAAUAUGUCCAUCCCAUUUUUCAACCCAUCAAACAAAUGAAAUAUCUUGCGCUCCAUAAGUAUUUGUGGGAUUUAUAUUGAGAAAACUAGUGUAAAAACAUUCAUCAAUUUGAAAUAAAGUUUCUACAUGUAUAUAUAAAGGAAUGAAUAUUUUAUGAAGCCAGAAUUCUUAUAUAUUUAUUAUAUAAAUUUGCAAAACAUUAGUUGAACUUCUUGUAAUUGUGUACUCUAUGACAACCAUAAGAAAACAUAUAUAGUCGUCGGCUUACAAAGUUAAAAAAUUUAUUUUUCAAAGCCUUAAAAAUUAAAAAGAAACAUAAAUUUAAGAUUAUAUAAUUCUGUCAAUUUGGUGUAUUCUUUAAAUUGUCUUUCUAUAUAUUGUACUCUUAAUAUGUAAUUAUUUACAUUCUUACUUGUUUUCUUCUUCAUAACUCUCUCUGUCUUCUUGCUCUCAGAUUUUUUACUUGAUUUAGUAGAGAACUGUGAGACAAAUGAAAGAGUGUUUCUGUAUCUCUCUCUGUCCAACUGUUUUGUCUUCUUACUUCGAAACUCUCUCUUCCUCUUUCUUUCUCUCUCUCUUCUCUCCCAACUAAACCAACAUGAUGAUGCCAGAUGAUCAUCAUCACCUCUCAGUCCCCAGCUAUGUCCUUAACCAAGAACACAUCACCCCAAAUCCUAACCCUAACCAUAAUACUGCCACCUCAAACUCAACCAAGAAGAAAAGAAAUCUCCCGGGAAAUCCAGGUAUGUACACUCAAUCCAAAUCUUGGACUUUUCAUAUAUUCAAUAGAUAUAUUUCUUGAUAAUUAUUUCUAUGUGUUUCAAUCAAGAACAAUGACCUUGUUCCAACUUCGGAUCCUUUUGUCUUGUAAUGUAUAUAUAUAUAUAUAUAUAUAUAUAUAUAUAUUGAUUUCCAUUUUUUCAUUUCCUUGUUUUAAUUUGGUAAACUAAAACAAAUUAACAAAAAAAAAAAAAAACAGAUCCAGAUGCAGAAGUCAUCGCUCUAUCGCCAAACUCCCUCAUGGCGACGAACCGAUUCAUCUGUGAGAUCUGCAACAAAGGAUUUAAGAGAGACCAGAACCUUCAGCUUCACCGGAGAGGCCAUAACCUUCCAUGGAAGCUAAAGCAAAGGACGAACAAAGAGCAAGUCAAGAAGAAAGUGUACAUCUGUCCUGAGAAGAGCUGCGUACACCAUGACCCAGCUCGAGCCCUCGGUGACUUAACCGGGAUCAAGAAGCAUUUCAGCAGAAAACAUGGAGAGAAGAAGUGGAAAUGCGACAAAUGUUCCAAGAAAUAUGCUGUCAUGUCCGAUUGGAAAGCUCAUAGCAAAAUUUGUGGUACCAGAGAAUACAGAUGUGACUGUGGUACCCUCUUUUCCAGGUAAUUUUGAAACACACUUUUCAAAGUAUAAAUUCUCUCUGAUUGCUUCCUUUUCUCUAUAUAAACCAACUGAUUUAGUUUGAGCUUCGUCUCAAGAUCUCUGGUUUGUUUAAGUAACGUUCUUGAUUUGGUUUCUUUGAUGGGUUAAAACAGGAAAGAUAGUUUCAUUACGCAUAGAGCAUUUUGUGACGCUUUAGCUGAAGAGAGUGCUAGAUUAGUCUCAACUCCCGCACCGGCACCUGCACCCGCUUAUUUGAACAAUGCCCCGGACAUGGAAGUCAACCUUGGAAACAUGAAUGCAAAUCCUCAAAAUCGACAACUGAACACUACAUCUUCUCAACUGGACCAACACGGUUUCAAUACCAAUCGCAAUAACAUCAAUGCCUUCUUGGGACAAACCUUUACCAACCAGCUUCCCUUACCAACAAACGUAUUCGCCUCCUCAUCAUCGCUUUCACCUCGUAGUGCAUCAGAAUCGCUUCAAAAUCUUUGGCAUGUACAAGGACAAUCAUCUCACCAAUGGCUCGUCAACGAAAACAACAACAACAACAUUCUCCAGAGGGGAAUCUCCAAGAACCAAGAAGAACAUGAGACUAAGAAGGGAAUUAGUAACGGUUCUUUGUUCUCUUCAGAAUCUCGCAAUAGUUAUACUCCAAACGGUGGACAAGUAAUGGCAUCCAUGUCGGCUACUGCAUUGCUACAGAAAGCGGCUCAAAUGGGAUCAAAGAGAACAUCAUCAAGCUCCGACAAUAGCACGGCUUUUGGUUUAAUGACUUCCUCCAUCUUCAACAUCAAACAAACGGAGAGUAAUGUAAAAGCUAAGGAAGUUGAUGAAAGAGGCUUCACCAGAGACUUUCUUGGUGUGGGAAGUCAACACCGUCCCUGGCAAUUAUUAAUGGCCAACCAUAAUCAUCGCGAGUCAUCUCCUCCGGCAAGAACCAACGGCAUGAAUCAGUAAUCAGGUAAAUUAAACUCGUUGUUACAUGUAUAUGAUUGUCGUCAAUAACAUUUUGUUAUAUGUAUCUAUAAAUGAAUUUGAAGAAGAUUUAAGAAUCCUCUGUUUGUAAUAUUUUGUAAAAGCAGAAACUAAUCCAAGUGACGAAGAGUGUACAAAUCAACCACGGCAGCACAAAACGAAGAAAACUGUGAAAGAUGAUGAUAUUCCGAGUCGGAGAGAAUCUCUGAGUUAACUCGGUGCUGCAGACUGGGUCCUCGCGCUUGACGAAGAUGGCUAUUAGGGUCCACUCCUGCAUGCAUGGGGAAACUUCUGACCAUGCAUGCACAACAAACCAUACGCUAUGUCUUUUCCUAUUCUUCUUUUUCUUUUCUUGUAACUAUUUCAUGACUUUUAUUUUGAAAGAUUCUAAAAGAAACGAGGACAAUGUUUGUACGUAGGUUAUGUUAAAACUUUAUGUAGAUGUUACAUUUUUUUCCCCUGGUAAAAGGUUAAGCUUGUUAAAACUUUUUCUUAUAACCAUAAGUAAGUUAACCUCUAAUUUUUUGGUAGUAAAAUUAACAUCAAAACCAAAAAAUAUAUAUAUAUACAGUAGCGGAUCUAUAAAAAAAAUAGUUGAAAACAUAGAUUUAUAAAAAAAAACAAAAAAUUAGUUGGGGGUAAUUUAUUUAUUUUUACUAUUAAAUUAAAAGUUUUUGAUUAAAUUUAUUUAAAUUAUUUAAAAAAGAUAUAAACAGUAAAGGGCACUUGACCCAUUGAAUUUUUACUACCUCCUCCCCCUAUAUAUAUAUCUAAUUGUUAUUGCUUUAGAAUGAGUUACGUUAUACUGUUAUAAAGAGAAAACAACGGUUAAACACAACGAAGAAGCAAAGAGUGGAUGGCCUCUCACAUAUUGGAUAGCAUUUGGUAUUUGUGAGACAUAAGCUCAUCAAACUUAAGGUGGUUUUUUUUUUAAUAACUGUAGGUAUCCCAGAAACUGUUUAGGCCCAAAAACUAAUCCCAGAAGACCUUGCAUUAGGAUACACAUUUGGAAAUAUUUCAAAUUUAAAGUACAGUUAAGUGGUUAAGAGGACUCGAACCCAUGACAUGUUAACCAGAAUAGGUUUUCUCUUUAUCUACAUGUUAACCAGAACAGGUUUUCUUAAUAAUACAAUCGGUGAUACCAAGACGGUCUUGUUCCAGCUUCAAUCAAAAGUUGUUUUAAAUUCAACUAAAAGUUGUUAGUGAAAUCUUUAUUGUCUGACAUUCAGAAAAUAUUUUUCAAUUGAAAUUGGCAAGAGAAAUAUAAUGUUAUAAGAAUUUCAUAAAUUUGUGAUGGUGAGAUACUCAUGAAUUUUUCAAUCGGAGUAUCUCAUGAAUUUAAUACUAAUAUUUUAAGAAUAAUUUUUUUUUUUUGAGAUAUCCAGCAAAUUUUUUGCCUCCAUUAAUGAGAUAUCUAAAAAUACUUUUCACAUAAAUAUUUUAUUUUCUGUCAUUUUUUUAAUUGAAAUUGGCAAGAAAAAUAUAUAUAUAUAGGCCAUGUUCGUUUUUGGAUCUAGAUGUUGCAUCUAGAUUUUGCAUAUAGAUCAGCAUCUAGAUACAACAUCUAGAUAUUGUUUGUUUUGGAAACUAGGUUUUGCAUCAAGAUGCUACGUUUAGAUAUUAAAUUGUUCGUUUGUAAAUUUAGAAAAAUAGUUGGAUGCAAAAUAUAUCAAAUGAAUAAAAAGAACAUACUUUUGAAUUAAUAUUUUUUAAUUAAUGAUGUUUUUAUUAAAUUAAGUUUUAAAAAUAUAUAAAAAUAUUUUUUUUUGCAUUUUUUUGUGGGAAAACAUGAUUUUGUAUAUUUGACGCAAAAAUUUUUUACCGAAAUUUUGAGUUUUUGAUAGAAAAUCUAGAUAUCAUGUUUUUGGCAGGAAAUCGAGAUUUUGCGUUUUCGGCGAAAAGCUGAGAGUUUUUGUUUUUGGUGAAAAAUCGAGAUUAUGUGGUUUUUGGCGAGAAAUCAAGAUUUUGCGUUUUCGGCGAGACACCGAGAUUUUUCAUUUAUUGGCGAGAAAUCGAGAUUUUGCGUUUUUGGCGAGAAACAAAGAUUUUUUUCGUUUAUGGCAGGAAACCGAGAUUUUUCAUUUUUGGCGAGAAAUUGAUAUUUUGCGUUUUUGGCAAGAAACCGAGAGUUUUCGUUUUUGGCGGGAAAUCGAGAUUUUGCAUUUUUGGCGAGAAACCUAGAUUUUCCGUUAUUGGUGGGAAGGAGAUUUUGUGUUUUUUGCGGGAAAUCGAGAUUUUGCGUUUUUGUCGAGAAACCGAGAGUUUUUGUUUUUGGCGGAAAAUCGAGAUUUUGCGUUUUUGGCGAGAAACUUAGAUUUUUCGUUUUUGGUGGGAAAUCGAGAUUUUGUGUUUUUUGCGGGAAAUCAAGAUUUUACGUUUUCGGUGGAAAACCGAGAGUUUUCGUUUUUGGCGGAAAAUCAAGAUUUUGCGUUUUUGGCGAGAAACCGAGAUUUUUCGUCUUUGGCGGAAAAUCAAAAUUUUUCGUUUUUUUGAGAAAAAUCGAAAAUUUUUUUGUCUUAGCAGAAAAUCGAGAUUUUGUGAUGUUUGUGGAAAUCGAAAUUUUGUGAUGUUUGUAGAAAUCAAGAUUUUUAUUUUAGUAAGAACAUUAAUAUCUUUUACAUAAACUAGAUGCAAACGUUGUAUCCGAACUCUCUAUUUCUCAGCAUCUAUAAUAUCCAAAUUUUUGAGAUGCUAAUCAAUUUGCAUCCAAAUGUUGCAUCUGAACGCAAAUUGUUUUGUGAAAAAACGAAUAACAUUUAGAUAUUUGCAGCUAGAUGCAGCAUCCAGAUACAUAAACAAAUAGGGCCAUAAUAUAAACAGUUUUAUACUUCAAAUCACUUUUCUACUUUUUAAUUACAGAUAUAUUAUUUUCUACUCUUCGAUCACUUUUUUCAAUUUUUAGAUAGUGCAAAUAAAAUUCUCUCCUUCUUCUAUUUCUAAACAAAUAUACUUUUUUGAGAGAAGACACAUUUACCCUAUAGUGUGAUGUUUUGACUAUUAUAUCCAUUUUUUAAAAUGAUAAUGACUCUUAUCUUAUUUCUUUUCUAUUUUAUUUUUAUUUAUAUCACAUAUCCUACAUCUUUUUGUUUUUUUAUUUAUUUAUUAUAAACAAAUAUAUAAUCUAAUAAUUAUUUUUGCACUUUCUGUUAUAUUUCUUUCACUACAAAAAAAUAUGUCAAAUUUUGACCAUAUUUUUUUUGUCAAAAAAUAUAUCGACAAAAUUUUGACCAAUAAAUGACAGAUACUGAAUUGGUCGAUAAUUAGUCAAAAAUUUUUGACCAAAAUGUAUGGUUGAUUUUUCAUCAAAAUUUUUCGACAAUUUUGCGAUUGUUGAUAGAAACGAUCACAUAUUGGACACAAAAUUUUGACAAAAUUUAACUGAAAAAAACUGGUCAAAAAUUACUGACUAUAGAGCCAUUAUAGAUGUCUGUAGCCAUUUCAAAGUUUUUAUUGACCAUAUACUAACAAAUUUUAAUUUUGGUCAAAAACGAUCAAAAGUAAUAUAAAUCCCACAUCAAAAAUAAAAAUAAAAGUGGUUUAACAUGUUCUAUAUAAAUAAUGCUACAUUCUGAACAAAGUAUAAAGUGUUCGAACUUAUACCAUUGGGCUUCGAAAGGCUCACCAUUAAGUUUAAUUAUAUAUCUAAUUAAUCUCUAACUUUUUUAAUAUAUAAUUUUUUUAAUAUGUUAGAUACUAAAAUUCAUCAUAAAUUUUUGACCAAUAUUUGGUCAAUAUUUUUUGAAUAAUAUAUUUGGUCAAAAGUGUUUGACCACUUUUAAUUCGUCAAAAAUUUUUGACCAAUGUAUUUGGUUAAAAGUUUCUGAUCAUUUUUAUUUGGUCAAAAAAUUUUGACUUAUUUAUUAUCGACGAACAAUUUUUAUCAACCACUUUUUGGUCAAAAAAUAGUCAAAAACACCUGUUUUAACGGAUUUAUAACUGUAAUGAUGGUCAAAAUAUGACAUAUUUUUUGUAGUGUUUUUUUUCUCUUUAUUUUGAUACCAUUUCACAAUUUUUUACUUAUAUACGAACCAAAAAUUUUAGAAGAAACUAAGCAUAUCCAUAUAGUUGAAUAUAUGUGUGUCAUAUUCUUGUGUAUACGCAUGUAUGUCCAUGUAAUUGCAUCCAUAUGUACCAUAUGUACGUGGAUACGUCUACAUAUCAAUAUAACUGCAUCCACGUAUACGCAAGUAUAUAGAGACAUAUACAUUUUAUCUAUUGAUAGUGUAAACAGAAUUGUUAAAUUAUUUUUUAUAAGAAAAAAUAAGCAAAAUAAAAUAUAUGGGAUAUAUGAGAUAGAAAAUAAAGAGAAGAUAGGAAAAUGGUAGGAAAACUAAAAAACACACCUACUAAUGAUGAAGGGUGCCCCAACACAAGAUGAUGAGGGUUUUUUGCAUCAUUUACAUUAUCUAAAAAUUGAAAAGUGCUAUGAUAGUAAAAAACGUAUUCAGUAAUUAAAAAACAAAAAGUGAUAUGGACUGUAAAUAACUCUAUAAUGUAAGCCCAUUAGGCACAUGUUCAUUAGGCUCUGAUUGGCAAUGACUUACUUUCUCAAAAUAUUUUUUUUUUCAGAGCUGCUGUCGCCGGUUUGCUCUCCCUCACUUUUUUUGUAGUUUUCUUCAGCUUCAGCGAAAUAGUAAACACUCCUUUAUUCUUCCUCAUUCCUCGCUGGCAACUUGCUUACUCAAAAUUAGGUUUUUUCAUUUUCAGAUCUGUUGCUGCUGUUGUCGCCAGAUUUUUCUUUGUUGCCGCCUGCUACUUCUUCCUUCUCCUUUAGAGUUUAGGUUUCCUGAGUUUUUUUUAUUAUUUCAAUUUUUUGCAGACUUCUUUACAAUUUUCAGACCAAUGUUGUAAACUUCUUAUGUAGUUUUUUUAAAAAAUUUCAGACUAUUGAUCAUGAACUUUUUUUGAGUCAUGCAUUUGGUUAUGAACUUAUUUUGUGUAAUGAUCAUAAGUGUACUGGUAUGUAUAAUGGUCAUCAAUUGUAAUAAUCAUCAAGUAUGGUGGUCAUCUAUAAUAAUGGUCAUGAACUUGUUUUGUAUCUUUAUCAAGUGUGAUACUUCUUAUGGAUUUUUAGUACACUUCUUAUGGAUUCAAGUAUACUUCAUGUAGAUUUUAGUAGACUUCUUUUUAAAUUUUAGUAGACUAUUUUUUAUUAUAGGAGUCUUCAUUUGAAUCUGGUAAUGAGUAAGUUAACUCCACCAACUCAGUUUUCUUGUCCAGAUUACAAUCAUCUUGUGCCAUUCAAUAAGUUUUUAAAGGUACAACCAUCACUCAAAAAGAAUAUUCUUCCUCCUUUGCCAUUAUCUACCACAAAAUGCCACAAAUUUUUUUCCAUAUUCCAUUCUCCAUAAAUAACAGGUAUUUGAACCAUUCUCUGUUAGAAAAUACAAAAAAAUUAUAUUAGCAAACAUAAUUAUGAACUACAUUAUUACAAACACAUAAGUAACAGAUUUUCUGUAUAGGAGACUUCGUUUAAAGCCUUCGUUGAAAUCUACUUCUUCCUCCUUUGCCAUUAUCUACCACAAAAUGCCAAAAAUUCUCUUCCAUAUUCCAUUCUCCAUAAAUAACAGGUAUUUGAACCAUUAUCUGUUAGAAAAUACAAAAAAAAUAUAUUAGCAAACAUAAUUAUGAACCACAUUAUUACAAACACAUAAAUAACAGAUUUUCUGUAUAGGAGACUUCGUUUGAAGCCUUCGUUUGAAGACUUCAUUGAAAUCUACUUUUUCAAGCUAAAGAGUUAUUAAAUCAAGAAAUUUGAUUCGUUCAUAAAUAUCAACUUAAAACAAAUCAAACGCAUUGAGCAUUUAAGACAGUAACUAACACACAUGCCAAAACCUAAAAACCUGAAAAAAUCAUUAUAAUUUUUUUAUAAAAGCGUUUUUAAAAUAAUUAUACCACACAGACUUCUCCUGAAGAUUUGUAUGUAGAUUUCAGAUGAAGCUUGCAUACUCCAUUAGAAGUAUGCCAAAAAAGUCUGCAGGAAAACAAGUUAUUUUAUAUUUGACCAAAAUGUUCACUUUAUAAGAGUAGACAUCACCAGUAGAAAUCAGAAGAAAAAUGUUAGUUUUGCAUUUGACCAGAUUUUUGACUUUGGAGUAGCUUUAGGUGAAAUCUGCUACUUUAGAGUAGAUUUCAAUAGAUGUUUGUGAAUGAAGUUUGCAGACUUCUACUGAAGUCUACAGGAAAAAAAAGAUCAGUUUUGCAUUUGACAUGGUUUGACUUUUCAGAGUAGACUUCAGGUGAAAUUGGAGACAAAAUGGAAAAAUUAUGAGGUUAUGAGUUCUGUUAUUGAGUAAUUACAGCUUACAAAAUCGGUUGAAAACAUUUAAGGUUCAAAGUGGUUGAUAAUAGUGAUUGGAGAUACUGUAAAAUAGCAUUUUCGUAGUUAAGUAAUUGUUCUGGGUUAAUUUUGUCUUUGUGUUAUAAAUAAGAAAAAUCAAAAUAUUAAAUAUAUUAUACUGUUACGUGAAUAUAUGUAAGUAUGAAAGAUAAAAUAGAUAUAAAAUGGCAAACUUAAGAAGGAUAGAAAAAAAUGAUUAGUCUUGUGUUUGACCAUAAAUCUUAGGUUAUUUCAGGAAAUUUUCAUUUAUUUUUAGUCCGUAACUAUAAAAAAGUUUGGUUCUAAAACAAUGACUGUGAAUUUGAAAAAAAUAAAAUUAAAAGCCAUAUGUUUAGGUUUUUUUUUUAAAACACCAAUUAUGUAGAAAAAUAGGAAACGGCUUAAAAAAACUUUUAAACCAAAAAGUCUGAUUGACUAAUUAAUGAAUUUUAACACUAAUUUUUUUAGAAGCACGUACAGUUUUCAAAUUUUUUUUAAAAGCAUGUACAAUUUUUUUUAGUAUUUUAAUCAGUAAUUUAAUACACAUCAACUAGAGAACAAACAAUUGAACAAAAUAAUUAACCAGCAGAAAGUGAAAGAAAUCAAAUCUAUUUGGUUCAGUUCCGUACAAUCAAAAUUAUGUACCUUGCUGGCGAAGCUGAGAAAUUGUGAUAAAUGUCGUUUCUAAAGGUACAAAGGUAUAAAGACGAAUGGAUUCAAUAUAUGUAUUUUUACUUAUCAAGUAUAUGGGUUAGUCCUAUGUGUUCUUAGUUUGAUUCCCAGUAGAAGGGAUGUUUUACGUUAUGUCAUAAAGUAUUUACUUCCUGGACCAUGGAGGAUUAAGGCCCAAACCUGAAUCUCUCCUAAUUAACAAACAAAAAACUUCUAUAUUUGUUUUAAGAAAAUAUAAUUUUGAAAUAUCAUAAAAUCUAUAUAGUAAUUGUGGUAUAUAAUAUAAUAUAUAAUAACACCUUUUAGUUCUACAUAUAACACAAUAAUAACUUUUUUUUUCUUUUUUUAUCAGGCUUUCUUUAUAAAUAAAUUAAAAUAAAAAUUCUAAAAAACCAGAUAAAAACCAAAAGAAAUCGAGAAAAAAAGAGAGAUUGAAAGAGUACAAAACAGAAACUCGUUUAGUGGAAGAGAAUCAGUUUGCCAAAAGGCCAGAAGAGUCGACCCAAACUUGGAACCUGCGAGGGAUAGAGUCGUGCACUUAUCAUGCAAAUAAAAGAAAACCAGAGAGGUAAUCUUAGAAAAUGGAAGAGGCAGACCUUGAUGGAAUCUUCUAUUUUGCUUGUGCCAUAUUUCAUAGAGACAAACAUUCAAACCUUCAAGUAAUGCAAGAGAUUGGUUUGGAUCCGUAGAAGCCACAGAGAGCCAAAGGAGUGAGAGAUCCCAGUUCGUCGAAGGCCCGAGGGGUCCAUUCUUAGAGCACACCGAGAACCAAACUUCUUUGGAGUGAACACAAUUCAAGAAUAGAUGAUUGCUCAAUUCAACAUCAAGACCACAAAGCAGACAAGUGCUUUCCACAUAAAUCCCUCAAGAAGAUAGUCUAACCAAAGUGGGAUUCCGAUUAAGAAUAAACAGCCAAACAUUUGUAGCAUGCCGCAGAGAAACCACUUUAUGCCACAUCGGAGAAUACCAAGAAACCUCAAGCCUAGGUACACGCAAACUGUUCCAAAUGGCUUUUGAAGAGAAGCGCCGAUGCGAACAUCCAUAAACCGACCACACCCGAUAAUCGCUGGCAUUGGAAAGCAAAACAGUUGAAACGAAGGCAUAUAGCUGGAGGCAUUUAUAAGACCUUGCCGGAGGGAGACACCAGCCAAACAACGUUCAGACGUCACCAACCACAACGAAUAGAGGAAAGCCUAACCUUUGCGGUGCAUCAGGACCUCAAACGUGAUAGAGGGAUCUGAAGAGAGUCCAUGGAUCCAACCAGAAGAAAGUAUCACCCCCCUUAUCCACACUAACUAUCAGAAACUUGAAAGCUUUGAGUAAAGCUUUAAUAACUUUCUAAACAUCCACGAGAAGUCAUAGUUCCUCUCGUUUAAAGUCUAGAACAAAGAGUGAGAGAGAUAUUUUGCUCUGAUCCAGGCUACCCAGAUAGAGCCAGCCCUGAAGUAAAGCAUCCAGAUGAGCUUCAAACCACAAGUAUCCAUCCAGCCCACUGUAGUUUACAGGCCCAAACCACCCUCCUUUUUAGGAAACCAAAUAUCAGACCAUGACACCCUGGCUCCGGUGGAUUUACCCGCAUCUCCAUUCCAAAGGAAAGAAGAAGAUAACGAAUUGAUAAGCUUGAUAACUCACUUUGGUAGGAAGAAAGCUGACGUCCAGAAGCCCAGAAGAUCAGAGAUACAAAUGAUAGCAAGGUGAUACGACUGGCAAGACUAAGAAAUCUGGUCAUCCAGCCAUUAAUCUUUCGACAAAAUUUGUGCUAAGAGAGGGUCACAAUCUGCCACAAAGUGCCUCUUAGAGCACAAAAGGAGACCAAGGUAACAAAUUGGCAAAUCCACCUUAAAAAGAUGAAACUGCUGAAAUAUUGUGACAAUCAGGAUGAAGUCCAAGCCCACAAAACAUCGAGGUUCUCGAGAUAUUAAUCCCAAGUCCCAAGAUAUAUUAAAAAGAUUCAAUACCGAGAGAGCCCCUGCCAAAGACGUUGCUGUUCCAUCAAGAAAUAUAAGGAGGUCGUCGGCGAAGGACAAGUGAGUAAGCUUUAAACUCUUGCACCUAGGGUGGUAAUUGAACAGACCAGUCUCUGCUGCUUUGUUGAGAAUAAGUGACAUGACAUUCAUAAUCAACACGAACAUGUGAUGACACCGUAUUUUUACCACUUUUAUGGAUCAUUUUGAAAUACUUUUUCUAUGUUUUUAAUUGCUUUCAAGUACUUUUACUAUGUUUUUCUAGUAUUUGUAGUUCCAAGACUCUUUUCAGGAAAUUUAGGGAAAAACUUAACAAAAUGGAUAGAAGACUAGAUUUUCAGCUCAGAGUCAAACCGUCAGAAGUUCACCCCCGAUUGAAGGCCUUCUUACCGUCUGAUUCAGCUCAAAUUUGGUGAUCUCAAAGAUGGAAGUAUCAGCUUUCCAGCACACUUUACACCUUGGCAAUCCAACGGUUCAAUCAAAAGAUACGCGAAGAGCAAGAUGUCCCGUAAACCAGUCGGCAAGCAUUUCCACCCGCGGCCAACAGCCAUUUCACCAUGGUCAGAGGCUACCCGACCGCGGUCAAGCACCCAUUCCCCGCGGUCACGCACUUCCCGACCGCGGCCAGCCAACUCCGAGUUAGAAGGCCCAUUUCUGAAGCCUAGAUCAUUUUCUCAGCCUCAAUUCCGGAAUCCUAGACACCAGAGAACAUUGAAGACUAUAAAUACUUAUCAUUUAGAUCGUUUUUAGGAGAUACGAAAUACUUUACAAGAAAUUUUACUUUAAGCUUUUGUUUUUAGGUUUAGGGAGAGAGAGAUCCAUCUCUUGAACCCUUGUUCUUUCUUUUCCAAUUUUGACUAUUGCUAUACUUUUUAAUAUUAUGUUUUUGAUUUCGUUCAUCAUGUCUGAGUAGUUUCAUUGUUGGAUCAAGGGGAUUUUCGAUGGGGAUAAUAUGUUCGAUGAAGAUUCCAUGAGCUAUUGAAGCCGAAUCUUAGAACUUUUUCUUCUGAAUUUAUUUUUACUGCAUGAGAGUAGCGUCAUGAACUACAAUCUGAUCCAGAUGUUUCGUGACACGAAAGUGUUCAUACGGUGUCAGAUCUAGUUUGGGAGAGCAAAACAAACAUAGGAGUGGAAACCUACCUAUGGGCGAUUUGUGAAUGCUGACGAGUCUUAAACAUAAUGCAUCUUUCUCUUCCAGGGCCAUAGUGGAAAUCUACUGGUCAGGGUUGAGAGAGAUAGUUAUCUAUGAUCACGAAAGUGGCGUAUUCAUACGUCCAUGGCUCUAGUUCAAAAAGUUUAAGCUAAGAUCUUAUCAAAUUUACUCUCUAGCAAUGUUUUGAAUCGUUCAUACCCCGGAAAAAACUUCCCUGAAACUCAGCGCUUUAUUUUCUAUAGAUUUACAUCGAUUUUAUUUCAAGCUUUAGUUCAUCAUUUUCAUUCUCUUAAUCAUUUUUCAUUUAAGCAAUUAGGUUUAGCCAUUUUUCUUGUUUUUAGUCGAUUUCGUUUAGUUUAGUGAUUAAGUCAUUUUAAUUUCCGUAUUUUCUUGUUAUAUUAGUUUUUACGUUUUAAAGACACCACCAAAACCCUUUCAAAAAUCGCCUAGUUCUAGACUUCCUUACUUUAAUUUUUUUCAAAGGCUUUUGCAGGAAAGAUCCUCCUUCCCUGUGGAUUCGAUCCCUAAGUACUACAAUCGAUCAGCUGUGCUCUUGCGGCUAUUGAUUUCAUUUAGGGUAAAACUUGACACUCUCACAAAUAACACCUGAUUUUGACAACUUUUAUACAUCACUUUUAAUAUCUUAUGUAGGUGUUUUCACUCAUAUUUAAAGGUUUUUAAGUGAUUUCUAUGUUUUAGAAUCUCAAAAGAGUUUUCAGGUUAUUUUGAUAAAAGAAAUGUACUUGGGAGCAAAAAGCAUAACUUUGGGUAAAUUCAGACCGUCGGAAGUUUGGUAACAAAACGAAGGUCUUCCCCAAAUUAUGACACAAGAUAGAGGAGACAACCAGCUUUCCAAUACAAGUGGAAUCAAAGCAAUCCAACGGUUAGAUCUCCAGAUAUGGUCGAUACACUGAAGGCGAAUCAUCACAGUCAAACGCUCACCCGCGGCCAAAACAUCAUCCGCCGGGGGUGCGAAAUUUUAGACCGCGGGGAGCUCAAUUCCGAGCCUCAGAAGCCCAUAUCAAAGCCCAAGUCACUCCCGUCAUUAUUCCUGCAAGCCCUAGGCGUUCCCGAGGACUCAAGACACUAUAUAAACCCCUUUUAAGUCGUAUAGAAGGGUGUGCUACAUCUUUCACCAGGAACCCUAGAAGAAAAGCACCCAGAAGAGGAGCCACCGAGAGGGGCACCAUCGGCACUACGUAUUCAAACUGUUCUUCGUUUCUAAACUCUGUCUAUUUCAAUUCUCUACAAUUCUAAAUACUCUUGUGAUGUUGAAUUCAACUAAGUCUGAGUAGUUUCUCAGUUGGGUUUUUAAGGGAUUUUUCAAAGGGAAUUUCAUGUCUUGAUCUCAUGCUUUAUUCGAUUUAGGGUUCAAAGUCUUCUAGGAGUCCUUCGUUCAUUCUUGUUACCUAUGCUAUUUCUGUUGCUAACCGCUUAGAAAUUGAUCUCAGUAAUUGGAGCCACGAGAGUGCUGUAUCGAAUUAAAAGACCUAGAAGUGAUCGAGCGAAUUCGCUGUAGGAGACGAAAGCUACCUACAGAGAAUCGCGAGCGUGGAUGAAUUCUGUUUUUUAAUGCAUGAUCUUAUUCGCAGCAUGAGAGCGAGAGUUAAUUGCUGUGUUGAGUGAUUAGAUGAUUAGGGUGACGACAGUUGGCUAAUCUUACAUGUGUCUAUUCUAGUUCGGGAACCUCACUAGUUGAUUUUCUUUAUCGAUUUGUUUGUCUUUUGAUCAGUUCAUGAACCCCUGCAAAAACCCUUAAGACCCAGCGAUUUGUUCCUAUUGUUUUACAACCUUUAUAUUUUGAUUUACACUUAGAUUUAGUGACACCAAAACCAAAAACCCCCAUUUGCUUGUUCUACUAGUCUUAAGUCUUGAUUGAUUCGCACUGAAAGGUCAAAAUCUCUGUGGUUCGACCCCUUAGUACUACAACGUACAUCUGUGCACUUGCAGAUAUUUAGGGUUAUAAAUUUAAAACGUGAAGCUAGAAGUAACCCUUGAUUCUCUUAGCAUCAAGUUUUUGGCGCUGUUGCCAGGGAUUUUGAUUCCUUUCGUUGCAAAUCUCUGCUUAAUUCGGUAGAACUUUUUCUAAUUUUUGUUUUUCUUUGAUUUUUCAGGUACUUUUUCGAUGAGGGGUCAGGAGCACAUCCUUGAUCCUCUCGCUGAAGAGAACCCUUUUCUAGAUGGUGAUCCAUCAGAUGAUGAGCUUAAUGACCCAAUCGAUGAUGGCAAUGAAUCGAUUGGAGAACCAAAGUAUGCCAAGAAGGGAGAACAACUGAUUGGAGAAUGUGAUACACACAAACUUUUCGCAGAUAGGCGAGCAAUUCGACCACCCUUACCUAAGGAUGGCGACUCUGAGGCUAAAGUACAAUACAUUAGCUAUAUCAAAAAGUAUAACGGUUUUUCUACUGAACACCCAAUAGAUCAUAUUGAGAAUUUUGAAGAGCUGUGUUCAACCAUAAUGUAAAAUACCGAUUACCAUAUGUGUGUCAUUUUCCCAUUCUCUCUAACUGGUAGAGCUAGUAAAUGGCUUAAAACUUUGCCACCUGCGUCCUUGAAGACGUGGAAAGAGUGUAGAGAGGCUUUCCUAAGUCACUUUUACACCAGAGAUCGUUCCAAUCUCUUAAGGGACAAGAUAAAAAAAUUUCAGCAGGAGGACACAAAAGACCUCUACGACGCCUGGGAAAGAUUCAGAGAUUACCUAAGAGAUUGCCCACACCAUGGUUUCUCCGAGGAGCGCCUGAUGACCAUCUUCUACCAUGGAGUUUAUGAAGAACUGAAGUUUUCUUUUGAUACCUCUAGCAAUGGAGACUUCUUCACUAGAACUGUAGAUGAGGCUCACGCCUAUAUAUUACUAAUCUAGAUGGGGGUAUCAGAAAUAGGAGAAUUCUAACCCAAACUAGAUGUUCCAAGAUCGAGGAAAAAGAACCACCUGUUAGUAAAGAAUGUCUAGAUCAGAUUAGGGAAGACAUCCAGAAGAUCCUUAGUGCGAUUGGUCCGAUUCAUAACUCUGAUGAUAGAAGCAAAUAUAACAAACCCUGCGUCAAAAGAUGAACAACCUUGGGGUAGAGAGGAGUUUAUAAACUCGGGAGAUGAUGCAAACUGCCGAUGUCUAUCAGAUUGAAGAUGCUGAGCAGAAUCAACCCCACCAAGGGUGGGAGCCUCUCAGCCGCGGCAAAACUGACAUUCACUGUGGGUGGGAAGCUUUUGGCCGCGGCCAAGAUGAGUUUCACCACGGGUCAGAGCACUUCACCCGUGGCCAGCCUGGUUUUCAACACACUUUCCAACCUUCUUUCGAGCAAACCCUGUUUGAUCAAUCCAAUCCCACAAUACCUCCUUAUUAUCCUUUCUCCAAGAUUGAAGAGCUAGAAAAAGAGGUUGAAAGAUUCAAAAGGGAGAUGGAGAGUCAAUCAAAGAAGCAUGAAGAUGCUAUUAACAAGCUCUCCACCCUUUUUCUUCUUCAGAUUAGUGAUGAAUCAAAGGAGACAGAUUCUUCAGUUAAUGAUCUUGAUGAACCUUUUUCUGAAAGAAUAAAUGAAUUGGAGACCUCUGAUCACUUAAAAUCAAUAACUCUCAGGAGAGGUUUGGCUUAAAAGGAACCAGAAUAUCCAAAAGAUUUCGAAGAAGGAGAAAAAGGAGAAGUUUCGGCUAAUAAAGAAGGAGAUGCAACAGUUGGGAAAAAAAGAGAUAAGGAGAAGGAAAACGCCCCUCAAGAAAUUGCUGAAGAAGAACCUAUACCUCCUCCUCUUACUCGUGUCUACAAGCCCAAAGCACCCUACCCACGAGCUUUGAAAGGACCAAAGAAGGAGAAAGAAAAGGCUAAGCUGAAAGAGAUAAUCGAGCAGUUAAAUAAGAGGUUACCUUUCAUUGAAGCUUGUGUGAUGAUACCUGCUCUUAGGAAAUACAUGAAGGGCAUUCUAACAAAUUCUCUAGCAUUAGAAGAAGGCGUUAUGAUGAUAACUCAUAAAUGUAGUUCCAUAUUACAAAACCAUGUCCCCCAGAAGAAAGAAGAUCCGGGAAGUUUUGUACUCUCCUGCACAAUCAGGAAUAUGACUUUUGAACGUUGCCUAUGUGAUUUGGGAUCGAGCAUCAACAUGAUGCCUCUCUCAGUUGCAAAACGUUUAGGAUAUCAUACUUUUCAGCCCACAAAAAUCUCACUGGUUCUUGCCGAUCGAUCAGUCAGACGACCAGAAAGAGUCUUGGUUGAUGUAUCAGUCAUGAUUGGAGAAAACUGUAUUCCGACUGAUUUUGUAGUGCUUGAAUUGGAGAGAGAACCAAAGGACCCUCUGAUUCUCGGUAGACCUUUCUUAUCAAAUGCAGGAGCAAUAAUCAAUGUUCCGGAAGGAAAAAUAGACCUCCAUCUAUGGAGUCUGAUUAUGCAGUUCGAUAUGAACAAAAGUCUCGAGAAACCCACCUUAGAUGGCGGGCUCUGUCGGGUUGAUGAGCUUGAUGUUAUUACUGAGGGAGUUUAUGAAGAAAUCCUUCUUGAUGACUCUUUGAAAAUCAUCCUCACAACCACAAAUGAUGAUCGCAACCUGCUCGAAGAAGUUUCAAAAGAGUGUGCGCAAAUGCUUAAAUAAGGCCGAGGAUUAUGCAAAAUUUGUGAAUUAUCUGGACCUGAAUGAGGAAACUCACAUCCCUAAUCCUCCAAAAGAUACCUUGGCAGCUAUAAACGACCCAUGGAGCGAGCUCAAAGCUCGAAAAGUCGAGCUCAAACCUCUUUCUGAUGGGCUCAAGUAUGCUUUUCUUGGACCAAACUCAACUUACCCUGUCAUCAUAAAUUCUGGCUUAAGUAGAGCUGAAACUACCAAGCUGUUAAAUGUGUUAAGGAAGUAUAGGAAAGCCAUAGGUUAUUCCCUUGAUGGCAUACAAGAAAUCUCCCCAGACCUCUGUAUGCAUAAGAUAAAUCUUGAGGACAAUGCCAAGAAGUCGAUUGAAAGCCAAAGGAGGUUGAACCCAAACCUUAUGGAGGUGGUAAAGAAGGAGAUCAUGAAACUUUUGGAGGCAGGAAUCAUAUUCCCUAUCUCGGACAGCACUUGGGUUAGUCCUGUGCAUGUUGUCCCGAAGAAGGGAGGAGUGACUGUUAUCAAAAAUGACAAGGAUGAAAUGAUUGCUACAAGAACAGUGACGGGACAUCGAAUGUGUAUUGAUUACCGAAAACUGAAUGCAGCAACUCGGAAAGAUCAUUCAUUGACCAAAUGCUAGAAAGAUUGGCAAACCACGAAUAUUACUGCUUUCUAGAUGGUUAUUCCGGAUUUUUCCGAAUUUCAAUUAGACCUGAAGAUCAAGAAAAGACGACAUUUACCUGUCCAUACGGAACUUUUGCCUAUCGGCGAAUGCCUUUCGGAUUGUGUAAUGCACCUGCAACCUUUCAGCGGUGCAUGAUGUCUAUUUUCACUGAUUUUUUCGAAGAUUUCAUGGAAGUCUUCAUGGAUGAUUUUUCAGUCUAUGGAUCCUCUUUCGACAGAUGCUAGGCAAACUUAGGGAAAGUUUUGCAGCGCUGUGAAGAUAAGCAUCUUGUCCUUAACUGGGAAAAAUGUCACUUCAUAGUCCGCGAGGGAAUUGUGCUUGGACAUAAAAUAUCUGGAAAAGGUAUUGAAGUUGACAAAGCAAAGAUUGAAGUCAUGACUAGACUACAACCUCCAACUAAUGUGAAGGGAAUCCGAAGUUUCCUGGGGCAUGCCAGAUUCUAUAGGUGAUUUAUAAAAGGCUUCUCAGAGAUAGCUAGACCUCUCACACGUCUGCUCUGCAAGGAAACGAACUUUGAAUUCGAUUAUGAGUGCUUGGCAGCAUUUCAUAAGAUCAAAAACGCCCUUGUCUCCACUCCAGUUGUGCAACCACCUGAUUGGGAACAACCGUUUGAAAUCAUGUGCGAUGCAAGUGAUUUUUCUGUUGGAGCUGUGCUUGGUCAGCGGAAAGAAAAGAAACUACACGCAAUCUACUAUGCGAGUAGAACUCUGGAUGAAGCUCAAUGUAAUUACGCGACCACGGAGAAGGAGUUUUUAGUCGUCGUUUUUUGCAUUUGAGAAGUUUCGAUCUUUCUCGUAGGAUCUAAGGUUACAUCCAUACUGACCAUGCUGUAAUCAAGUAUCUCAUGUCUAAGAAAGAUGCCAAACAGAGGCUGAUCAGAUGGAUACUCCUGCUGCAAGAAUUUGACAUUGAAAUUCGAGAUCGGAAAGGAGCAGAUAAUGGAGUAGCAGAUCAUCUUUCUAGAAUUCGAGUGGAAGAGAAACUCCAUUUGAAUGAUAGUUUGCCAGAAGAAAAUGUUUACGCUAUGGAGACUAUACCUAUUACCGUGCAAGAAAAGCCAUCCCAACCUCCUAUACGGCGGUCAUAUGCUUUUGACACCCCAUGGUUAAGGCAUAUAGCAAAUUACUUAGCCGUAGACAUCGAACCUCCACAAUUCUUUGGCUAUAAAAAGAAGAAAUUAUUAAAGGAAAUCCGGCAUUAUUUCUGGGACGAAGAUUAUCUCUAUAGGAUAUGUGUAUAUGGUUUAUUCAGAAGGUGUGUGGCUGAAGAAGAAAUAGAAGGAAUACUGUUUGGAAGCAAUAGUUCAGCGUAUGCAGGACAUUUCGCGACCUACAAAACGGUUUCAAAAUUUCUUCAAGCAGGAUUUUGGUGGCCUACAAUGUUCAAAGACACUCACGCCUACAUCUCACGCUGUGAUUCAUGCCAACGAAUGGGCAACAUCAGCAAGAGGAAUGAGAUGCCUGAAAACUUCAUUCUCGAAGUCGAAAUCUUUGAUGUAUGGGGAAUUGAUUUUAUGGGACCUUUCCCAACUUCUUUCGGAAAUCAAUACAUCUUAGUAGCGGUAGACUAUGUCUCUAAAUGGGUAGAAGCAAUCGCCAGCCCUACUAAUGAUGCAAAAGUGGUUAUAAAGCUGUUUAAAUCAAUCAUUUUCCCUCGUUUUGGAGUUCCUCGAAUUGUGAUAAGCGAUGGAGGAUCCCAUUUCAUCAACAGAGUCUUCAAAAAUCUGCUAAAAAAGAAUGGAGUCACACAUAAAGUUGCAUCUCCAUAUCACCCUCAAACAAGUGGACAAGUGGAAAUCUCUAACAGAGAGAUCAAGUCGAUUUUACAAAAGACAACUGGUGUUAAUCACAAAGAUUGGUCUGAAAAACUCGACAAUGCACUUUGGGCCUAUCGGACGGCAUACAAAACUCCUUUAGGGACCACGCCGUUCAACCUUGUUUAUGGAAAAACAUGUCACCUCCCUGUAGAGCUGGAGUAUAAAGCGCAAUGGGCUAUAAAGGAGAUGAACAUGGACUUUAAGGCAGCUGGAGAAAGAAGAAUGCUUUAAAUGCACGAAUUAGAAGAAAUCCGCCAUAAUGCCUACGAAAACUCCAAGAUAUACAAGGAGAAGACAAAGGCAUAUCACGAUAGAAGGAUCACACAUCAGUCCUUUGCUCCAAAUGACAGAGUUCUUCUUUUCAAUUCUCGCCUUAAGCUUUUUCUAGGAAAGCUAAGAUCUAGAUGGUCUGGACCUUUCACAGUAAAGGAGGUCAAACCGUAUGGAGCACUCAUUCUUUGGGGUAAGAAAGGAGAUACAUUUGUCGUCAACGGACAACGUGUAAAACCAUACCUCGCAGAAGAAGAAGAAAGAGAAGCAAUGCUCUUGGCAGACCCGCCGGGCUAGAGUGAUAUAUUCAUAAAUUGCAUCAUUUAAUGUACAUAUUCUAGUCCAAAUCAUGUCUCAUUUGCAUGAAUUUUAGGUCUUUAGGCAUUGUUUUAGGACUUAGGAGAUUGCUUUAGGUCCAAGAGAGUUUUGCAUGUUUUGGAGUGUUAAACAGGUGCUUUUGGAGUUUAUUUGGAGUGGAGGAUGUGAUUCAGAUGAAGAAAUGUAGUUGAACUUAUCAAAAAUGGAGAAAAGGAGCAAUUUUUGGUUUCUCGGCAAAAUGAGGUACUGAUGGCCGAAGAUUCUCGGCCAUAAUCCUUCCCGCGGGUAGCUUUCUCGACCAAAAACACGUACCACAGUCAAGUCUCUCGGCCAAAAAUCCUGGGUGCAGAUACAUUUCCGAAAUCACGUCACCAGAAGCUCUUGCCGGCCGAUUCAGCUUACAGGGUCUUCAGCAAAGUUGGAGAUAAUUGAGUCCAGAACCCAGGACAGGUUGAAUAAAGGCAUUUGGAGCACUGAGCUGAAAGAUACGAUCACCGGAAGACAGACCUCUCUCGCAUCCAUUCCGGAGCAAUCCGAUACUCCUGAAUGAUCGCCUGUUCGGCGAACCUUCCGAUCCGAUUCAGUUGUCGGGGGCUUCAUAAAAGUUUAAGAAGAUUGGAUCAUGGUUCCAGAGCAAGUGGAAUCAUGGAAUUCGGACGCGUGAGCAGAAAGUUAAGCUCGUCGGAAGAAACUCCUGUCUCGCUGCCGUCUUGGACCGACCCGAUGAGCUCCGAAGAAUGCGAAGGACGGCGCACUUUCAGGCCGAUUCGGUUUACUUCAUGAGAAUCCGAGAUAUUUGAGUCCUCUUUCCAGAACGUCCAAGAUCAUUCAAUUCGGAUCUAUGAGCAAGAAGGUAACGUUUCCGGAAUGGAUACAUGUCUAGGCGCCUCUCUCUGAUCGUGUAAAUGCACUGCGAUGAUGAGCCCUCCAGGAAGCCUUCCACUUCCCAAUCGCCGAAGCUUUCUUCACCAAAGUUGGAGAUAUACGAGUCUUCUGUUUUCUAUGAAACUGGAAUCACACAAUUCGGACCAGUAUCCUGGAAGUUACGCCUCCUGGAAUGCAAAGUGGUCCAAGCUGCUCUGAAUGCUGCGAGAUAGCCUUGAGACUUGGUUAACUCGCAGGCCUGAAGAUGAAUGCCUGGAAAUUGACGUUGCGAGUUGAGAAGUGCGGGUAAGCUAUCACUGAAUAAGGUAUGAGGCUCCCGAGCAAGAAAAAUGCUAAUUCCACAAUCAUGCAACUUAGGCAUGCGAGUUGGCCGUGCUUGAAACUAAGCCGCACGAUCACUCGCAAUCUACUCCGACUUGGGCAUGCGGCUUGGGAAUAAGGGAUGACCAAGUCGCCUUGGUCCUGCGAGUUGAAGAAGAAGAAGAUUAAGCCGCACAAAGACUCGAAAAACACACCUACUUGGGCGUGCGGCUAAAACCAAGCGAUUUAAGUCUCACAAGACAAGUUCUUCACCUGUGCGACUUGGGCAUGCGACCUGGGAGACACUGGACCAACCCGCACAUUCCCCAAUUUACCCACUAAAGCCGGGUCAGGACCCGGUUUGUUCCGGGCUGACCCGGUUCAUUAGCACUUAGUAUAUAUAGCUUUUUGGAGAAAAACCCUAGACAUCUGAUCUUCUACUUAGUUUUCUCUCUACUUUUCUUUCCUUUUUAGUGUAAAGUUUUUGAUUAAGAGAUAUCUGAAGGAUUUGAUCAUUCCAAAGCUGCUUCUUAUCAUCUCAUCAUCUCAUUUCUGCUUCUAAUCAUGAUUAACAUCAUCUCUUGCAAAAAAUUAGAUGUGUUCUUCAUGAUUAGUGAGUAGUCAUCUUUUAAACUUCUAGGUGUGUAGAUUAGGGUGCUUAGAUGUAGAUUAAUGAUUGUUUAAGCUUAGAUUCUCUUCUCCUUUCCUUAUUUAGCUGAUCCUAAUGCUAGAUCCUUGCACAUCACUUGGGUCUAGAAUCUGGGUUUUUCAUGCACCAAAAGUGUUUGAUGAAAUGCCUGAAUGAAAGCUAACUAAGGGUUUAUGCAUCAAUGCCAUGGGAAUGUUUGUUAAUUGCAUAAAUGACAUAUUAGAGUUGAUUCUUAAUGCUUACUAGUUCAUAUUUCACAAAUGGGAAUUUGGUUUGAAAAUGGAUUAGUAUAGAGAUUAAUACCUUCAUGAGGGGAUUAAUCUAGCUUUAAACUCUAAGUUGAUUGGAUUAGAGAUCAUGUGCUUGCUUGCUAUGUCUUUCUGUAUAAGAUUCAGUCUUCUUGGUUGAGAGAUUGUUUGGUCACUUAUUAGGCUUGAUGCAUUAUGCUUGUUGAUUGCUUGAUUAUAUCUAAUGGUUGUUAGACUUGAUUAAGUGAUUAGCAAAGGGAUUAUUGUCAUGGGAAUGAAUUAAUCUGAUUAAGAAGCCUAGACUAAAGAGUAGCAAGUGUUGCAUUAUGUUCUUAGCAUCAUGAUUCAAUAUCUAAAGCACCCUAAUCAAUGAUCACAUCUAGAGGUUUAUCAUCUUUAUUGUCACCAUCAUCUUGUUGAGCUUGCUUUAAUUAGUUCAUUCAUCAUAGAUUGCUUGUUCCUUGUUUAUAUUUUCACUUGUUACUUGUCACCAAAUCUUUCUUGUUUCACUUGAGUUAAGAACUUGUCACAUAAACUAGUGUCUAGCAAACACACAUUUGGAUUGAUACCCUUUGUACUACAAGUGACAUAAGGGAUUGAUAACCCUUACAAAGAGCCUUGAAAACUCUUAGUUAUCAUAGAGCAUCAGCAAAGUCAAGCUAAUGACUUUAAGCAAGCGCUUAGUGGGAGGCAACCCACUUGCUAUUUUACUUAUUCUCUUUGAUUUGCCUUUUUCUAUUUUUGCUGCUUUGUUUUUGUUUUCUAUAAUUUCAGGUUUUUAAGCGAAGAACGAAUAAGAGGUGAACAGAAAUCACGAACCAGAAAGCAUAUCACCAGGUAAGUACACCUAAACAUUCCAAAUUUCAGUCCAUCAUUAUCCCAUCCUCUCAAAGAUUUCUCACACUGGGGGCAGUGGGAUUUAAGUCUGGGGGAGGAUGUUCAUCCUUUACUAAUGAAAUUUGGUUUGUCUUGAGUUUGUGUUUCAUAAAAAGUUUUCAAAACGGUUUUCAAAACAGGAACGCUGGAACAAAAUCGUGUGCUUCUAGACCUUACAUGUUAAGUUCUUUUGUGGUUAAUACUAAACUAGGCGGUAGCUAGAGUACUUGCACUACGAACUCUCAUCAGAGGAUUUCUAUUCAUGGAGAUCUUUUCCGCCAGGAUACACUAGCUCAUUCUACUUGAACAUAAUCUUGACAUCUAAUUUUCUCAUCAUUGGUUUUAGGCAGGCAUCAUGAUAUACAUCUAGGAAAUCUUUACAUCAUUGUUACCACUCUUUGUUGUCCUAGAUGGCCAGUUCAUCUUUAGCUGGUACCACACCUUUUACCCCAAACAAUCAUUUCAAACCUCAUGCAUUCUCUCUUUAAUUCUUUUGGCAGAUAUGUGCAAAAACGCCGGAGAGUGAGGAACAACAUGGUUUUCAGUCACUCAAGAGAAAGACUGAAGAAAUUUGGUAAAGAGGAGUAUCAGCAAUCCUAUCAAGCUUAAUGGUGCCUCAAAAAGCUCAUUCAUAAAGGUAAUUUUCGUGAUCCUAAGACUCUAUGUCUAAAGGCGGUUUUCCCUUUCCAAAAAAAAAAAAAUCGAAAAAAAAGAAAAAAUGAAAGGAAAGGAAACCAAAAGCCUAAAGAGUCUAGGAUAACCGAAAUCAUUGGAAGCAAAGGCUACAAGUAUUCAUAUGUAAGGAUUGGUUUUAAAACCUGGACAAAAAUCUAAGUUUGGGGGAGUCAUGAGGAGAACCUGAAGAAAGGAGAUCAAAAAUCUUAAGGCAAGAAGAAUGUGACUGGAAACUGUGGGGGCAUUUACAGUUACAUCCUCUCUUGCUGUUUUGCAUAAUGUCUUGUCUUUCCAGAAAAAUGUAACCUUAAAAACUAAGAACAUCACCCCUAAAAGAGCCAUUUUGAAUACCUAGCCUUGAUUGCUUUACUAAAGUCCCUUUGAUGAGAACCAUUUUAGCUUUUGAAUGAAUGUUAAGAGCUAGUUGACUGGAAGAUAAGUUUAAGUAUCUAGACUUUCGCAUGACGGAUCAACGGACCAGUUAUGCCUGUACUUUGGUGAAAAUUUUCUAGACUAUACCCAAUUUGAGCAUAAUGACUAAACUCUGGUUUGGAAGUAUUGUCUCUGAGAUUUUGUUAGUUCCUGCGAUUUUCAAACCUCUUCUCUAGGUUCAUAUCUUUUGUUUUGUUUGAGGACAAACAAAGGUGACAAACAAAGGUUUAAGUCUGGGGGAGUUGAUAACCUGAUUUUGACUAUUUUUAUGGAUCACUUUUAAUAUCUUAUGCAGGUGUUUUCACUCAUAUUUAAAGGUUUUUAAUUGAUUUCCAUAUUUUAGAAUCUCAAAAGAGUUUUCAGGUUAUUUUGACAAAAGGAAUGUACUUGGGAGCAAAAAACAUAACUUUGGAUAAAUUCAGACCGUCGGAAGUUGGGUAACAAACGGAGGCUUUCCCACCGUCUGAUCAUCCCCAAGUUUUGACACAAGAUAGAGGAGACAAGCAGCUUUCCAAUAUAAGUGGAAACAAAACAAUCCAACGGUUAGAUCUCCAGAUAUGGUCGAUACACUGAAGGAAAAUCAUCACAGUCAGAAGCUCACCCGCGGCCAAAACAUCAUCCGCCGGGGGUGCGAAAUUUUUGACCGCGGGAAGCUCGAUUCCGAGCCUCAGAAGCCCAUAUCAAAGCCCAAGUCACUCCCAUCAUUAUUCCUGCAAGCCCUAGGCGUUCCCGAGGACUCAAGACACUAUAUAAACCCCUUAAGUCAUUUAGAAGGGUGUGCCACAUCUUUCACCAGGAACUCUAGAAGAGAAGUUCGCCCAGAAGAGGAGCCACCGAGAGGGGCACCAUCGGCCGUCCUUCUUCAACCUGUUCUUCAUUUCUAAACUCUGUCUAUUUCAAUUCUCUACAAUUCUAAAUACUCUUGUGAUGUUGAAUUCAACUAUGUCUCAGUAGUUUCUCAGUUGGGGUUUUAAAGGAUUUUUCAAAGAGAAUUUCAUGUCUUGAUCUCAUGCUUUAUUCGAUUUAGGGUUCAAAGUCUUCUAGGAGUCCUUCGUUCAUUCUUGUUACCUAUGCUGUUUCUGUUUCUAACCGCUUAGAAAUUGAUCUCAGUAAUUGGAGCCACGAGAGUGUUGUAUCAAAUUACUAGACCUAGAAGUGAUCGAGCGAAUUCACUAUAGGAGACGAAAGCUACCUACAGAGAAUCGCAAGCGUGGAUGAAUUCUGUUUUUUAAUGCAUGAUCUUAUUCGCAGCAUGAGAUCGAGAGUUAAUUGCUGUGUUGAGUGAUUAGAUGAUUAGUGUGACGACAGUUGGCUAAUCUUACAUGUGUCUAUUCUAGUUCGGGAACCUCACUAGUUGAUUUCCUUUAUCGAUUUGUUUGUCUUUUUAUCAAUUCAUGAACCCCUGCGAAAACCCUUUAGACCCAGCGAUUUGUUCCUAUUGUUUUACAACCUUUAUAUUUUGAUUUACACUUAGAUUUAGUGACACCAAAACCAAAAACCCCCAUUUGCUUGUUCUACUAGUCUUAAGUCUUGAUUGAUUCGCACUGAAAGGUCAAAAUCUCUGUGGUUCGACCCCUUAGUACUACAACGUACAUCUGUGCACUUGCAGAUAUUUAGGGUUAUAAAUUUAAAACGUGAAGCUAGAAGUAACCCUUGAUUCUCUUAGCAUCAAGUCACGCAGCAGACACAUCAAGUUUUUGGCGUCGUUGCCGGGGAAAGCACGCGUUUUCUUUUCUGCAAAACCCUAAGAAAAGUUGGUAAAUCGACUCUAGAACCCUUUUUCUGCAUAUUUCCAUUUUUCGGUUCUUUUGUUUCCAUUCCUGAAGCAAUGGACCCUAUAAAUCGAAAUCCCUACUAUGAGGGAGGUUUUUACAACAUUCCUCAAGCCACCAGACGCAGAGAAGAGCAAUACAUACACGAUCUCUACGACAAAGUUCGAACCUUAAACUACUGAACGUUCCUGAACCCCUACAUGCCUCCAAUGGUAAACCCUAAAUCACCUAUGCAUCUCCUACCUCACCAGAUUCUCCAGCAAGAUGAGAACGUCCAGCUCAGUAAUCGAUUGAGUCAGCUUGAAACGGUGAUCAUGCAAUUUAUCGCAGUUCAAGCUGUAUCAAGAGCCGCACUUCACGAGAAAAUUGACAACAUGUUGACUCACUUUAACAAAAAGCUCAAAGAUCUUUCUGCUCAAGUUAAAACCAGCGAGAAUCAAGCAAACAAAGACGCCGAGACUAUCAAGGAGAGGAUAGAAACGGUCGUAGGACGAGUCGGAGAGAAAAAAGGCAGCAUUCGCAAAGUUAGUGGAAACAUCCGCACCUUAGAGAUCAAACUCGAUGGAGCAGAAGAAACUAUCAAUGAUCAUAACAACCAAACCUACUCCUACGUGGAAGAGAUUUGGGAUGGAGUACACAAGGUUCGAGACAAGACAGAAGAGAUCGACUCAACCGUGGACAAGGUAGUUUAUGCUCUUGAUGAAGUCGAAGAGAUUGUCGAAAAGCUUAUGCAAGGACGCGAGAUGCAUGGUUCGACGCUUCCCAUCAAAGAUCUUGACCUCAAAGAAGAGGAAAUAGAGUUGAAAGAUCCAAAAAUCAGUUUAGAUGGCAAGGGAGAAGAUGAAACAACUGAACCAUCUCGGAGACUCUCAUCCAUGGUCGCAACUCCCGCGACCGCGGCCAACAACCCUCCGGCCGCGGUCGUGAGUCUCCUAUCUGCGGAAAAUAGCCCUCCUCCUGCGGUCGUAUGUCUUUCACCCGCGGCAAACCAUCAGUCAGAUUUGCAUCAGCCUUCUCCGAUUCUCACAGGUCAGUGUUCAUUAGAUGCACCUGCUGGAAUGGCCAGGACUCUUUUUCUUGAGCAAACAGUGUACACUAUCAGCUCCAAAACAUCUCAAGAAGAAGAUGAGGUACUUCCCUGCAACAUAAUUUUAGCAUAUGAAGAUGAAUAUGAAGGAUAAUACCUUGAGGACGAAGACUAUCGUCUGUUCAUAGAAGGAGGCAAUCCAGACAAAUUGGUGGAAUUAGGAGCACCAAUCUCCAGGGAAAGACUCAUUGAAUUCAACAAGUUUGUGAAAAGGAUCCCUCUUUAUACAGGAUUCGAUUAUAUAUGGCAUCUUGGUUGCUUAAAAGUUUUCUUUAGGUACAGAAAGGAGACAAAGGAGGAUAUCCGAACCUACUUUGGGAGAGCCAGACGCCUAUCCCUUCCCAGGACAUCACCUGAUGCUGCAAUUUAUUCAAUUCACCUUCAAAGACCUGAAGAAUGCAGCUACUACACCAACAAAAUCAGCAAAGAAAAGCUUGAUGAGUUCAAUGAAGUAGUUCGAAAUUUACCUGAAGGAAUCACCUUUGCCAGAGCUUGCAAGGACUUCAUGAUAGGCCACUACUUCUGCGAGAGCAAGGAAUUAAUCCCUGAAAUAGAAGACUUGUUCAAUCAUGCCAGAAGAGGUAAACCUGUUCAAACACUUCACAAAAUCGAAGGUGCAGGUCAGUUUCUCAUAUCUUGUUCUAUUAGAGGUGAAAUGUUUAAAAACAUACUUUGUGAUUCUAGAGCUUGUCUUAACAUGAUGUCCAAAACUGUGGCCAACACGCAUCCUACCGCGGCCGGGACAUCUUGAUCCGCGGCCAGCACCAUCCGGCCUUCCUUGGCCACUUCAACAUCUACCUUAAUUCAAAUCCAGAAAAUUGGAUCAAGCACCACUCCAUAUCAUCUACAAUCCACCAUUCAACAUCCAACCACCACCACAACCACCUCACAUUCCAUCACCAACACCAGGUAAGUUUUCUUUUCUUUAAUCUUUUUAAAUUUUUCACAUACUCUAUUUCUCGUCCUUGCCUGGUUUAUUUCACACUGGGGACAGUGUGAUUUAAGUUUGGGAGAGCAUUUCAUAUCUUUCUAACCACAUUUUCUUGCAUGAGCCUUUGCAUUCUGCAUUUUUCUUUAAAAAAUUUUGAUUUUUUUCGGUUUUUCUUAAAACUUUUCAAAAGUAUUUUGAGUUUCAAAAAGUGUUUUCAAAGGUCAAAUACAAUUUGAGGGAAUAAUGACAAAAUCGAUGAUGAUGACCAACCUGUUUCCUUCUACACCAUCAGCUCAUAAAAAGCUCUUUCAAGGUUUAGUACUAGACUAGGCGGUAGCUAGAGUACUUACACUACGAAAUCGUCAGAGGACUUCUAUUCAUGGAGAUUUUUUCUAAUAGGAUAUACUAGCUCAUCUUACUUGGACUUAAUCUUGACAUCUAAAUUUCUCAUCAAUGGUUUUAAGAAGACAUCAUGAUAUACAUCUAGGACAUCUUUACCUUAUUGUUACCACUCUUUGUUGUCCUAGAUGACCAGUUCAUCUUUAGCUGGUACCACACUCUUAACCCAAACCAUCAUUUCAAACCUCAUACACUCUCUUUUAAGUCUAUGUUGACAGAUAUGUGCAAAAACGCCGGAGAGGGAGGAACAACAUAGUUUUCAGUCACUCAAGAGAAGGACUGAAUGAAACCAGAAAGGAAGUGUACCAAGCAAUCUCAGCAAGCCUCAUGAUGUCUUAAAAAACUCAUUCUUAAACGUAAUUUUCGUGCUCCAUAAGACUCCAAGUUAAAAGGCAGUUCAAAAAAAAAACGAGAAAAAGAAAGAAAGGAAAGGAAACCAAAAGCCUAAAGAGUCUUAGAAGCCAAAAUUAUUUGAGCCAGGGCAAUAGGUAUUCACUUAAGGAGUUAUGGAUUCACAACGUGGAUAAAAAUCUAAGUCUGGGGGAAUUAUAAGGAAAACCUGAAGAAGGAGAUCAGAAAUCUUAAAGCAAGGAGAAUGUGACUGAAAACUGUGGGGGCAUUUACAGUUCCAUCCUCUCUUGCUGUUUUGCAUAAUGUUAUGUCUCUCCAGAAAAAGGUAACCCUAAACACAUUAAGCCUUACCAUUAAAAAACCUUUUGAUACCUAACUUUGAAUGCCUUGUUUAAUAUCCUUUUGAUGAGAACCACUGAAUUCUUUAAUGAAUGUUAAGAGCUAGUUGAUUGGAAGUUAGUUCUAAGUGUGUGGAUUUUCGCAUGACGGACUAGUUAUGUUUGUAUUUUGGUGAGAAUAUUCUAGACUUGAUCUGAUUGAUGCAUUGUCCAUAAUUAAGGUGUAGAAGUAUGGUUGCUGAUAUUUUUAAGUUCCCUCUCAUUUCUGUUGAAUGAUACUUUUCCAGAUUGGAUCUUGUUUUGUUUGAGGACAAACAAAGUUUUAAGUCUUGGGGAGUUGAUAACACCUGAUUUUGACCCAUUUUCACCAAUGAUUUUAAAUGUUUUUUCAAAUGUUUUAAUAGGAACUUUUAUUAUGAUUUCCAUGUAUUUGUAGUUUCAAGGCUCUUUUCAGAAAACUUAGGAAAAAUGAUGGCAAAAUAGAAGAAAUCCACUUUUUCAGCUUAAAAUCAGACCGUCAGAAGUUCAGCCUCAAAUGAAGACUUUCUCACCGUCCGAUCCAGCUCAAAUUUGGAGACAACCAAGAGGAGACAACCAGCUUUCCAUAACACUUUACAUCACAAAGAUCCAACGGUGCAAUCAAAAGACACAUGGAGAACAAGUUGACCCAGUUCACCAGUCCCGGAAGACUCUCACCCGCGGGAAAACCAUGUUUCACCUGUCCUGGAAGACUCUCACCCCCGGUGGACCUUAGCACGAGCCAUAAGGCCCAACAUCAAAUCCCAAUUCGCCAUUCCUCUUCAGAAAAGCCCUAAAUGAGACCUGGAAGACUCUAGGACCUAUAAAUACAUUUCUUAGCAGCCCUAAAUGGGUGUGUGCUCCUGUAAUGAGAUUUUGAGCCACCAAACUUUGUUUUCUAGGGUUAGGAGAUGGAGAUGGGGAUUCUUCCCUAUAUCCAUUGUUCUUUCUCCUUUUUAUCUUAUUAACUUUUCUGUUUCAUUCUUUUGCAUUCUUCUAUGUCUUUUAUCAUUCAUUGCAUCAUGUAGAUUAGUCGCAGAGAGUCAAGUUGUUUGAAUAUUUCGAUAGGCAUACAUAUUGAUUAGGAUUUCUAUAGUUCUAAACCAUAUUCUGGAUCUCAUCUCUUCUAAGUUGUUCAUAUUGCAUGAGAUUAGAUUCAUGACCUAUUCUCUGAGCCUAUAAUCGAUCAGAGCCAUGAGAGUGUUGUAUCAGAUCAUCCGUACCUACCUUCAGAAGAACAUAGUCGGUAUAGGAGUCGAGAGCUACCUAUAGAGAAGAUGUGAGCAGACGAUUUCAAUGUCUAAUGCAUGAUCUUAUUUCUGGCAUGGAGCGAGAGUUAAUUGUCAGCUCUGAGUGAUUAGUUGAUUAAGAUGGCGAGAGUUGGUUAAUCAUACAUUUAUCUAAUCUAGUUCCAUGCAGAUCCCAGAAACAGAUGAAUUAAAGAUAAAUCGCCCAGAAGCUAAUUGGAAGUGCCAUCAUACAUCGAUUAGAGUAAACCGGAGAAGUCUAAAUCGCCAUCUAUGAGUUUAAGAGUUUUUAGUUUGAGUCGAUAUGCUUGAGAUAUUCUUUUAACAAUUCAUCCUGCAUUGCAUUUUAUUUCUUGUGAAUAUUAGUUUAGGUUUAGUUUAGAACUCUAAAGCAAAAACCCCAAAUUCUCAUUGGUUUAUAACUUUGCUUACUUUCUCAGUUUGUUGUUUCUCGCAGAUUAGACAUCCUCCAUGGGGAUCGACACCCUAAGUCGUACAACGUACAUCUGUGCACUUGCAGACACUAGGGUUUUAUAAAUUUAAAACUUUUGGAGGACCAACAGGCUUGUUAAAAACAAACCUUAGGCCCGCAAGCCCAUCACUUUAGAAGGAACUUAAUGGAAUUGACAGCAUUUCGUGUAGUCAAAAUUUUAUGGAAGAAGGAAAUGUUUUGAUCCCCGAGCUGGAGCCACUUUCUAGACUUUGUUCUCAAGAAACUUUCCUCCGCAAGGCAAAGAGAAGACCAAGACUCUCUGGAUUCUCUCUCGUUUAUUAGAUUAAGUGAAAAAGGAUCCUCUAGAGCUAGGAGCUGACGAUCCUUGAGCAAAGAAUGAGCAGUUGAGACUCUUUUCUCAAUGUCACAAAAUUUCUCUCUAAAGUUCUCUUUGCAGAGGGACUUCGACGGCUUCUUAAUGGACUUGAGUUUGAAGCAGAAACUUGUAAGAGAAUAAGCAGGGCAUCCUGCAUCAGACCAAGCUUUUUGCAGACAUGGCAUGAACAAAGGAUGCUUAAUCAGGAAACUGAACACUUUGAAUGCUCUCGAGCUGAAUCUCAGGGGAUCAGUAGCAAGCUUGAAAAAUCCCAAAGAGUGGUCAAAAAAUUAGGGGGCCUCAAAGGAACAAAGACUUGAUGAAAAUUUAACCAUCCAAGCACCAUUAACAGACAAGGAUUAAGUUUCUUACCAACUGGAUCAGAGGGAAGAGAUUUUGGCCAGGUGAAUUUUUAGGACCCUGGAAAGGAAGAUCAAAUAGGCCGACUUCAUCUAAACAGUCCUGAAACCUUCUUAUUACAGGUGAAGAUCUGACAAUGGACGGGUUAGACGUUUCCAAAUGGUGGAGGAUUUUGUUGAAAUCCCUAUUGACGAUCCAAAAGACAUAUCCGCUAAAAUGAAAGAGUCCUCAAUGCUUCUAAAAAAGACCACAGAUUUCUCCUUUCCUCUUCAAUAUUAGAUGCAUAAAUGAUAGUAUAGACAAGUUUGGAGCCAUCCUCUAGGGUGAUAUCGCAGGUGAUAGACUGAAGAUCAGCCACCAAAAAAAUAACAGAAAUAUGAGCUUUAUAAAUUAUCCAGAUUUUCUCCAGAUCUGAAUAAACAUAAUUAGAUAAAGCAGUCCAUUCAGGACCAAUGGAGGACAAAACUUGGUUCUUAUUUAUUUCCUCAGCAUGCAUUUCCACAAGCGCUAAAAAAAAAAAAGAAAUAUUAAGUGAGAAUUCAGCCAGGAUAUAAUAGGCUGAUGCUUGGUGGUUUCGUUUAAGCCCUGCAUGUUCUUAAAAAUGUACCCAACUUAAAAGAUUAGUUCGAGACUUCGAGUAACGAUCCCCUCUAGAGAAAUAACUAAUGCCACUGUUGAAAGGAGAUCUUUGAUUGUACCUCUUUUGCUUCUUCUUGUUCUUGUUUGAAGAAGAUGAAGGAAUCGUAGGCUUACUCUUGACAAGGGGUGUAGCCACUUCUACAGAAGGGAUAGUGGGCGUCUCAUGAGACUCCAAGGCACCAUACAUGUUAUGAGAAGAAUUUAGGGGGGAGGAAUGAAUAAGCAGCUGCUUCGAGGCAACAAGGUUUCUAGCUGGGAUAAAAAGAGACUUCUCACCAAUACCCGAAGCAAUCUUGUAGAUUGGAGGCGGACUGACAUAAAAAAUGCUAGCAUCCGUAGGGCAUUGAACCUUUGAAGAACUGAUCGGAUCCGAUAUAGAAACAGAAUUUGACUGAGAAUCACCAGGCUGAGCAACCUCCCGAGGAUCCCCUGACGAGGCAAAUAACACAGAAUCCAACGCUACCAGCAAAGCGCCUUGGACAGAGACCUUCUUUCCUUGAGAUUCAACACCUGGCUUCCUUUUGUCUUCUGGGAAACCUGGGGUGAAAAGAGGAAAAGAGCAGGACCAUGACCAAACUCAUUACAAUUAGGAAAAAAGGCGGAAGCCAGGGAUAAAUCACCCUGACAACGUCGAUCCCACCAUCAUCUCUUUUAAGCUCUAACUCUUUGGGGAGCGGGAGAGGGAAGAGGAAGUGGGGAAGGGGGGAAAGGGGAGGGGGAGGUUUUGGGGAAGCUUUGAAGAGCAGAGAGGAAGGGGGAGGCGUAAGGCAAGACAUAAUUCUCGUCGGUGGCCAUGCAGCUCACCAAACGGCGGCGACUAGGAAAAAAAAAAACAUAAUCGCCUUUUUUGCACUCAGGAGAAAGAGGCUUGAUUGCGUCCACUCCUAACACAAUAAUAACGGAAAAUUGGUUUUUUCAGGCUUGAACUUUUGGAAAAUGUUAAAUGUAUACUUAAACUUAUGUACAGUGCUUGAUCAUACUUAAUCUAUAUUAACAUUUGAAAUGCAUACUUAAUCUUCGUUUUUAUUUGAAUUUCGUCUCUAAACUUUAUUUUUUGUGCGUAAAACAAUUACUAACCAGACGCUGUUAAUUGUUCUGUCAAGUUUUGUUUAUGUGUCGUCCACAUAAGAGACGAUGUUGUUUUGGGUUUCUUCGGUUUCAGAUAAAAAAAAAUGCAAAGGAUGUCGUUUGAAUAAUUUCUAACCUCGCUUUUCCGACCUGUAACAAGCAGAGAGUGUGUGUUAAGCCUGACAGAUCUUUUUACUUAUUGCAAAAAACAGAAAAAAAAAAGAUCAUUUUUGGUCUUCUCACUAGUUCAAUGUGAUGAAUUGAUCCACGUGUUUCAUCAAGUCUACUCUGCAACUCGUCCCACUUCUUCUUCCUGUGUUCUUCGUUCUCCAUCUCGCUCCCUUUCUCACCCAACUGCUGAUACAUAGCUGCAUUUUCACCAAUAAAAUUGUGCUUUGGACUCAUUUUUUCUAAAAACUCAACUUCUGUUUUCGACAAAACUCUGUUAAUAAUAAACCUGUGAAGAUAGAGAGAAUCUAUAGCUGAGUUGGGAUAUCAGAGAGUUUCUUUGCAAGUGUGAGAGUAUCUCCCUGGCUUGUACGGUGUCGUGUAAGCAAAGAGCCAUACAGCUAAUAUUACCUAAUGUCAGAGGAACAAGAUUGAUUAUACAUACAGAGCUGGUUAACUCAGAUAAAGAUGCAGGCUCUAUAUCACACUCACGAACACAUAAUAUAGAAAAACAUAUAAAAAAUUACCCAAACUGCUAGAAGAAGAUAUCGGUCUCGAACAAGAAUGUACAGGUUGAAGGUCUGGAUUUACAAAUCCCUAAUUCGUCUCUGAGUUAAGUGAGGGGUUGAAGACGAAGAUCAGUCAAAACGGCGUGGUUUUGCUUUUUUCCCCCAUAAUUAUAAGAGUAACGACGUCGUUUCGUAUUUUUUUUUUAAACCGAGAAAACCCAAUACAACGUCGUCCCUUAUGUGGCAUCCACGUAGACAUUGUUUAACGGAGAGUUAACAGCAUUUACUAAAAAGUUGGUUUGUGCCAUUAAAAUGAAGAUUAAGUAUGAAUUUCAAAUAUUAAUAUAGAUUAAGUAUGAUCAAGCACCAUACAUAAGUUUAAGUAUACAUUUAACAUCUUCGGAAAGUUCGUGUCUGAAAAAGCCAAUUUUUCACCUUUUGGCUAAGACAAUCUAUGUUUAUUUAUUACAUUUUAGUACAUGCAUAGAAGAUAAUUAUCCCAAAUUUAUAUUCUUUACUUUAAUUUCCGGUGUGAGAUUGAGAAAAGGAGAAUAUAAAUUAUGAAAAAUUCGCUUUCCCAAAAAUUUUAGUAUAAAGAAACUCAAAUCUUUUUCAUUAAUUGCAAUAACUCAGACGACAAAAAAAAAAUUGCAAUAACUAAACAUAGUAAUACACAGAUUUUGUUAUUCAAGACGAUACACACUCCUUCAAAGACAAAAUUUAAACCAAUUAAUUUAAAAAUGACGAGACUGAAAGAAUUAAAUAUUUUGCGCUAUAUCGCGUAGCCAUAGUUGAAUCAAGAGCACAGGUUCGGAGGAAUCGAAAGCUUAUUUUGAUAUAUAAUUUGUCACUUUUACAUAUUUUAUUGUAAGAAUUAUCAAAGAAAAUAAUUUUGUUUGUUAAAGGUUACUAAAGGAAAUAAUACAAAGUCUUAUCAAGUGUGACUAAUUAUUUUGCAGAUAAUCUUAAGGACCCAACGAAAGAAGAAAGGAAUAUGGAACACAAUCCCAAAACAAUCUUCGGGAAGACUGACUACGAUGGUGCAACACUUCUUUGUGACCUCUCUGAAUCUGAAGUGCGUUAUUGCUUUUACACAAUUUGGAAUUGUUUUUACGUCACCUACACAAGCUAAAGGAUUAGGUAAUAAUCCAUCCUCUGAUUGAGGUGCUAAUGCUAAUGCCGUAGAUGGAGCAUGUGCAAGAUCAUUUCUUUUCUCAUUUCCAUUUGUUUGUAUAGAUAUUGAUAGAAUCAUUAUCAAAGCUAACAUGAUCGUCGCCCACAUUCUUUGCAUCUUUCUACUCUAUCGUUGUUUAGUGUAUUUUUUGUAUGAUUUGUUUUCUCUCCAAAAUCACAAUAUGUUCCUUAGUAUUUAUAACUCUUGUAUGGUUUUUUUUUGUUGGGUAGGUAAUCUAUAUUUUUUCAUUACAUUUUAGUAAAUGCAUGUAUAGAGUAUCUGUCCCUUCAUUCAUAUAUCUUACCUUCCGGAGAAAGUUUUAGAUAAGAACAUUUAAAUCAUACAAAUUUACUUACUCAAAGUGUUUACUAUAUAUAUGACUAUAUGUACUCAGUUUUCUUCAUUAGUUGCAAUAACUGGACUCAAUAACACAUAAAUUGAUUGGUCAUGCCUAAAUAUACAUUAAUUUAAUACCUUUCAUUCCAUAAAAUUUGACUCAAAUAUUGUAAAUCUCAAAAACACACAUAAUUUAGAACACUUUUUUAUCAUAAUAUGAAAUUUAGUUGAUUUUUAAUUCUUCUUUAAAUUAAAAACUUUAAUAUGUUUUAUUAAUUAAUUUACAUUAAAGUAUUUUUAUAUAUUAGAGAAUAUUAUGAGAGAGAGAGAGAGAGAUAAAUUAUGUACAAUUUUGUAGCAUUAAAUCUUCCUUCUAUUUUCUAAAGUUUUGCUUUUGAUUCUUCCCAAGUAAAUAAGAUAAUUAUCUAGAUAUUAUUUUCUUUUUUUUAUUAUUUUUUAAGAUUUUAUCAAUGUUACAUCUAUUAUAUUAUGUACAGACAUUUUAAUCUUGAUUUUGGUUUUAUAUUUUAGAGUAAAAAUUACUUUACUUUAUGCUAUUUUUAUUUACAGUUUUUAUUAGAAGUGAGAUUAGCAUUCCUAAUGAGCUAGAUCCAUCUUAAUAAUUAAAGUCUGUUGAUCAAGUCCAGUGAAAAAACAGACACGCUCAAUCAACAAGUUUUAUUAUGCAGACGUCAUCAUUGCACCAAGCUACAGUGGUCCAAACCGGGUAGAAAUCGAUACGUGGAGAAACAGUUUACCAACAGUGCUCUCAGUAUAGUAGAUCGGCGACGAACUCAUCGUUACCUACAUCCGCAGAGCAGUUCGAACACAAGGCUUAAGGUUCAUGCCUCCAAAAGACGCUGCAAGCACCACAUCACCUUGGAUACGCAGAGAUCCGUCUGUUCAACCCCCGCUAUAAAUACGCUGUGAAAGCUCAUUUAUGAAGACUUUCUUUUUAGCUCUCGACAUUAUAUUUCUCUUUUUUAAUAAAACACUUAAACACUGUUGUAAAGCACACUGAGCUGAUUAAUAUAAAGAACAUGGUCCCUGACCUGUUCAUCUUCGACUCAAAUCUUGCCUAGAAUCAAAUCUCUUCUAAAUUACAGAAAUCUCACUCUAAUCUUACUAUUAUCUUACUUAAUCAUACUUAGUGAUCUCUUGAAUCAACAAGUAGUGAUAGAAGGAAGGAAUAUAGAGAUUUUCUACAUGCAAAGAAGAUUUCGAAAUGGCAGGACCACCAUCCUCAGGAAUUCUGAAACCAACACCACCUAUCGAGCAACCAGCGGCAGCACAGGUUGUAACUCACGUGGCACUUCUGUUGCUCGCGCCGACUUUCAAUUAAAACCAAAGGAGAUUCCAAGACCUACGGACUCCGGGGUUCCUCCACCACAAUCAGCUCCGCCCCCUGCUCCGGAGCUUGCACUGACCAGCAGUACCACUCGUCAGACCCCAAACCUCUUAAUGACACCAGCUCCUUUCAUAUAGACGGUCCCACCUAGCUUGAGAUACGCAUUACAACCGGCCUGGUACAUUGAUUCUAGAUCAACCACAGCAGUCUCUUCCGUCAAACAAGUAGUUUCGAAACGUAGAGACAACGUCUCAGGAGUGGGCGAAAAAGGAUAAUCAAGCCUUCUGCAAAUUCCAUCUAAGGAAAAUGCAUCCCACCGAGAAGUGUCAUAAGCUCUAGGAGGCCCUCUUAGCUCAAUAUAAUAAAGGAGAGAUCAGAGUUCCUGACCAGCAGCUUUCGCGGGAAAACAAUGGCCGAUCUAGGAUCGAUAACCGACGCGGUCAGCAGGAAAAUCAACGUCCGACCGAUAACCAGGCUCCAAGAGAUAACCGACGUCAACGAUCUCCCUCUCGAGAGGAAGAUAGAUGGCAGCCCGCUAAACAGCAAUCUGCACCGCGAAGACAAGAGUUUCCCUCUCCAGCUCGGACAAUGAUCGGAAUGAUCAUGAGUUGCCUCCUCUCUUGCACUAAUUCAGUUUAGUCAAUCAAGUUGCACGAAAGGAAGACCACUCCGACAGAGAUGUACGUGGCCAAGAUAAGGGACACAAACACUCAGAAUACAAGCAGAAAGGGAAUCACGUUCACCGAGACAGACGUCAAAGGAGUUGACCAACCGCACAAUGAUCCCCUCGUCAUUCAGAUCCGCGUGACUGACUACAAUAUAACCUGGGUCUUUGUCAAUAUGGACAGUUCGGUUGAUCUCAUAUUCAAAGAGACCCUCGAGCAGAUAAAUCUUCGUGGCAUCGAGAUGAAGCCAUCCGUCACCCCUCUGACCGGCCUCGCCGGAGAUACUAUCACGGUGAUCAGCACCAUCAGGGUACCUGUCUAAACCCUAAGUCAGCUAUCUACAACAUCAUACUCGGAACCCCGUGGCUACACUCAAUGAAGACGAUCACCUCGACCUACCACCAAUGCCUCAAGUUUCCCAACCAAUCCAGAACAUUCACAGUAUAGAGCAACCAAUGGAUCUUGCGUUCAUCCUUCAUUAUCGAGCAUAAAAUCCAUAUCUCUGCCCGCACCCAGCUCUGCGCAACGAUAAAAGGAAAAGGCAUAUCGAUCUGCCAGGUUGUUGCCCCAGAGCUCCCAAGGAAACUAAUCCAAGAAAACCGUCCAGCCCUCGUCAUCCAGGUGAACAUUGAUCCGAGUAACCGCGAUUGUUGCGUUAGAAUCGGCGCAGAAAUUGUAAGAAACAUUAGAAAUGAGCUCAUCAAAUUCCAAUGCUUGGCGAGCUCAUACAAUCGCCGUUCUGACUACUCACCCCCUUUCGAACGAUCCUCCACAGCCCAAGCUAGUCAGCAAGAAUGAUGAAGUAGACAGUGGAGCUUAGCGAGUAUGACAUCGACUACCGCAAAUGCACCGUUGCAGAAUACCAAGUAUUAGCAGAUUUCUGAGUAGAGCUAUCUCUCGAGCUAGUAGGGGAGGAGCCCGACAAAAAAUGGAUUUUACAUGUCGACAGCUCCGCCCCGAAGCACGGCUCCGGAAUCGGCAUAUGUUUGGAGUCGCUGACCCGACCCGGCAAAACCCGACCCGACCCGACCCAAAAAUACGGUUUGGUUCAAAUUUGGUAUUUCAAUAUAACCCAUGAUUCCUCUUCAAAUUUUAUUCGGGUUUCGGUUCAGUUUGGUUUUUACUCGAGAACCAUUCAGAUAUGGAAUAACCUAAAACACAUUAACCAUAUUUUUCUAUUUUUGGUUUAUUGAUCAAUUUGGUAUUAUCCACUAUGGGCCGAGUUGGGUCAUUUCAUAUUAUCUAAUUUAUUUUUGUUAAUUAAGCCCACCUACAAAGAAUUCACAAAGUAUUUUUUUCAUUGUAUCGUUUUCUUCCUCUUUUUUUUUGUUAACGUGAAAAGAUAAUUAAUAUCAUCUUCUUCCUCAUCUCUUCUUCUACAUCUCUUUUUAUUCUCUUCUGAUCUUCUAUCAUCUCAUCUCCUUCUUCUCCUUCCCACCUCUAAUUUUUCUAUUCACUUCAUCUCGCGAUUAGGAGAACUCUCUCAUCUCGACACUUCAUCUCAUCUCUCUUUCAAACCCUGGGCAAAUUGAAGUAUCUUCUCAUGGUCCUCGUCGGAGACAUCCGUUACAACUCUUAGCAUCGUUAUUGCAGGUCGAUUCAGUGCCUCGAAUAAUCGAUCUGACAGUGGCUUCAAUUGAGGCUUGGUUGAGUUAGGGUUUGCACGACCUCCAUCACCAAAGCUUUCAAAGCUGAAGCUCGUUUCUCCAACCAUGGCUCACACUCCAAAACCAGAGAUCGUCAUAUCCCAUCAAAUGUCUCUGACUCAACUGUCGAUGGCGAGUUUUUCAUCCGAAUGUCGACAAAAGGCUUAAUUUUGACUUACAUUUCGGGUAAUUCGGGUUUUUCGGGUAAAAACUCUACCCGAAUUGAACCAAAAAAAUUCAGUUCUACAUCGGUUCUAAUUUGAAAUCAAGAAACCGACCCGAACCCGAAAAAGACCCAAACCAAAUCAAACCAAAAAAUUUCCAAGACCCAUAUGGGACAAUUCUUCUCUAUCCAAAAAAUCUGAAACCUGAAAAAUCCAAACCGACCCGACCCGAAGACCUGAAUGCCCAGAGCUACAUAGAACAAUCAUUCCGCCUGGCAUUUCAGACAUCAGACAACAAGGCAGAAUAUGAAGCCCUAAUCGCUGGCCUGAGACUUGCAAAAGAGAUCAGCAUCAUCACAAAUCAAUUUUGUGGUGAGUACGAGACAAAAAACGAUCGCAUGGAGGAGUAGCUCAAGGGGGUCCAUGGAUUAGCAUCUGAGUUCUCCGAUUCAGCCUCACUAAAAUCCCCCAAAGUGAUAACACCUCUGCUGACACUAUAGCCGCCCUGACCUCUCUUUCUGACCCGAUCCCAACGGCGCGUACUCCCAGUAGAAAGCAUCAAGCUGUCAAAAGGAAUCAGCCUAAUCAAUGACUUUCUUGUCAACGAGCUUGAUAACAACCCUGAAGAUGCGCAAGGCGAUAACAACCUGCCACCUCUUCCAUUGGAACCCGAGAACCCGGAGGCGAAUACAUAUUCUGCGGUACAUCUUCGACGGGAACGUACUAGAAGACCGAUGGGCAGCUUGGCGAUUGAAGAAGAAGUCGGCCAAAUAUUUCCAUUCAAUGGAAAUCUGUUCCGAUUGACCAAAACAGGUGCCCUGCUCAGUUGUCUAAACAGCGACGAAACCAUCGACGUAAUGAAAGAAAUGCACGAAGGUGCUGAAGAGAACGACUGCAGCAGACGAUCUCUCGCACUUCGGAUCCGCAACCAGGAACACUAUUGGCUGACAAUGGUCCAAGACUGACACAAAAUCGUAGCCCGAUGUGAGAAAUGCCAGCACCACAGGACGAUGAUCCACUCACCAACCGAGCUCCUCACCACCAUAGAACUGCCCUACCCAUUCAUAUGAAGGGCCAUGGACAUCGUAGGACUACUGCCCAGAUCCCACCAAAACCGCUUCCUCCUGGUGAUGACCGAUUACUUCACCAAAUGGGUCGAAGUUGAAUCAUAUGCCAAGAUAACCGUCAAAAUGUUCGCAAGUUUGUGUGGAAGUUCAUCAUUUGCCACCACGGUCUGCCAUACGAGAUCGUCACAGACAAUAUCACCAAGUACACAUCGAUAAUAUUCGAGGACUACUGUGCAAAAUGGAAGAUCAGACUGAACAAAUCCACCACUAGGUACCCACAAGGCAACGGCUAGGUCGAGGUAACAAAUGAGACAUUCUUCGAUGGCCUCAAAAAGCGGUUGAACGUGAAGAAAGGCCUCUCGGCGGACGAGCUUGAUAGAGAAUUAUGGUCUCACCGCACUACACCUCGGAGAGCAACCGGCCGGACCCCCUUCAGCUUGUCACAUGGCAUGAAAGGAAUGGCUCCCUUAGUGAGGUUGCCAACCAUGCCCCAGUUUAUGCUCACACAACGAGCCGAUUUCAACAACAACAUGAUCUUCAGUGAGCUUGACCUCUUUGAAGAGGAGCGCGACCAGUCUCUGCUCCGCAUGCAGAAUUAUCAGCAGAUAGCCUGCAAAUACUACAACAAGGAGGUAAAAGAAAAUUUUUUCACAGAAGGCAACCUGGUAUUACAGAAAGUUUUCGAAAAUACGGCUGAGCUAAACUGAUAUGAUCGUGACCAGCUCAGAGGAGGAGGAACCAGAGGUAGCUGGCAGGAUCACUCGUUCCAGAGCUAGAGAGAUGGCUAAGGAGGCUCACGCACUCAUUGCCACGGAGGACAGCGAUCACCAGGAGGCUGGAGCUCACAUCUUCAACAUCUCUAUCUUGAAGAAUGAAGAACCCAGUAACAAUGACUAGGUAACUUAGGUGAUGAUUCUGUACUUUUUUCCUUGGUGAGGAUUUUGGAAGGCAAGGAGGUUCUUCUCCAAGGUUUUUAACGAGGCAGAAAUCAUUGCUACGUCGAGUUACUUAGAAGUUGUUACUAAUGGGUAAUAAUGUGCAAAGUCACAAUGACUUGUGCACUUAGUAUUUUGGCGCACCACUUAGGAUUUUUAGGGACGCCUCGCUGUUUUUAUUUUAAAUCAAACUUCCUGUUGUUUUUAUUUAAACUUCAUGUAGUUUUGUUUCUUUAGGGCUGCGAUUUCUCUAAGUCUAUAUAAUAGAGAAAUCGCCUAAGUCAUUAGGCAGCUUGGAAUUUUAACGUAAAAAAAGAACAGCAUCGUUUUCCUUGAUUCCUUGACUCAAAAGUUCAUUGAAUUCGAUUUUCUUACAAGUGUUUCUUACAAGAAAAUCUUCAACCUAUCAUCUAAUCGAUUCCCCAUCCUCUAUUCUCGCCAUCAUCCCUUAUCCAUCGACCAUACUCUCGCGAAUCCAUCACUACCAGAUCGUUUCGGAUCCGAUCUCUUCACGCCACCAUCUCGCAUCAUCAAUCCGAGCCACUCACUACCAUCGCCACUCAUUGUCUCGCUCACUAGACCACCAUCGCAAAUCCAUCGAGUCAUCACCGCGCCACCACCACCACCUUAUCGCCUCAUCGUUCCAUUUUGGUCAAUAUAUCGCCACCUGUAGCCUUGUUCUUCAGAGUAGAUUCCCUUGGAUCGUAUCACGUGGUAUCAGAGCCAACUCUGAACCAAAGGCUGAGCGAAACUCUAACCCUAAUCUCUGUGCUUUGAAUUUUCGUCUCUGUGAUAUUAGGGUUAGCGAGUUUUGUGACUGUGUGCAUCGAUUUGAUUCCUUUUGUUUCAUAUCAUCGCAUCGUUCCCUCUUGUUUUGUGUUUAGGAUCGAUCGCUGUUAGGAUUCCUGUUAGAUCGUGUUCGUCUCAAGUUUAUUUCGAGUCUGAUUGUUUUUCGAGUCUGCUCAUUCAUUGUUUUCGUUCGGAUCGAUACGAGUCUGCGUGUAGUCGUGUUCUUAGGGUUUGUUAAGAGUCUGCGCGACUUCGUUAGGUUUGUUAGGGUUUCGUGAUCUCGUAACUUGUUUGUUAGUGUGUUAGGGAUUCGUUAGUCUUCGAUUUUUGUUGUUAGGCCUCGUUUUUCAUCGUUUUUUUUCGUAUAGGCUUGUUAGGAAAUCUUUUUUUUGUGAUUUCUGUUAAGUUUAGUAAAAAAAAAAAAAAAAAAAAAGAGUACAAAAAAAAAAAAAAAAAUUUCGUUAAAUUUCAUUAGUUUCGUUAAGUUUGUUUUUAGAUUUCGUGGGGAUCUUUUAAUUUUUUUUUUAUGAUGCGUUUAGUUUUGCUGUUUUUGUGAUUCCUUCUAGAACAAGUUACUGCGAGUUUUUUUAAAAAUUUUCAGGUACCAUGGAGCUUUCGGCUGAGGCGAUGGAAGCUCUGAACCGAGCAAUGUCUCAACAAAUUAAAGAAGCGAAUCAGGCCAUAGCAACUCAGCUCACACAACAAAUCGAACAACUCAAUGACAAGUUCGAGACGAAGAUGACUGAUCUGCUCAAAGACCUCAGCGCAAGUGGAGAAGAGUCGUCUCAAACUCCAACUCCUUCGGAAGCAAUGCGCUUAGCAAAGGGUAAAGGGCACAUAGGAUCUUCCCGAAAACUUCCACGCCACCCAACACCUUCCGAAGCCAGGACUAAAGCUAAGUCCAGUCGAAGCCAGAUUGGGGGCAGAGAGACUACGUUUAAUCCGAGGAGGAAUCCUACUGGUGCAGAACGAGAUGGCCCAAGGGUAGAUCGUCAGCACCGCCGAGAGGAAUAUAUUGCUGGGCAUCGAGUUACCCUGGAAUCAGACCCAGAAUACUAUGAGGAGGACGAAGCUUCUGAUCAUAGCAGAGAAACUGUGAGACGAGAUCGAGGCCGAGGACAUGGUCGAGAUUAUGAUCCUCUACAACAGCAGCUGCGUCAUAUCAAAAUCCAGUAUCCUCCUUUCCAUGGAACUAAUGAUCCCGAAGCUUAUUUAGAUUGGGAAAGGAAGAUGGAGUCUAAUUUUCUGGUCCAAGGAACUUACGAGCUCAACAAGGUGAAGAUUGCGGUUUCGGAAUUUCAUGGGUAUGCGCUUCUAUGGUGGGAGCAGUUGGGAGUCACCAGAAAUCGCUUGAGGGAACUUCCGAUUACUACUUGGGAGCAGCUCGUUAUACAGAUGAGGAAGCGGUUCGUUCCGGCCCAUCAUCAGCGCGAGAUACUCAACAAGCUUAGGCGCCUUGUCCAAGGUACGAAGUCUGUUCGAGAUUAUUAUCAAGAAUUGGAAACUUUGCUCAUUCGUGCAGAUUUACGAGAAGGCGAAGAGAUGGUAAUGUCGAGAUUUCUUGGAGGACUUAACCGAGAAAUUCAAGACAAGGUGGAACUUCAGGAUUUCGCAGAUAUACAAGACAUGGUGCAUAAGGCUGAAUUGGUGGAAUCUCAAGUCAAGAGGCGAAAUUUCAAGUCCACAUUCACGCCUAGUGUGCCUAAGCCUAAGGAGAUCAGCAAGCCAGCUUACUCCAGAGACAUCAAACCGCCAUCUACUGGAGUUAAAGAAGAAGCUAAAGCUGAGUUCAAGCCUCGAGGUGGCACUUCUAUCAGCAAUGUGAGGUGUUUCAAAUGUCAAGGAAUGGGACAUUACUCUCGAGAUUGCCCAAACAAGAAGGUUUUCUUGUUACAUGAGGGAGGAGAGAUAGUUCCUCAAGAGGAUUCAGAGGCCGAAUAUGAAUUAGAGGAAGAGGAAGAAGCUGCUGCUGUGGGCGAGAUGCUGGUUGCCAGAAGGACUUUGAGUGUUCAGAGUCAACCUGAAGAGACUUGUCAGCGAGAGAACCUGUUCCAUACGAGAUGCUUCAUUCAAGGAAAAGUUUGUAGCCUGAUCAUAGAUGGAGGAAGUUGUACUAAUGCUGCAAGCGAAGAGAUGGUUAAGAAGCUCCAGCUCAAGACUAUUCCUCAUCCAAGGCCGUAUAAGCUUCAGUGGUUGAAUGACAGUGGAGCCUUGACCGUAUCUCAGCAAGUGAUGGUUUCUCUAUCCAUUGGGAAGUAUGAAGAUGAGAUUCUAUGUGACGUCAUUCCCAUGGGUUCGAGUCAUGUGUUGCUAGGCAGACCGUGGCAAUCAGAUCGUAGGGUGAUACACGACGGUUACACCAACAAGCACUCAUUCGAGUUCAAAGGUCGCAAAAUUACCCUCCUACCUCUCACGCCUACCGAGAUUUAUCAAGAUCAAGUUCAAAUGAAGCUCAAGGAGAAGGAGAAAGUCGCCAACAGCCUCUACAUAAACCACAGUGAAUUUUCUAAACUCUUUGAUCCUGAAAUGACUACUUUUAUGUUUGUGUACAAGGAAUCCCUUGUUAGUACUAACCCUUCAUAGGAGCUUCCUAGUGCUAUGUUUGAGAUUUUGCAGGAAUACAAGGACGUUUUUCCAGUAGAAAUUCCACCAGGGCUACCUCCAAUUCGCGGGAUAGAGCAUCAGAUUGACUUGGUACCAGGAUCAGCCUUACCUAACAGGCCAGCAUACCGAACCAACCCUGUAGAGACUAAGGAGCUGCAAAAGCAAGUGGAGGAGCUGAUGAGCAAAGGCCAUAUCCGAGAAAGCUUGAGUCCAUGUGCGGUUCCAGUUCUGUUGGUGCCAAAGAAGGAUGGUUCCUGGAGGAUGUGUGUAGACUGCCGAGCUAUCAACAACAUCACUGUGAAGUAUCGGCAUCCGAUCCCAAGGCUAGAUGAUAUGCUGGAUGAGCUCUGUGGGUCGACAAUCUUCUCUAAGAUCGACUUGAAGAGUGGAUAUCAUCAGAUCAGAAUGAAGGAAGGGGAUGAGUGGAAGACGGCAUUCAAGACAAAGCAGGGACUCUACGAGUGGCUAGUUAUGCCGUUUGGCCUCACCAAUGCUCCCAGCACCUUCAUGAGACUAAUGAACCAUGCCCUGAGACCAUUCAUUGGCGUGUUCGUAGUGGUUUAUUUUGACGAUAUCCUCAUCUACAGUAAAGGUUUGGAAGAACAUCUAGAUCACAUCAGAUCGGUUCUUGAUGUUCUUCGCUCUCAAUCUCUCUUUGCUAAUUUAUCUAAAUGUUCAUUCUGCACUAACGAGAUUGUUUUCUUAGGCUUUGUAGUAAGUGCAGGAGGAGUUAAAGUAGAUGAAGAGAAGAUAAAAGCUAUCAAGGAGUGGCCAACCCCCAAGAAUAUUGGAGAAGUCCGAAGUUUCCAUGGCUUAGCAGGAUUCUACAGGCGUUUUGUUCGUGAUUUCAGCACCAUAGCCGCGCCUUUAACCGAAGUAAUCAAGAAAGACGUGGGGUUCAAGUGGGGAGAGGCGCAAGAACAGGCUUUUACAGCCCUUAAAGAGAAGCUUAUCAAUUCGCCCUUACUAGUACUUCCUGAUUUUACUAAGACUUUUGAGAUUGAAUGCGAUGCUUCUGGUGUAGGUAUUGGAGCAGUUCUUAUGCAGGAUAAGAAGCCCGUCGCUUACUUCAGCGAAAAGUUAGGAGGAUCGACGCUGAAUUAUCCCACGUAUGAUAAGGAGUUAUACGCAUUGGUUCGAGCUCUCCAGACGUGACAGCAUUACCUAUGGCCUAAGGAAUUCGUCAUUCAUACCGAUCACGAGUCCUUAAAGCACCUCAAGGGUCAGCAGAAGCUUAACAAAAGACAUGGGCGAUGGAUGGAGUUCAUUGAGACAUUCCCCUACAUUGUUAAGUACAAAAAAGGUAAAGAUAAUGUGGUCGCAGACGCAUUAUCCCGGAGGUACACUCUUGUUUCGACUUUAACAUCAAAGUUGAUUGGAUUUGAGCAUAUUAUAGAUCUUUAUGAAUCUGAUACUGACUUUUCUGAGAGCUAUGCCAAAUGUCAUAAGUUUGCCUGUGAGAAAUUUUAUAGACAGGAUGGAUACUUGUUCUUCAGUAACCGAUUGUGCAUACCACGAGGAUCCAUUCAAGAAUUAUUGGUACGAGAAGCUCAUGGAGGUGGAUUAGCUGGACAUUUUGGUGUUACAAAGACACUUCUUGGACUACAAGAGCACUUCUACUGGCCGAACAUGAAGAAGGACGUUGAGAAAAUCUGCUCUAGAUGUGUCGUAUGUAAGAUGGCUAAGAGUAAAGUUCAACCUCACGGUUUGUAUACUCCUUUGCCUAUUCCUUCUCAACCUUGGACUAAUAUCUCUAUGGAUUUUGUAGUUGGCUUACCUCGCACCAGAAAUGGUAGAGAUUCUAUUUUUGUAGUUGUUGACAGGUUUAGCAAGAUGGCUCACUUCAUCGCUAGCCACAAGACAGAUGAUGCUGUGAAUGUAGCUAACUUGUUUUUCAGGGAAGUAGUACGACUGCAUGGAAUGCCACAGGUUAUCGUUUCAGAUCGAGACACGAAGUUCUUAGGACACUUUUGGCGAACGCUUUGGGCUAAGCUGGGAACAAAGCUCUCAUUCUCAACUACGUGUCAUCCUCAGACCGAUGGACAGACCGAGGUGGUGAAUAGAACGUUGUCCACACUUCUAAGGACUUUGGUGAAAAGUAACCUCAAGACUUGGGAAGAGUGUCUGCCUCAUGUCGAGUUUGCUUACAAUCACGCUAAGCAUUCCGCUACUCUCUUUUCUCCUUUUGAAAUUGUAUAUGGGUUUAAUCCACAAUCACCUCUAGACUUGAUCCCUUUGCCUUUAAGUGGAAAAUGCAGCUUGAAUGGCAAGGAGAAAGCUGAACAGGUCCGCAGAAUACAUGCUAAGGCUAAGGAGAACAUCGAGAAGAAGACAAAGCAGUAUGAGAAACAUGCCAACAAAGGGCGAAAGGAACUGAUUUUCGAAGAAGGAGAUCUGGUGUGGAUCCAUCUGAGGAAGGAGCGAUUUCCAGCUGAGCAAAAGAACAAGCUAAUGCCCAGAGUUGAUGGACCAUUCGCAGUCAUCAAAAGAAUCAACAACAACGCCUAUCAGAUUGAUCUUCAAGGUAAGUAUGAUGUUUCUGAUACUUUCAAUGUUUCUGACUUGCUUCCUUUUGUUGCAGAUUCAGAUUUGAGGGCAAAUCCUUUUCAAGAGGGAGAGGAUGAUAUGAUCGUGACCAGCUCAGAGGAGGAGGAACCAGAGGUAGCUGGCAGGAUCACUCGUUCCAGAGCUAGAGAGAUGGCUAAGGAGGCUCACGCACUCAUUGCCACGGAGGACAGCGAUCACCAGGAGGCUGGAGCUCACAUCUUCAACAUCUCUAUCUUGAAGAAUGAAGAACCCAGUAACAAUGACUAGGUAACUUAGGUGAUGAUUCUGUACUCUUUUCCUUGGUGAGGAUUUUGGAAGGCAAGGAGGUUCUUCUCCAAGGUUUUUAACGAGGCAGAAAUCAUUGCUACGUCGAGUUACUUAGAAGUUGUUACUAAUGGGUAAUAAUGUGCAAAGUCACAAUGACUUGUGCACUUAGUAUUUUGGCGCACCACUUAGGAUUUUUAGGGACGCCUCGCUGUUUUUAUUUUAAAUCAAACUUCCUGUUGUUUUUAUUUAAACUUCAUGUAGUUUUGUUUCUUUAGGGCUGCGAUUUCUCUAAGUCUAUAUAAUAGAGAAAUCGCCUAAGUCAUUAGGCAGCUUGGAAUUUUAACGUAAAAAGAGAACAGCAUCGUUUUCCUUGAUUCCUUGACUCAAAAGUUCAUUGAAUUCGAUUUUCUUACAAGUGUUUCUUACAAGAAAAUCUUCAACCUAUCAUCUAAUCGAUUCCCCAUCCUCUAUUCUCGCCAUCAUCCCUUAUCCAUCGACCAUACUCUCGCGAAUCCAUCACUACCAGAUCGUUUCGGAUCCGAUCUCUUCACGCCACCAUCUCGCAUCAUCAAUCCGAGCCACUCACUACCAUCGCCACUCAUUGUCUCGCUCACUAGACCACCAUCGCAAAUCCAUCGAGUCAUCACCGCGCCACCACCACCACCUUAUCGCCUCAUCGUUCCAUUUUGGUCAAUAUAUCGCCACCUGUAGCCUUGUUCUUCAGAGUAGAUUCCCUUGGAUCGUAUCAUAAACGUAGGAAAGCUCGGGGCCAGCUGGGAAAGUCCCUACCUCAUCUCCUAAGUCGUCAAACCAGAGGUGUACGAGCUGGUUACAAUUGGUGGUAAAGCAAUCCCGCACUCAUGGAAUGCGAUAAAUCUGAAAUGAUAUUACUACUAGGCUCCUGAGCUCAUAAUCUCAUAUAUGUAAACAACCAAACUACAACUGGCUUGAUCCCUUCUAUUGAAAGAUAUGUAGGCAGCCUCUAACUCGGGCACAGUUACUAGUAUAGUUAAAUCUUUCUAAACAAAGAAAAUUUCUCCUAAACUACAUAUUCAAAGCUUAGUUCUGACUCACACAAACCAUAUGUGUUCAAGCCAGGUUCUGACCUGCACCAAACAGCACACAAGCUUUAAGUGUUUUAAGCCGAGCUCGCUAUUCACAUCUCUACCAAACUUUCUUUAAAGUUUAAGCCGAGCUAGCACCUUGCAAUUUCCAAUAGGAUUCGCAGAAAAAUCAUUGCAUUUAAGGAAAAACGGUCCACGGACUACAACCAAAAAUAAUGGCACUUUGGCCAACAACAUGAUACAAAAAAGGGUGAAAAACAAAAGGACAAAGACUUCGAGCUAUAAUCUGUCAACCCGGACGCCGCCAAUGUCUUCCGGGCUGACCAAGCGCAUAUUGGUUCUGUGGUCACCAUGGAAAAACUGAUUCCGCAAGCCAUAUUCAUCAUCUUCGGCAGCGCCGCCCUUAGGAGGAUCCGAAGACUUGACAAUCAGGAUAGGCUGCUAUUCCUCUGGAGCAGUCGAAUCGGGUGGGGCUUCAGUUAGAACGGGGAGAGUCUGCUGGAUCGGUAUCACAAGAACCUGCUCAGUCGGAACCUCCAAAUCCUCCGGGGUAAAAUCAGGAUAUUCAACCUGCUCCACCAGCUCUGUGAAUUUGACUUCAUCCUCCCUCCCUCAGCUUCUGCAUCAACUCGAGAGGAAUGACCAAACCUCUCUUCUUCUCCAGCUUCUCCAAGCAUUCUCACGUACCCACCACCUGACUUAAAAGCAGGUGCUAGUUCAACACCUGAUCACGACCUACCAAAUAGUUGCAGAAUUUUUUCAGUUUGGCAGCCCACCUCUGAUUUCUAACCAUCCACGUCGCCAUAAACCUUAUCAUUCUCAGCCUUCAACACGUUCCUGUCUUCUAGAUCGUGACAUUAUGGGCGGCGGCUUCGCCUCGGAGCUUGUCCCGCUCCUGCACAACCAGCUCAGUCACUGUCUUCAAUAAAACACGCUUCUCCUCUAGAGCCACUGACCUAUUCUUCUCCACCACCAGCUCAGCCCAGAGAUUAUCAGCCUCGGCAGCACACUGUUUUCUCCUCCAGAUGAACCUUUUCUUUGUCCAGCGCUGUAGAUCGGAUCUUCUCGUCCUCCAGUUCCUUCUUCAAUUCGUGAAUACGGACGGUAAGCUUCUUCUCACCAAGCUCGAUGCGCUUCUGAAGCUGCUAAAACUACUCCCGAGCUGCGUCUAGCCGCACCUCGUACUGCUCCGUAUGGACGGUCAUAGAGAUCAUUGCCUGCAAAAAAGGUUCUGAGGUAAAGUAAUAUAUAUUGAUGAGGACACUAACAUGGAGCAACUCCAAGAUUUGAAGAUCCCAUUCAUGCGAGAGCCACCAAGGACAUGAUCAAGCACAAGAAACAUGAGGGAGGAAUUCAAUGAAGCUGUGGAGAUUAUGUUGAUGCAAAAAGUCCCCAAGGAUCUCAUCAAGACAAUGGAAGCUCUCAAGAUAACAAGCUCAAGAGAUGCUGUGGACACCAAAGAACCAAGCCCACAUUCAAAACUCGAAGCCUAGCCGCUCUUAAAGAGUUAUCUCGGCCCAAAUGUGCAUAUGAUAUCUCCAACACCAAACAACCACACUUCGAGCCAGCCUUAAAGCAAUGUAAGGGAUUAAAUUUGAAUUCAUUAACGAAGUUUCGUUUUUCUGUUUUCCAGGUUUUGUUCUUUAGUCCUUUUGUUAUUUUUCCUUUUUAGACUUGUCUUAGGAUUUGUGGAUUGUUUUCUUUUUAUUUUCCCCGAGUCUGUUGCAUUUUGAACUUUCCUUUUUUUGGUUUGUCGACCCUAGAAAGUCAAGGCUGAAGGACUAUUUAUAAAUUCCAAUAUGCAGCCGUCGUAGACACAACUUUUACCCUAUUAUCAAUAAAGAGAGAAUUUUCUUCUAAAAACCCUAAGAGCUAAGAGUCUUGUGCGGCAGCCCCAUGUCUUGUGUUCUUUGACUUAUAAAAGCUAGAGUCAUCAGCUUUGUAGCAUCCAUCGAUCCAUCAAUUACUCAGCAUAUCAUUCCACCCACUCGAUUAAGUAAAGAGAGCCAUCGAGACCAGUUACUUAGUCUCCAUACUCUUUCACAUCUUUAUCAUCACUUGCCCGAGUAGAGAGAGCCAUUGAGGCCAGCUAAUUACAUCAUAUAUACUGAUGAUGAUCUACUUAUCCGAGCCAGAGCUCGAGCCGUAUUCUGAAAGAUGUCCAACUCAUCUAAGUCUCCAACCUCGCGAUUAUCGACCUCCCUACCAAAGCUCAUCGUGUAAGCCAGCUCGGUGCAUGCCUACUUGUCCUUUGGGAAGUCAAGAUCUGAGUUCCGAUAGUGGAAAUCGAAACUAUUAUCGGCCUGCCCCUUAGGAAUGCUCUGAUCGGUAGCCUGACCCUGUUCCCCAGCUCCCUCGUCACCUGGCAGCUCGGUUUAUUGAUCCCCAGCUACCUCGUCCCCUGACAGCUAUGUUUGCUGAUCGACAGGCGACACAGUCCUCUCGCCCUCAGCCUCUUUCUCUCCUGAGACACCGUAUCCACAGUCUACCUUUUCUUAGCUGGAGGCUCGGAAAAACUCUCACCCAGCUUGGAGGCUCCCCUUGUGGCAACACCUUUUCCCUUCUUCUCAGCAGUCCUCCUCCAGGGAGCAGAUGGACCGACCUGACCCAGUGCGCCAAUCGGCGCAAGCUCAGUGAUGGAAACAUUCCUUUCUUCACCAUCUGUUGAAGAUUUCUGGAUGGAGGUCUCCACCUCACUUGAUCUUGGAGGACCUUGACGAACAACCUUAUUCUGCUGCCAGUCGUUUGCAGCAGAAGUCUGCUCCCAGACUCUGGGAGAAGUAGUAGGAGGUGUCGCCACAAAUGAGGCGGAGUAAAAAAGAAUGGAAAACCUAUGUCCUACAUAAAACGAUAAAACAGAUCAGCACAAAUCAAACCACAAGCUAGAAAUAGUUAUUCCCGACCUACCAGACAUCACCAUUCAAACGCUUGAUAUACCUUUGCCUGGGUAAAUGAUUUCCACGACCUCUGAUCUGCCAAUCUGAGCUUGCCUAUGACCUCAGCAUAGCAAUCUAAAUAAUGGACGCCCAAUCUGCAAACCUCUACCAAGGGAAAGAUUCCACCGAGUCUUGUAUUGUGCAUGUGCACAAAAACCGGCUGCCUCGUUAGCCCGCAUGAAAAUAUAGUUUCGCUCCCAAAUACCGACCUUACUUGGCUUAUAAAAGAUGAUCCCCACACCCGGCCUAAAGGAUACGUAAAAAGUACUCGGGGUCGCCGGGUUGCCCUUGUUAGUCGUAGAAUCCUCAAACAUGCGACAAGUCACAUCAACCCCGUGCUCAGAUCCCAGAGUUAGCAACAACACCAUGCUUUGAAUGGUGCUCGGACACACCUAUGAGAUAGCUAACUCCCUCUUCUCGCAGUAGAAAAUAAGCAGCUCGGGGAUUAGAAAACGCAGCCCACACUGCAUGAAGUAAGAUUCGUAGAUGCAGAAAAACCCCGCGAGAGGAGUCCAAGGACGUUCAUUCUCAUUAGGGACCCUGACCUCCAUGUGGACAGGGGUCCCCCAUCUGGAAAGCAUUGAUCCGAUACUCUUCGCCGAGGUCCAGAUCUGGGAACCCUCGUAUUGAUAGGACACCUUCGGAGGUUUUGGAGCCCGUGUCCUCUGCCAGUUUGCCGACUACCCCAACUUUGACCGCCUUGCUCAACCCUACCUCUUCCCGAAGAAGAUGCCCGAAAGCAAGAACCCUAACAUGCUUCCCUAUCUGUCGAGCCCUCUGAGCCAAAGGGACAGAAUCAACAUCAAUUUCCUCCUCACGUCGGGCAGACGCGGUGUGUUCCGAACUCUUCUUCGGCGAAGAACUUUCUAGGAUUGAUUCAUACAAAUCUUCACGAGAAGACGAAUCGGUUUUGGACUCGGCUUUAAUCCUAUUAUGUAGUGACACCAUCACGGAAUAGGUGAAAGAAAUCGAUGAAGGAGAACCCGUGAACAGCGAAGCAGAAAUAAAAAAAAUAAAGUAGGGAAUCGAAGGAAGAAGAUUCCCAAAAUAGUGAAACAAAGCUGAUCAAAGAGGAGAGAACCCGAAAUCACGGUGAGCAAAGAUAAAAUCGGGAGAGUCUGGGAAAGGAGAAGACCCGAAAUCGCAGCAAACAAAAACAAAAUCGAAAGAGAAGAAAAUAGAAGAAUACCUGAGAUUUCUUUCGAAUAUGCAGAAGUGAGAAGGAAAGAGGAGAAAACAGUUUAAAUAGGAAGAGAGAAGAAAAAACAACCAAUCAAAGAAGUAGACGGUUGACACUUGUCAAAAUGGUUCGAUAACCGAGUAAAACCCUAAUGAUGUCACCGCUUUGGUGUCCACAUCGAGAAGCACAACAGUCAAAAAUCAAAAAAAUUCUCUUUGAUGUCAACGCGUAGCAAACACGCGCGAGCAAUUCAGAAGCUCUGGCGCAAAAAUCAUCCAAUUUCCCGCCUAACUCCGGAAUGCGAAAGGUCUGCCCUAAUUCCUUAAAUGAACCGAGCUAUGACAUUCCGAGCCACGAGGCGCUGAGCUAAUAUCACAGACUUUGGUGCAUUUGCUAUCUCCUCAUACACCGAACUAGGGGGGACUAUUGUUGAAACUGGGCUUAGAACCCCUAAUUAGCUAGGCCCAUCUUAACAAUUAAAGCCCGUUAACCAAGCCCAGUGAAAGUCAGACAUGCCCACUCGGCAAGUCUUACUGUGCGGACGCCAUUAUUGUGCUGAGCUACAGUGGUCCAAACCGGGGAAAAGUCAACACAUAGAAAAGCAUUUUGUCAACAGUGCUUUUAGUAUAGUAGAUCGGCGCCGAAUUCAUCAUUACCUACAUCCGCAGAGCAGCUCGAACACAAGGCUCGAGGAUCAUGCCCCUGAAAGGCGCUGCAAGCACCUCGUCACCAUGGAUAUGCAGAGAUCUGCCUGUUCAACCCCCGCUAUAAAUAUGCUGUGAAGGCUCAUUUAUGAAGGACCUUUUGUUUAGCUCUCGAUAUAUAUUUCUCUUUCUUGGCAAAACAUUUAAACACUGUUGUAAAGCACACCGAGUUGAUUAAUACAAAAACAUGGUCCCCGACCUGUUCAUCUUCGAGCCAAAUCUUGCCUAAAAUCAAAUCUCUUCUAAAUUACGAAUAUCUUGUCCCAAUCUUACUAUUAUCUUACUUAAUCGUACUUAGUGAUCUCUUGGAUCAACAGUUUUAAUAACCAGGAUAUUGAUUAACCUAUAAAUUUUUGACUAAUAACAAAAUGAUAAAAAUGAUUAUGUUUCUUUGUAAAAAUAUAUCAUUUUAAACAUAAAAUUAAAUUCCUAUUUAUAGAAUAUAAAAAAACUUAGAUAUUUCUAAUCGAAAUGAAGACUUUUAAAAUGGUAAAAAAUAUUAAUGGUAAAAAAAUUGCGAAUGCUAAAAUUACUUAAACCAGAAACGUGAAUUUUAAUCGAAAACAUCAACCUCUAUCCAUCCAUAAUCUGUCACGCAAAAACUAUAAUGUGAAACGAGAACGCAAACGUAAAUAUUUCAACUGAAACCCCUCCGAUUGUGAUGCAGAACUCUCCGAUUUGGUAAGAAACGUCCGAAAAAACAGUCAGCAAUAAAAAAUGGAAGAGACGAUGCAGAAAAAAAUUUGUUCUUCGAAGGAUUCGAUAUGGUCGAGAAAGAGAGACCAAAUGCUUUCUCCAAAACAAAUUUUCCUUGGUAGAAUGAAAUAACGCCAUGUCAUACACGAACCUCUCACAAAACAGGUUUUAAAAACUCUAAUAUAAGAACCGUCUCAACAGAUUUGUGGGCUUUGACAAAUAAAAUAACCAAAAAAAAAAACUUAGAACCCCGCGUAUGAACCCCUAUAAACCCACGUUGGACAUGCUCUAACAUCAACAAAAGUGGAAGGUUUUGUUUCAAUUGUGAUACUUUUAGCCAUUUUAAAGAUAUUAUUGACAGAUAUCAAAGUUUUCAGACAAAAUGUACAACUAUUUAAAAACGAAACGUUAUAUAUGUUACUUAUAAGAAUUGAAAACCCAAAACUUCAUACUUUGCUUGCUGAACGAGUGUUAAAAUUUUGAACUUCAGAAUUUGUCAUUCUUCAUGCUGGGUAACAAUUUCUCUUGUUCUAGAAUUUCACGUUAAGUUUUGAGAGACGAAAGCCUAACCUUACAUGAAAGCCUUUUGAAGAAUAAAUAUGAUGCAUGCAUAAAAACAUUUAGUCUACUUUCAUAAUCAAUAAGAAUCAGAGACAUUUAGGUUGAGAAAUAUGGCAUAUACAAGGUUUAUGAAUAAGUCUUUUAUGAAUUGUAGUUAUACAGUUUAUGUUCUGCAGGUUAUUUAUUUUAUUUUAUUUUAUUUUGAAGCAUCAAUUUUAUUUUAUUUUAUUUUGAAGCCUCUUUUAACAAAUUGUACUCUCAUUCACUACAUGAAAAGAGGUGAAUAUAUAACCCUACUGCCUGUAAGCCCCAAGCCAAGUACACAAGAAUAAGCUCAAGAUGCACGUUCCGAGAAAGCUUGAGAGUUAGUGACAUUUCCACUGUCGUUUGGUAGAAUGAUGUCAAAGUUCGACUCUAGCUUUUGCAAUGGGAUUAAAACGGAUUUUAGACACGGCUGACAAAAAUAAAAAUAUAGAAUAAUAUUCGAGUUAGUAGAAAUAAAAGUAGAAAAGUAGAAAAUACUCAAAAGUUAAACACAGAAAACUCGGUUUGGUACAUAGGGAGAAGUGUUGAUGGCCAUGGAUCACAAUGAUUGGUUCAGAUACCAUAUUGAUAAGAUACCUUCGGAGGUUUUGGAGCCCAUGUCCUCUGCCAGUUCGGCAACUACCCCAACUUUGACCGCCUUGCUCAACCCUACCUCUUCUCAAAGAAGAUGACCGAAAGCAAGAACCCUAACCUGCUUCCCUAUCUGUCGAGCCCGCUGAGCCAAAGGGACAGAAUCAACAUCAAUUUCCUCCUCACGUCGGGGAGACGCGGUGUGUUCCGAACUGUUCUUCGGCGAAGAACUUUCUAGGAUUGAUUCAUCCAAAUCUUCACGAGAAGACGAAUCGGUUUUGGACUCGGCUUUAAUCCAAUUGAGUAGUGACACCAUCACGGAAAAGGUCAAAGAAAUCGAUGAAGGAGAACCCGAGAACAGCGAAGCAGAAAUCCAAAAAAAAAAAAGUAGGGAAUCGAAGGAAGAAGAUUCCCUAAUAAGUGAAACAAAGCUGAUCAAAGAGGAGAGAACCCGAAAUCAUGGUGAGCAAAGAUAAAAUCGGGAGAGUCUGGGAAAGGAGAAGACCCGAAAUCGCAGCAAACAAAAACGAAAUCGAAAGAGAAGAAAAUAGAAGAAUACCUAAGAUUUCUUUCGAAUGUGCAGAAGUGAGAAGGAAAGAGGAGAAAACAGUUUAACUAGGAAGAGAGAAGAAAAAACGACCAAUCAAAGAAGUAGACGGUUGACACUUGGCAAAAUGGUUCGAUAAUAGAGUAAAACUCUAAUGAUGUCACCGCUUCGGUGUCCACAUCGAGAAGCACAACAGUCAAAAAUCAAAAAACUUCUCUUUGAUGUCAGCACGUAGCAAACACGCGCGAGCAAUUCAAAAUCAUCCAAUUUCCCGCCUAACUACAGAAUGCGAAAGGUCUGCCAUAAUUCCUUAAAUGAACCGAGCUAUGACAUUCCGAAUCACGAUGAGCCGAGCUAAUAUCACAGAUUUUGGUGCAUUUGCUAUCUCCUCAUACACCGAACAAGGGGGGACUAUUGUUGUAGGUGGGCUUAGAACCCCCAAUUAGGUAGGCCCAUCUUAACAAUUAAAGCCUGUUAACCAAGCCUAGUGAAAAGUCAGACAUGCCCACUCGGCAAGUCUUACUGUGCGGACGCCAUUAUUGUGCUGAGCUACAGUGGUCCAAACCGGGGAAAAGUCAACACAUAGAAAAGCAUUUCGUCAACAGUGCUCUUAGUAAAGUAGAUCAGCGCCGAAUUCAUCAGUACCUACAUCCGCAGAGCAGCUCGAACACAAGGCUCGAGGAUCAUGCCCCUGAAAGGCGCUGCAAGCACCUCGUCACCAUGGAUAUGCGGAGAUCUGCCUGUUCAACCCCCGCUAUAAAUAUGCUGUGAAGGCUCAUUUAUGAAGGACCUUUUGUUUAGCUCUCGAUAUAUAUUUCUCUUUCUUGGCAAAACAUUUAAACACUGUUGUAAAGCACACCGAGCUGAUUAAUACAAAAACAUGGUCCCCGACCUGUUCAUCUUCGAGCCAAAUCUUGCCUAAAAUCAAAUCUCUUCUAAAUUACGAAUAUUUUGUCCCAAUCUUACUAUUAUCUUACUUAAUCGUACUUAGUGAUCUCUUGGAUCAACAGUUUUAAUAACCAGGAUAUUGAUUAAGCUAUAAAUUUUUGACUAAUAACAAAAUGAUAAAAAUGAUUAUGUUUCUUUGUAAAAAUAUAUCAUUUUAAACAUAAAAUUAAAUUCCUAUUUAUAGAAUAUAAAAAACUUAGAUAUUUCUAAUCGAAAUGAAGACUUUUAAAAUGGUAAAAAAUAUUAAUGGUAAAAAAUUUGCGAAUGCUAAAAUUACUUAAACCAGAAACGUGAAUUUUAAUCGAAAACAUCAACCUCUAUCCAUCCAUAAUCUGUCACGCAAAAACUAUAAUGUGAAACAAGAACGCAAACGUAAAUAUUUCAACUGAAACCCCUCCGAUUGUGAUGCAGAACUCUCCGAUUUGGUAAGAAACGUCCGAGAAAACAGUCAGCAAAAAAAAAUGGAAGAGACAAUGCAGAAAAAAAUUGUUCUUCGAAGGAUUCGAUAUGGUCGAGAAAGAGAGACCAAAUGCUUUCUCCAAAACAAAUUUCCUUCGUCGAAUGAAAACACGCCACGUCAUACACGAACCUCUCACAAAACAGGUUUUAAAAACUCUAAUAUAAGAACCGUCUCAACAGAUUUGUGGGCUUUGACAAAUAAAAUAACCAAAAAAAAAACUUAGAACCCCGCGUAUGAACCCCUAUAAACCCCACGUUGGACAUGCUUUAACAUCAACAAAAGUGGAAGGUUUUGUUUCAAUUGUGAUUCUUUUACCAAUUUUAAAGAUAUUAUUGAUAGAUAUCGAAGUUUUCAGACAAAAAUGUACAACUAUUUAAAGACGAAACUUUAUAUAUGUUACUUAUAAGAAUUGAAAACCCAAAACUUCAUACUUUGCUUGCUGAACAAGUUUUAAAAUUUUGAACUUCAGAAUUCGUCAUUGUUCAUGCUGGGUAACAAUUUCUCUUGUUCUAGAAUUUCACGUUAAGUUUUGAGAGACGAAAGCCUAACCUUACAUAAAACCCUUUUGAAGAAUAAAUAUGAUGCAUGCAUAAAAAAAUUUAGUCUACUUUCAUAAUCAAUAAGAAUCAGAGACAUUUAGGUUGAGAAAUAUGGCAUAUACAAGGUUUAUGAAUAAGUCUUUUAUGAAUUGUAGUUAUACUGUUUAUGUUCUGCAGGUUAUUUAUUUUAUUUUAUUUUAUUUUGAAGACUCAAUUUUAUUUUAUUUUAUUUUGAAGCAUCUUUGAACAAAUUGUACUCUCAUUCACUACAUGAAAAGAGGUGAAUAUAUAACCCUACUGCCCGUAAGCCCCAAGCCAAGUACACAAGAAUAAGCUCAAGAUGCACAUUUUGAGAAGGCUUGUGAGUCAGUGACAUUUCCACUGUCGUUUGGUAGAAUGAUGACAAAGUUCGACUCUAGCUUUUGCAAUGGGAUUAAAACGGAUUUUUAGACCCGUCUGACAAAAAUAAAAAUAUAGAAUAAUAUUCGAGUUAGUAGAAAGAAAACUAGAAAAGUAGAAAAUACUCAAAAGUUAAACACAGAAAACUCCGUUUGGUACAAAGGGAGAAGUGUUGAUGGCCAUGGAUCACAAUGAUUGGUUCAGAUACCAUAUUUUGAAGAAUACAUUCACGGUGUACGAUAUGUGGAGCCACCAUUUGAUGAAAGAAAGAUAUCAUAGACAGGAAGGUGAUCUAGGCAGGAUUUUCAUAAAUAGUCCAGUGUCCUUCAAAUUCCAAGUUGAUUCUUCAUCCGUUUCUACUCAGGUUUCUAUAAGUUUCGCUUAUUUCCCCAAAAAGACAUGCGAGACUCCUCAAAUAUUUAAAAAACUAUAUUUUUUUUUUUUGAAAACACGAUGUGGCCUAAAAAGACAAUGUGAAACAAUGAUAAAAAACUCUGGAAAACACGAUACAAUUAUCUAUAAGCCCAAACCAAAUUUGCACAAGAAUCAGCUCAAGAUGCAUGUCCCGAGUAGACCAAUGCGUCUGUGACAAUAUCACUCUUAUUUGGUAUAGAAUAGGACCAAAUUGUGACUCCAGCUUUUGUAACGGGAUUAAAAUGGAUUUAAGUCCCCGAUUACCAACAUAACAUAUAUAGAAAUAAUAUUUUGAGUUAGACUAUGUACAAUGGUUUUCUUUUUCAACACCUUCUUUUUUCUCUUUUAACACUCUACAUCAUAUUCUCUCUCUUUCACCUAAUCAUCCAACACACAAUUCAAUUUUUAUACUUACAAUAGUUUUGUUUAAUAAAAAAUUCAACACUCUAACCCAUUACUUUUAUUUUAUAUUUUUAUAUCUUUUAUAUAAAUAUUAAUAAUAAUUUUAAUAAAAUUAAAUUAAAUACUUAAAAUUUUUAAAAAAUCUAAAAAACAUCUCUUUUUAUUUUACAUUUUAAUUUUUUAAAAAUAAAAAUAAAAAUAAAAAUAAAAAAUAGAAAUAAAUAAGAGUUUUUGGAGACUAAAUAUAGUUUAAAAAAUGGUUUUUUCUGUGUCCAAAUGAAAUAAAACAAGUCUCUAUUUAUAGAGCUUGAAAAAUGAUGAAUUUUGGUACAAAAAAAAAUAAAUCAAAUAUAUUUUUCUAAAAAAUAAUUGAUAUUGAAUGAUUGGAGGGGAAGGAAAAAUAUCAAGAAUCUCAGCAACCAAUAAUAAUUGAACACGUGUCAUAAAUACCCCACAAUUUUUUUUCACGCUUGUUGAAUCUUUUCUACAGUUUUGAAUCCACAACAUCUUUCUUUUUUAUUCAACACAUCAUUGUAGAGAUUCAUCAGUUAAAUAAAGGGAAAGCGGCUUAUUAAUACCUCAACUGCAUGUAAUGGUACUGAUUUGUGCUUGUACAAUUUUGUUGUGCCUACACAUACCUGAACUAUUAAUAAUGUGAAUAUUCAUACCUAAACUCAAUUUUUUUUGGCCGAAACAUACAUUGACUUUUUAAUUGUUAGUCAAUUCCGUCAAUUUGUUAACGGAGCUGAGUCAUUUGCCACGCUGGAAUCUCCAUUAGACAGAUAUAUAUGAAACAAUGUCGUUUUGAAUUUAAAAAAAAAAAAUUAAAAAAGGUUUAAAAUUCCAGGAAUCGAUUCUUGUAUCUCGCUCCAAGAAAAAUGCCCAGUAACCACUACACCACAUAUUGUUUUCAAAAUUAAAACGCACCAUCAAAUAUAUGUACUAGGCGUAAAAAAAAUCUCUUGUAAAAUCUCUCUCUUUCUCUUUCGCCAGUGACUCGCGACAAUCAGGUCUGAAUCAUCCUGAGGUGUGAAUCCAUGGCAGAUGUAAAUCAAAUGAAAUCAUUGAAACCCAGAUAAAAAAUCCAAAUUUUUCAACACCCAUCUUAAUCCAACAAGAGAAAAAUCUGGAAUUUACACAGAUUGGGAGAAAGAUUCAAUCAGAAAAACCUGGAAUUUUUUCUUUGGGCUGGUUUUGUUUGUGGGUUCUAUGAUCUAAUUUUGUUUAAUUUGAAGAAUAGUUUACAUAAUUUGAAGAUUGUUUCCUUUUUUGGUUGAAUCUGGGUUCGAAAAUCACGAGAAUCUAGGUCGAAUCUGGAUCUUUUUUCUUUCUAAUAGCUAAUAGCUGUGUAAGUAUUAAAAUAUGUAAUAAUUUGCUUAAUGUUAAUAAUUGUAAUAAUUGUAAGUGGCGUAUUGGUAGCGUAGCUUGAGUUUUUGGUGGAGGAACACGGUUUAAAUCCCCUCAGAUUUGUAUAACUUUUUUUUUAAGAAUAAUUAUAAGAAAUGACCAUCCCGCCAUCAAUAUUUGCAAAAAUGACCAAGGGUAAAAAACGACACUGUUCAAUUUUUUUUAAUACCCUUUAGCCCAUUCACAUCUAUGCGAACACCUAUGUACUAGGGAAAAUAUUAUGUCAGAUAUUCAAAUAAAAUAUUGAUAAGGUAUUUGCAUUAAUGGAAACACUGUUCAUAUUCAACAUUUUGUCGGGGUAAAAUUCUAAUCGGUGUUUUAUCUUUCGGUCAAUCGAUACGGCGUUUCGGUUGCAAAUUGUAUUUGUCACAGCCCAUUUUUAUCAGUUCCGAGGUCUGUACAAAAACGUGAGAGCAGGGCACUGAUUCAGUAAAGAAGAUGGAGCUAUCAUUACCAGAGAGAAUAUUCGCCGCCGGCGAAGAACCUGUCGGCGAAAGGGUUAAUUGCUACCACAAAUCCAAGGCGAUUAACAACAUCCUUAGCGCAUUGGACGAAGAGGAGAAGGAUUAUAUGCGAAAAUCUCCGUUUGGCAAACUAAUCGCGACUGCGAAAAAAACCCUCCCUUUCCAGGAGUUUCGGCCACUUCAUCAUCACGAGGUUGCUCAAGGUUAGUAAAAAGUACGGAAUAUGGAUUCUUUUCGCCGGGCGUCCGAUUAGAGUGUCUCUCCGAGAAUUUGCGAUUGUCACCGGACUGCCGUGCGGCAAGUACCCAAAAAAGCAGAAGAAAAAGAAGAGAAACCCCAUUCGGGAGAAGCCAUACUGGCCGGACUUAUUUAGAAAUCUGAAGACAUGCAGCAUCGAAACAGUCGUGAAGAUGUUGAAGAAGAGGACAGUUGUUGACCGCGAGACGCGACUGGAGUAUGCAUGUCUUGCUUUAACCGGCGCAGUUUUGUGCCCCACCAAUCACAGAUCCAAAAUUGUCGCCGAACACGUGGAAUUGAUUAGAAGCAUCGAAGAGUUUUUCUCACAUCCGUGGGGCAGAGUGGGUUUUGAGAUGUUGAUGUCUAGCAUCAAAUCUAAAGAUGAAGUUGCACUGGCACAAAGCACGGUAGCUGUUAAAGGUUUCUUUCACGCGAUACAGUUAGUGUUGGUGGAGGCAUGUCCAUCGUUAACCGAAGUAGUUCAAUUGAAUGAGUCUUCCUCGGAAUCAGAAUCUGAAGGAGACGAAGAGGAGGGAGAGUCCGAUGACGUUGCCCCAGCCAACAUGCCGGAGAACCCCUCAAAUGAGCAAUCGAUUGCUGGCGAUGCCGAGAAAAACGCUGGAAAGCCUUCGACACACACAGAGUCGGCGAAUGUCGGACUAAGCCCAAGUCAUGCAAGGGAGAUCGACGAAGGAUGCAAGGUAAUAUCUUGCCCGUUAACUUUAACAUUUACUAUGUAACAAACUUUUUUGUUAUUUAACAACUUUAUGAUCGGACUAACAUUCGUGAUAACGAUGCAACUUUUUUGUACGCAGGUCUCGGUUUUUAGCAUUAUCCCCGACGAUUCAGAUUCUGCAAUGGAGGAUGCGGACUUUUGCUGGUCCGACGAGGAAGACGAUCCAAGGGUUGAUAAUAUGGUAAACCUCAUCGGGGAGAACUUUGAAUUCCGCAAAAACAUGUUUCAGGGUGGUUUGUCUCAGGCUGAGUUGGCGAAGAUGCGCCUUGAGAGGAAGGAAAUCAGGGAGCGGAAGGAGAGGGAGAAAGAGAAGGCCCAGGAAAAUGCAACCAAUCUUGGUGCCGCUGGUCCGUCGUCGACUGCUCCCCCCAACAUAGCUGAACUUUUGUCUGCCACGGUAAAGGCAGAGCUAGCUCCAGUUGAGCUAAAGGUGGCAGCCGCUGUCGACAAGAUAUCGACUAUUGAAACCAAUUUGUCCACUCUUGGCACUAUGAUGAAGACAGCUAUGGAACGGAUGAUUACAUCAAUGCAAGAACAAAUAAUAUCCAACAUUAUUGGUUUUCUAGGCAAGUCUGUUUCGGAAUUCGACAGACACGACACUGAAAAGAUAGAUCUACGGCUCGUGGAAACGCGGAGAGGCAAGGCGAUGCAGCACGAACAGGGGCAAGGAUUCAAAUCACCAGACACGGCAUCAGGUCCAAGCGGAUGUAGUUAUAAAUGACGCAAUUGCGUUUGCUAACAAUAUUAAUACCGAACAACAGACGGAUAUGCAGCAGGAGGGCGAAGGAGUUGGAGGUCUGAGUUCAGAAGCUGGCGAGAGCAAUGAGAGCCCGGAAGAGAGACAAGUACGUUAUAAGAUUAGGAUCAUAGUUACUCUUUUUGAUUUUUGUAUACAAUCAUAAAUAACCGCAUUAUAGGAGCUGUAGCUGUCUACGAUCUCUAUUAACUAAGACAACUAUAGGUGUACCUGAUAACAUUAAGCGUAACAACGAUGUGAGUUGUGACUUGUUAAUAUGAUUGAUUUUGCCAGGAUGGUGCUGCUGAAGGCAAUGGGGAUGGGGAUGACCCGGUUGACGAAAUUGGUGAUGAAGGAGAUGGUCCGCGGCGAGGCAAGAGGGCUAGGGUGCAGACAUCGUUCAACAACUUCCACGUGGAUCCGAAGUGGGUUUCAUGCACGAUGGGGAGCAAUCCCUUUUUAUGCCACAUUGAAGAACGACCAACUUAUUUUACAAAGUUUGCACGCUUACACGAGGUUUUGCAUAACUAUCGGUAAGGUCUCCCCAUGUUGGUAACUAUAAUGUUAGAUCGGUAGGUUCAACUAACAUCUGCCAAUAGAUAUGUUAGAGUUGCUAAUUAAAUUGUUAACCAGAACUUUUCUGUUUUGCACUAUAAUGUUACAACGAAUUUUGUGUUGAAAGUUUGUCUCCGUAUGUAGGGUAUUCAAUCUUGGCAGUGGCACAUCUGUUAACAACAAGGACGUUCUAGACAUAGCUGGUAGGACAAAGCCCAUGAUGGCUAAGGUAAUGCCUUCAUUCCACCGUCGUUCGACUUUAUCCACGACAUUAUAAUGUCUAACAAAAGUAAUAUCAGAUAACUAGGGGGUUAGAUUUAUAGUCACAUAACUAUGUUCAUAAGUUUUCAGUUUAAUUGUCUAGAUGUUUGUCUAAUGUAAAAUAAAAGUGUAGAGCCAAGCAUUUUUUUGUAUCUAGAUGAUGGACGCGCUUCUCCUAUACGCCCGCGCUGUCUAUGUCUCACAUUUUUCUGAGUCUCAUUUGAACAAGACGGCGUUUCUUGAAACCAAAUUCACGACUGCACUGAUGAAGACCUGGAGUAAGUUUUCACGUUUGGCUGUCAAAGACCGUCAUAGGUUCAAAUUUGGGGAUGGUGUCAUGGAUCACCUUGAGGUGGACAGCGUAGAGAUCCCUACGCCGGAGCGUUUGUAUUUUCCGUUCAACUUUGACAGGGAGCACUGGGUUGGCAUAGCUGUUGACACAACUGCUGGGAGUAUGCACGUGUUGGAUUGCAACCUCUCUUUGAGGACUGAUAGCGCUAUAAAGAAGGAGCUGGCCCCCAUAUCAAUGAUGUUACCGUACGUACUAAAGCAAAGUCCAUCCAAACAACGUAUUAGUGAGUCUAAACCUUACGUUAUCGUUCGACCUAAAGGGGUUCCACAGAACGGCAUCAUGUGCGAUUCUGGUGUCACAACUGCCCUGCUUAUAAUGUUACACUCGGUUGGAGGAAUUGACCGAUGCAAGAUGCUCACUCCUGAUGAGAUGGCCAAAGAGAGUCAGGUUUUGGCUGUUAAGUUUUUCGAGGAGUUUGAUGCUCCAGCGUAAGCCAAGGGUUGCAGGCCUUAACAGUUUGCUAAAACACUGUUUUUUAUGUUUACUUGUUUAUUUUCUUCUUUUCCUUUAAAGACUUUGUUGAAUUUAUCCCAUGCUUAUUCAUUGGCCAUGCAAACCAUUUUCUAAUUUACGUAUGUUAACAUAUAAGAGUUUUAAGUGAGAUAUUCAUGGAAGGAAUGUAAAUUGAGGAGUUAAAUAAGGUCCCACAACGUUGUGGAAAUACUAUUACGGAGAUUGUGAGUAAUUACGUCCAAACCCUUGUAAGUAGAUGUGAAAAUAUCUAGCAAAAUCCUGCGAGCUGCAAUAUGGACCACUCGUUGUUUCCCGCGCGAAGAAAGCAUUUAAUGCAGAGAUGUGUGAUAGAUCUCAUUGACCUCUGCGCCAUAUCGCUAUAUGUCCGUAUGUAUAUGUUAUACUGCUCAGUUGCUCCGCUAUAUAAUGUAUUAGCAGCUUGAGCCCAUAACAUGCCAUUGUUAGACCUGCAAACAGAAAGUAUGAGAGAAAAAAAUUUAGGUCGUGCCAACAAAACUACAGAAGUCAAGUUUCGUGCGAGGAAACAAGGUAGGACCACUGUAUCUAGCUUUGUUUGUGCGUUUAUGUCGCUGUCUCUUUUGGUUAUGUUCUUGACAGUGAACAUGUAGCUUUAAAUGCAGAUCUCUUAAGUUUUCAUUCCUCGGACCAAAAUAAAUGCUUUGUUGCUUUAAUUUUAGAGUAAAUUUCAUGGUCGGUUUAUAUAUGGAUAUAGUACUAAAGCUUUGUCAUGCUUCUAUUUCAGGAAAAGUAAAAUGGGUUAUAUGGUGAAAUAUUCUAGAGGAGUGUGGAACCGAUCUCCGAAUGGUGAGUGGGAUUUCGAGACCGACACCAACGACAGAGGAUACGGACUAAUGGUGACCGAACAGGAAACCUUUGAGUCACUAGACGGAAUGAUGGGAGCCCGGUUCAGUCUUCAUCCACACACGAUGAUGGCAAUGACUUAUCAACUCCCAACAAGCUCGUCUGUGCCUCAAGGACGCAAGGCAGCCCCUUUCGACAUCAUCAACAAUGGUGAUGUCGACCUCUUCAUGGCUUUGCACAUCGAAGUGGAGACUCUCGCCAUUUGUGUGACCAUAGGAGAAGAGAAUGUUCAGCGUUACCUUUCAAUGCAAAGGAUUACUGAUCAAGUUACCGUUCCGCCUCUUGGCUUUAUCCGUACAAAUCAGGCGUUAUUAGGUAACCUUUCUGGUUACAUCGAUAAACUUUUUAUUAGCGUUUAAAUAAAAAGGUUAACUGACGAUACUUUUGGUGGACUUGGCGAUGUUAACAACUUUUGUGAAGGGCUCAUCAAGGGACCGACCGUGCAAAUUGCUGAAAGUGUCUUCCACGAGAUCUUCACGGAGGACGAGCAGUGUGUCAUCCUGGAUGCCCAUAACGCACUCACUCAACUGGAGGCUUCUCGUCGACCGGCGGGAAGAGAUGAUGGCAGAUCAACUAAGUCCUCCUCAGCCGAGUUCGACCUUCUCCUCCCGGAAACGGGGUUAUCGAACUCUAACCAUGGGAUAAUACUCGGGGACCCCAUCCCCACCGACGCUGAUAAAGGGAAAACAAAAAUGGGCACAGAAGCUGACGACGGCCCUUUCCUCGGUUUGACUAUGACUUGCGCCGGUGAAGGCAGCAACCAGCCGGCACCGCCGGUGAUGGUGGAGGAGGAGGAACUAUCCGAUGAUGAGGGCGACUACAUUUGUGAGUAGAUAUUUGGUGAAAGUCACAUCUCGUUAUAGUUCGAUAUAUGUCUUGUUAGGUGUAACGUUUGGUGAUAUUGUGUAAAUUUAGUUGUGGACAUGUGAACAACUUUGUUAGCUUGUGCUUACAUCUGUUAUAACUUUGUUAGCUUGUGCUUACAUCGCUAUAUGUCUCCGAAUGAUGAGUGGGUUUUGGCUGUUAAGUUUUUCGUAAGACAUUUAUUUUUAUGUUUACUGUUUGAUUUUCUUCUUUUCCUUUAAAGACUUUGUUGAAUUUGUCCAAUGCUUAUUCAUUGGCCAUGCAAACCAUUUUCUAAUUUACGUAUGUUAACAUAUGUCGAUUAUUUAAAAUGUAGGUCUAUAGCAAAAUUAAAUGAUAAGAUAACUUGUUUUUUAAACCGGAAAUCAGAAUGUUAGACCAAUAGAGUAAACCAACAUCAGCCAAUUUAUACGUUAGAGUGGUUAUGGCAAUGUUAACUUGAAAUUUCUAUGCCUACGUCUGGUUGUUUUUAGGGCGAUGGAAUAUCAACAACUAGAUAAAAAAGUGGACAGGCAUAGUAAACAACAAUACUUUAUAGCAGGGGCGACAGAAUAGAUCAUCUUACAAACAUAUUUUACAGAAACUUAGAGAGGAGUUUGCUUGGGUUCAUUAAUACACGAAACAUAUUAAAAACAGAAAGUAAUUGAAACCGACAUAGUGUCGGUUUAUGCAGCUCAACAAAAAGGAACCAACUGCAUGGAAUCCAUUGCCUCCAUUCAUCAUCCCCAUAGCUAUAUCGGCAUCUUACAAGAGGCGCGGUUAUGGCCGAAGCUACCACAUCGACCACAGAUGUUUAAACGCCUCGGUAAUCCACCCUGUAACAACGUAAUACGAAUGUUAGUUUACUAACUCUGACAGCUACACGGAUAAACAGAAUGAUAAGCGAGUCGAUAAUAAAAAUACCCCAAAUUCUCCACGAGAGCGGAUGCGCGUUUUGCGAGGCUUCCCAGGCGGGCGGCGGGUGUUAGGUGGCUUCAGGUUAAGAGAUGAGAAGAGUUGGCGCAGACAUUGUUACGUGGUAGAUGCUGCACUCGUAUGCCUUGUUCCAAAAAGCUGUGGUGUAUUCAAUUCCAACCAAUGAGUCAACCCUUGUCUCAGAUCUCAACGCUGCGACUAUAGCAUGGCAGCAAGGGAUCCGCAACAUCUGGAAUUCAUGACAGCUGCAUGCCUGCGUCUCCAGGUUAACCAAGAAAGGAACACCCUCUUUGUUCCGGACCUCGAAUUCAUCUUGAUUUAUCCGACGGAACAAAAACUCUGUUGACAGUUCAAAGUUAGUAGCUAGGAUCUCCUCUACCUUUGGGGUUAGCGUGUUACUUGUCUCCGAAGCAAGGGUACGACGAGUGUUAAACCAACCCAUCAUAGUUGCCCUAAUGUACUCGAUCAAUGGCACAAUUGGGUAAUCCCGUGCAGCUGCGAGCACAUUGUUGAGGGAUUCAGCUACAUUGCUGGUCAUGAUGUUGUACCGGAGACCGUUGAAGUGAGCCCUUGUCCAAUGUUCGAAUCCAAUAGCUGUCAAAUAGUCAGCACAACCUGAGUCCACAGCUCGAAUUUGGUCAAAUAGUUCAUAGAAUUGGGAAGGUAUGUAAGCUCUCGCAGCUUGAGACACCAAAUAGCUGAGAUGCUUCUUCUUGAAGAUCGCUUGGACGUUACGCUGGAGAUGCACAACACACGCAGAGUGCUGUGCCAUUGGAUACACCUAAUCACAUUGAUACAGCAUUUUUAGCCUCAAGCCACUUAUCACUAGUAUUUAGGACGCUAACACUAUGGGUACACAUUUAAAAGGUUUAUCAACGAGAAGCAAUUAUCUCAUUAUCAAAAAACACGUGCAUCACAAGCAGGCACUUAUAUGUUUCGUUAAGCAAAAUAUAUAUUAACGUGAUAACAUAUUUGUUAUCAAUGGUAUAAGACACUAACAAAAUGAGAACACAUAUUAACGCGAAGCAAACAACUUACCACCAAAAUAUUUAUCCAUAUACACGAACUAUUAACGCGGUAUUAUAUGUGUUAACGCACCAUUAAUAUGAAACAAACAACUCAUUAUUAAAAGACCCAAACAGGUAGUUAGAUGUUUCUCCAACUACACCAACUAUUAUCGCGAUACUAUAAUUGUUAACACACCAAUAAAUAAAAUGCAUAUAUAAAACUGCAGAUUAAAGUGUAAUACCUUACGCAGGCCGGCAUAGAUCGAGUUAUGCCGGUCAGACACAAAAACGAGAUCAUGGCUGUCCGGCACCACCUCCUGCAACUUCCGGAAAAACCAACUCUAUGCCUUGUCAUUCUCUCCAUCCACUAUCCCAAAAGCCACUGGGUAAAGCUGGUAAUUUCCGUCUUGACAACUCGCGGUGAGCAGGCAGCCUGUGUACUUUCCUUUAAGGUGGGCGCCGUCGAUUAUGAGGACUUUGCGCAUAUAGGGAUAACCAUUGAGGCAUGCCCCCAAGGUGAAGAACAGAUAUUUGAACCUUUGGCCCACUCCCUCAUCGUAAUCCGUUUCUAGGGAAACAACUGUUCCGGGGUUUGACAUAACCAAGCGCUGUAGGUAGAUGGGUAGCACCUUGUAAGAAUUGCCAGCAGUUCCCAACCCUGUGUCCCUUGCUAAAUCUCUAGACCUCCACGCCUUCCAGUAUGAUAUUGGGACGUCAUGAUCAUCACGCAUAAGCUCCCGUAGUUCAUUAGGUCGGGGUCCGACACCACCGGCGUAUUUGUUUUUGAACAAAUCUCCAAUCACACUUGUCUUAGCUUGCACAUGAAAGCGGCCACGCUCGUCAAUGGUACAGUUGUGGUCAAUCCGGGCACGUCUGAUCUGGAACCACUCUAUCCCUUCCAUCCUUACAGCGUACACCCUCCAUGGGCAGUUUUGCCCGACACAUUCCAAGUCCAUCCUGCUUGGUGUCGAUUUUCGGGUAAAGUAUUGGAACUUUUUGGCCAUGGCAUAUAAUGACAUAUGGAGCUUGAACGCGUCUUGGUCUCUGAACACCAUCCCCACGUAGAGGACGCCUGGUUUGUUAACACCAUCCCCUAUAAAGUAUAAUACGUAUGUUAGCUAGGCACGUUGACUGUUGGAGAUCUAACACAUAAGUUAGCGAGUAUAUAAGUAAAGCGAUACCGAUAUAGUCACACUCUUCGUCAGACAUGUCAUCGUCUUCCGAGUCAUGUUGUUUAGGGUUGACACAACUAGGACCUCCAUUGCAAUGCAUAGACAAACCCAAGAACGGACCCUCGUUGAUAUCUUGGCCGAUUUUAGUUUUGCCUUUAUCAGUCAGGCUAUUGGCUGGCCUCUUCCCCUCACUUGUUGAGCCCAACGAAAUCGCCGAGUUAGCAAGCCCUGGUUUGGUAAAAUAUUCGAUAAGCGUUAGUCAUGUAUUUGGAGAUGCACAUGAAUAACAUACCCGCUAAUGAUAUGCGUAGAUCUCUACCUUCACAUGUUAGAGGUCGUAUGGAGAGGUGUUGAACCCCUGAUGUAACUCCGGACGGCUGUAUAACGGUGUCAGGGUUGCCGUCUACAUUUCCGAUAGUUGUGAUGUUCAAGCUUGUAUCUGGGAGCAUCAAACACAGAUCCCCCGAGGAGUUGCUAGUCGAGCUGUGUCCCCCACCCACGGGCACCCCGUAAGAGGACUCUAUGCGGGUCAUAGCCUCAUGUAUCUCCUCCAGGAAUCGCCUCUCCUCGUCCGUGAAAAUUUCUUUUGCGACACCAUCUGCUAUAUGGAAUAUAGGACCCUCGACAACCCCUUCCCAAAAAAUUUCAAUCGUCAAGUCCACCGCAAGUCAUAUCAGUUAACUUUUCUUGUUUGACGUUAACAAAAUGAUUACCGGUACACGCAGGGAAUGAGCGGGGCAAAGUUGGCUGAACACCUUCAAACCCCGGCGGUGGACCUCCAACAGUCAGGUUGCGUCGCUUCUGAAACUUAUAACGCUCGACAUCAUAAACCCCGAGAGUCACAUAGAUUGCAAGUGAAUCAAAAUCAACUUUGACGGCCAUGAAUAGCUCCACGUCCGCCGUGGUUGCGAUGUCCUGUGGCGCAGCUUUUUUUCCCAAAGGACCCACCAUAGCCUCCGGUAGUUUGUAGGUCAGCGCCAUCAUUUCAUACCUUGGAAUUUUGUAGCGCUCCCUCACCAUUCCGUCCAGCGACUCAAACGUUUCGUUUUCUUGCACUAUCAUCCCGUACACAGUCUCCACUGAAUCUUCUUGAAAAUCCCAUUCCCCAUUCGCGGUUUUCUUCCACACUCCUUGAACAAAGCUUACAACACGGCCCAUUUUUCUGGCUGGUUACCGAGAAAACAAAACUGUUAGAGACCACAAUAGGAUGUAGACACAUUCAUAACGAGUCAAACACUAGUUUUUAGUACAUAAUCACUAACACAUUUACUAGACUAUCACUGGUAACAUUAAAGUUGUACGAGGAUUCAAUAAGUGUUGUAAUAAAAGCAAUCUUUCCAGAUAUACAACCCAACAAUAAAUGUAGGACCUCCAUUACAUAUGGUCUAAGAGCACGUGAUCUUACCUUCUUUUGGAUGAGAGUCAACUAUUUCUUCAAUGGAAACUCUGGAUUUAUCUGCUUUUACUCGGUGCGUUUUUUUUCUCUUGAAGUUUAACAGCGACGUUUCUCAAUUGACAACGAUAACUCCUUAUAUAGCAGGUUAACAAACCCUAGUGUCCUAUACUUACACGCAUACAUCGCAUAUAAGCCCAAUUGUCGAAGCAAUCUUCAGCAUAUCCUUGCAUUUAAUGCUUCUUCGGCGGGAAAAAAAUAUGUGGCCCUCGUUUACGCAGGAAUAUCGCCUCUAGUCUAUCAAAUAUCUCUAGCCACCCUAUAGAUUGUACUUACCGUCAGAAGCCUCUGUUCAUGUCUGGCAUUGGCAAAAUAUCGGGGGGUAAAAAAGUCAUUGCCAAUGACCAAGAACACAGUGUUAAUAUUUGUUUGUGGGCCCUUGGUCAUUUUCCUAAUUUCGUUGCUCAUUUGGUUUAUUUACCUAAUUCACUCUUUUUUUAAUUUCAAAACGUCAUCGUUUUAUAAAUAUAUGUCUAACGGAGAUUCCAGCGUGGCAAGUGACUCAGCUCCGUUAACAAUUUGAUGGAGUUGACUAACGAUUAAAAAGUCAAUGUAUGUUUUGGCCAAAAAAAUUGAGUUCAGGUUUGAAUAAUCAUAUUAUUAAUAGUUCAGGUAUGUGUAAGCACAUUAAAAUUGUACAGGUACUAAUCGGUACCAUUACAUGUAGUUGAGGCAUUAAUAAGCCGCUUUCCCGUUGAAUAAAUUAUUUAACAGUUGAAUAAACAACCAUUGUAACUAGUCUUAUAGGAAAUUCUCAAUAGGUGAAAAUUCCUCAGACUAGCCUUUAAGGUUGAUGUAUUGACAAAUUUAGCCUAACAUAUUGAUCACCUUACUAGACUAACCUUAGAAAGUUGGUGUUAUACCAUUUUGUCCAAAUAAUCAAUAUUAUUACGAAAAUGCCAUUUAUGAUAAUUAAUAAUUAAAUAAUUUUGAUUUUUUAAUAUUAAUAAUAAGAAAAAAAACCCUAAUUUUUGCGGGAGAGGUGAUUCUACGACUGUGAAAACGACCGUCGUGAGGCGAUUUCGGUGGUGGUGAAGAGCUUGCCGACGAUAACUUGGCAGCCUCCCUUUUUCGCAGCUUUCUCUUCACAGCUUUCCUAUUGUUUCGCAGAUCCACACAGAUAUUGCUUCAAUCGCCAUUCAGAAACUUGUUCAGGUUUGUUUUUUCUCAUAUAUCCAAAUUUUUCUUAUUUUUUCUUCUUUCUUCUUCGUCUUCCUCUUUCCCUUGGUCUUCUUCUUUCUGUUUGGCGGAGGAGGAGUUUUACUUUAGGUGUUAGAGAUGUCGGAAAUAUUGGCACGACUCUUAAGCGACGUUCUCGCUGCAUUGCGCACAACCGUACUGGACAGAUGUUGUUUCGAAGAAAUGGUGGUGUCCCGGAGGUUGUCGGCGGCGUAAGUUUUUUUUCUGUAAAACCCGCAACCCUAAUUUUUUUUGUUUCAGGUAAGUUUGGUAGAUAUAUUUGGAAAACGAUAAGUAGUUUGGUAGAUUUAUUGUAUUUUUUUGUUGUAAAGUUCAUAACGUGUGAUUGUAGAUUUAUUUGAAAAACAGUAUGUAGUUUGGUACGUAGAUUAUUAGUUAUUUGAUGGUAGAUUUAUUUGAAAAAUGGUAUGUCGUUUGGUAAAUUUAUUAACCAUCUGAUGAUAGACUUAUUUGUAAAUCGAUGUGGUUUGGUAGAUUUAUUAGUCAUUUGAUGUGAAAAAAAUAUGUGUUUGGUAGUUUUAUUAGUUAUUUAUGGUAGAUUUAUCAGUCGCAUAUAUUUAAAUUUUAGGAAGGAUUACUACACUAACUUUAGAAAGUAUCUAUAUUACUUGUUUGGCGCACUUUUAUUUUUUUUACAAAACUAACCUAGCAUAUCCAAAACACCCUUUUGACCUUUGUUAAAAAAAACAUAAUUACAAAAAUGCCAUUACUUUUUUAAUGCCACGUAGGCAAAAUAUAACGCUGAAAAUUUGAUAAGUCUACCAGGCUUUGACGGUAGACUUAUCAAAUUUUGGUCAACGCAAAAAUUUUGUCGGUCGAGUUAUUAGGUCGAUGGUAGAUUUAUUCGAGAGUUGGUAGAGUUUACAAAUGUUGGUAGACUUAUCUCGGUAGAGUUUUGAUGAUGAGAGGUAGAUUUAUUAUGUUUUGGUAGAUUUGUUGUUAUGAAUGGCAGAUUUGUCAAACGUGUUGGUAGAUUUGUUAAAGAAAGUGUUGACUUUGUCGCAUAGUUGACUUUAUCGGUAGAUUUAUUGACAAUGAGGUAGAUUUAAUUUCUAAGUUGGUAGACUUAUGUCCUUUGGCAGUAGACUUAUGUGAAAAAAAUUGUCAAUAUGUGACGGUAGAUAUAUUUGUUUCAUGGUAGAGUUAUAUUUAGUUGGUAGAUUUUUUGCUUUUGUGGUAGAUAUGUUUGUUUUGUGGUAGAUUUAAAUUCAAGUAAAAUUCCUUCCGGUGAGUGGUAGAUUAUUUGUUACAUGAGGUAGACUUACAAAAUGUUGGUAGAUUUAUUUGUUUUGUGGUAGAUAUGUUUGUUGUGUGGUAGAUUUAAAUUGAAAUAAAAUUUCUUCCGGUAAGUGGUAGAUUAUUUGCUACAUGAAGUAGACUUACAGAAUGUUGGUAGAUUUGUUUGUCAGUUUGGUAGAGUUUAUGUAAUCUGAUAGAGUUAUUGUACGUAUGGUAGACUUCUUAUAAUAAUCAUGUGGUAGAUUAAUUAAGUUUGGUAUUUACAAAGAUAACCUCGAUCUGGUAGACAUAUGAGGUGCUUAUGGUAGACUUGUUUCUAUGGUAGAGUUAUUUUCCAUGCUUGAGGUAGACUUAGUUGUUAAUGUUUGGCAGACAUUUGACUUUUUGGAUUGAAAUUACCUUUUUGUCCUAAAUAUAUUCUCCUAUAUACGAAAAAACCAGCGGUUUGGUAGACUUGUUUUGGAAUGUUGUAUGUUAAACAGGUUUCGUACAUAUGGUAGACUUGUUCCAUGGCUAUAUUUGACUUGGUUUUGUUACCAUUAGCGUUUUCUUUGCAUGAGUUUGCUAAGAUUAUGUCGGUUAACUGUUCUUUACGAUAUAGAUGCCAUAAUCAAUGAUCAAAAAUUUCUAACAUGAAUAUUUUUUCUAUGAUAUAUCUUUUCUCUAUGAUAACUUUGCUUUUCAUAUUAACUUUGAACAUAUAUGUCAUAUUUGUAAUAACCAUCUCUUAACUUAUGAUCUUUUGAUUUUCAUUUUUGAAUAUUUGUUACAUUUAACUCUAUUUACAUAAACUUUUAUAACAUCACAAUGUCAAAUGAUUUCAGUUAUGAUAUAUAUCAUAAUGAAAGUAAAGAAAUAAAUUAAAUUGAAUAAUAACAUUACUAGCAAAUGUGAUAAAAAAUGUGAAAUGUCUGGAUCAAUGUUUUACGACAAAUAUAAUUUGAAAACAAAAAUAUUAUCAUUCAAAAUCUAAUUAUCAUUUUUACAAAUUCAAAUAUAGAUAUACCAUCAAUUUAAUAAUAAAUCUACCAUCAUUUCAAAACAAAUCUACCAAAUGUAAAUCUACAAUUCAUAGUAAAACAUGUCGGAUCGGUGAUGGAUAUCCCAUCGAAGAUUUGUUCACCAUGGCAAAGCCCAUAAUCUGUCAGAAAAAAAUAAACAAAUAUUGUUAUUCAUAUAUAAAAUUCAAAUAUAAACGACUGAUAAAUCUACCAUAAAUAACUAAUAAAUCUACCAAACACAUAUCAUUUUUCAAAUAAGUUACCAUUAAAUGACUAAUAAAUCUACCAAACCACAUCGUUUUACAAAUAAGUCUAUCAUUAGAUGACUAAUAAAUCUACCAAACGACAUCGUUUUUUAAAAUAAUUUUACCAUCAAAUAACUAAUAAAUCUACCAAACCACAUUUCGUUUUCUAAAUAUAUCUACCAUCAAAUAACUAAUAAUCUACCAAACUACAUAUCGUUUUUCAAAUAAAUCUACCAUUUCACAUUAUGAACUUUACAAUAAAAAAAAUACAAAAUCGAUUUCCAAAUAUAUCUACCAAACGUACCUGAAAAAAAAAAUUUAUGCCGCCGACAACCUCCACAACACCACCAUUCCAUCGAAACAACGUCUAUCCACUGCGGUUGUGCGCGACGCGGCGAGAAUGCUGCUUAAGAGUCACCGCCAACCGCCACAUCUCCAUAGUUUAUUGUUGAUAUUAGAUCCAAAAACCCAGAUCUAGAAAAAAAUCAAAGAAUUCGAAAAAAUGAAAAAAAAACUCACAUAAUAGCAGAAUGAAUUAUAGAAACCAUAGGAAGAUCUAGAUCUCCGAGCUUGAAAACGUUGGAGGCUUCUUGAUACAAAAAAUCGGUAGAACUAGUUGUGUUUUUCUCGAUCUGAAACAUCGAAGCUUUGAAGUUCAUAAAGAAUACGUAUUCAUACAACAAAAUUUAACAAAACAAAAGAAAAGAUAAAGAAGAGAGCAAGAGAGGAAUGAAAAGGUUAAGAAGAAGAGCAAUUCCAUGGGAGAAAAAAAAUGGCGCAGAAGAAAGAGAGAGAGAAAAAGAUGAAUUAGGGUUUAUUUUUUUUUUUUAGUUUUUGGUUUUGUAUUUUUUUUUUUUUUGCUUUUUUCGUUUUAAAAAAAAUGUUUUUUUUCGUCAAAAAAAAUUUCGAUUUUUUAAAAAGUUUUUUUCGAAAUUAAAGUUUUUUCGAAAAAAAAAAUUUAUAAAAAAAAAUCAUAAUGACAUUUUUGUAAUAAUAUUCAACAUCUGGAUAAAAUGGACUUAAACCAACUUUAUAAGGUUAGUCUAGUAAGUCUUUCAAUAUGUUAGGCUAGGUUUGUCAUUUCAUUAACCUUAAAGGCUAGUAUGAGGAAUUUUCACUAAAUUUUAUAUACAAAUGAUGGCAUUUGUUUGUUUUUCUCUGACAGAUUAUGGGCUUUGCAAUGGCGAACAAGUCUCUGAUGGGAUAUCUAACAUCAAUCCGACGUGUUCUACUAUGAAUUGUAGAUUUGUAUUUGAUAGAUUUGUUUUGAAAUGAUGGUAGAUUUAUUAUUCAAUUGAUGGUAUGUCUAUAUUGAAUAUGUACAAAUGAUAAUUAGAUUUUAAAUGAUGAUAUCUUUGUUUUAGAAUUAUAGUUGUCAUAAAAUAUUGACUCAAACAUUUCAUCUUUUUACCAUAUUUUCUAGUAAUGUUAUUAUUCAAUUCAAAUUAUUUUCUUUACUUUCACUAUGAUGUCUAUCCUAAGUGAAUGGAAUUUUAACCAAAACACAUGACUAAAGUCAUUUGACAUUGUGAUGUUCAAGGGUUUAUGUGAAUAGAGUUAAAUGUAACAAAAUAUUCACAAAUAAAAAUCAAAAAAUUAUAAGUUAAGAGAUGGUUAUUACAGACAUAAACAAAGAAGGACAUAAGAUAAAUAUUUAAGUGAACUAAUAGAACAUAUAUGUUCUAUUGAACAUAUAUGUUCAAGGAAUUUUACUUGAAUUUAAAUCUACCACAAAACAAACAUAUCUACCACAAAAGCGAAAAAUCUACCAACUAGAUAUAACUCUACCAUAAAACGGAUAUAUCUACCAUCACGUAUUGAUAACUUUUUCACAUAAAUUUACUGCCAAAGGACAUAAGUCUACCAACUCAUAAAUUAAAUCUACCUCAUUGUCAAUAAAUCUACCGACAAAGUCAACUAUGCGAGAAAGUCAACGCUUUCUUUAAUAAGUCUACCAACGCGUUCGACAAGUCUGCCAUUCAUAACAACAAAUCUACCGAAACAUAAUAAAUCUACCUCUCAUUAUUAAAACUCUACCAAGAUAAGUCUACCAACAUUUGUAAAAUCUACUAACUCUCGAAUAAAUCUACCAUCGACCUAAUAAUUCUACCGACAAAAUUUUUGUGUUGACCAAAAUUUGAUAAGUCUACCAUCAAAGUCUGGUAGACUUAUCAAAUUUUUAGCGUUAUUUUCUGUCUACGUGGCAUUAAAAAAAUAAUGACAUUUUCGUAAUUAGUUUUUUUUUAACAAAGGCGAAAAAAAUGUUUUGAGUAUGCUAGGUUAGUUUUGUAAAAAAAAAUAAAAAUGCGCCAAACAAGUAAUAUAGAUACUUUCUAAGAUUAGUACAGUAAUCAUCCCUUCUCAAUAGUUAAACUCUGUUUAGAUGUCACAUUAGCUGGUGAGGUUUGUUUGAUACUCCUUCUUAACUGUAUUUUUUGUAUUUUUUUUUUGUCCUUAUAAAAUACUACCAAGUUGCCAACACAAAAAAAAAAAACAAUUUUUUGUUUUAAAACAAAUCAAACGUUGGGUGUCUAUGGCGAAUUUCCUCUUUUCUUCAUGCUGCUGUUGUUGAAAUCGCAUUCGAAUUCCGAAUCAAUUUGAAUUGUAAGAUUUUCAUUCGCUACACUCUAAUCACUGAAUUUUUUUGUUCUUCUUCCCAAUUUCGAAUAUCCGAUCGCCUUUAAACUGGGAAUAAUAUUUCUUCUUCGACGCUACCUGCUCAUUCCUGCGCCGUCGAUAUCGAAAUUAGGGUUUUUUCUUUUUUUUUUCUUUUGUCUCGCCUAGUGGGUAAUUUGGGUUUGUGAUAAGAAAAAUGGUGUCAUCGUUCAUACGUGAAGGGUUUUGUAUAGAAUGUUAAUUUCAAUGAAUAUAUGCGGAAAGCUUAUAACUUUCGCCAAAAGGUUUGAUCUUACCUCAAAAUAUGAUCUUUAGUGUAUUUCAGCGAAUUCAAUUGGAGAAAAUUUCUCCCUUUUUUGCAGAAGGUUAGAGUUGAUAUUGACUUUGCAUUGAAUGUUAAUUUCAAUGGAUAUAUGGGGAAAGUUAAUCACUUUCGCCAAAAACUUUGAUCUUUACCUCAAAAUAUGACCCUAAUAUAUUUCCGGCGAAUUUGAUUGAAGAAAGUUUUUCUCUUUUUUCGCAGAAGCUUGGAGUUGAUAUUGACUUUAUUGGUGGUGCAUGAAGCUAUUUCUUAUAAGUUAAUAGAAAUUGGGAAAGAUUUGGGAUCAAUAUAUAUAUAUUUACUAUAAGGUGGAGCUACGAAAUGUUGCGUUUGAGUAGUAUUGGAUUCGAUAUCUCAAGAAGUUUCAUUCAUCUUGCUGAGUGGCAUCCUUUGGAAUAACGAAGCUUCUCGGGCUUUGAAGCCCUCUUUUUUGCAGAGUAAGAUUUGUGGUUGCUUUUAGUUUUAAUCUUUAGGGAAGUAGAUUUUCUCUCGAAUCAGGUUUGUGAUUAUGGCUUCAAUGUUUCUUACAGGUUUUCGGAAUUCCUAGCUUUUCAACAUACUAGAGAUUUCAUUUUUGUUUUGGAGUAGAUAAUGUUUCGUGAUAGCUUCUCAUUUGCCCAAGCGAUGGGUUGCUUUGGGUGCUUUGGUUGCUCUGAGAGAUCAAGACAAUCACUAAAACCAUACGAUGAUGAUGAUACGUAUUCCAAUGAUGGUGAUGUAACCAGCUAUGCUGGAGGAGAUGAAGAAGAAGAAGAAAUAGAUGAAGAAGAAGAAGAGAAAGUAGUAGAGCAGCAGAGCCGUUCCAAACGUUCUGAGGAAAUUUUGAAAUAUAAACUACAAAAUGGACUAAUCUGCAGGCGGUUUCUAGUGAAGGAAACUAAUAAACUUAUACGGGGAGAGGUAUGCGACAUUUUUCCCAUGUCCCCAAAGAAACUUAAAUCCUCCUUUAUAUGGUAUAGUGUGUGAAUACCGAAUAUAUUUCGUAUUUGGUUUCCAGGAUGAAGAUGGAAACAAGACAGUUAAUGAGUUUGUUCGUCAGCGUAAAAUUGGAUCUGGAAGCUAUGGGAAAGUAGUAAGUGUGAAAAAACGUCUUUUCAAAGCUUAUAUAUGUUCUUUUAGGCGAAUGCUAAACACUUAUAUCUUGGCUUUCUUAAACUUAUUUCCUUAUGGAUAGGUAGUAAAUAAAGAAACUAGUUUCCUAUGCAUGGAUAAAAGUGAACAAAAAUGGGUUAUAGAAUCCAUAACGUUGUUGUUUGUAUGUAUAACAGGUUCUAUAUCAAAGCACUGUCGAUGGAAAGGAUUAUGCUAUUAAGGUAUACUCACCACUUGUGAGCUUAACUUUGUAUUGCUGGUCUUCUGUGACACUGUUCACUGAAGAUCACCACGACACAGAUUAUAGAAAUAUUUCUUUAGUUGAUCACAUAAUGCAACUAAAUUUUUUGGACAUGUGGUGAUUAUAUAUUUGGAUUUCCAGGCUUUUCACAAAUCACAUUUGUUAAGGCUACGGGUUGCACCUUCAGAAACUGCUAUGGGAGAUGUUCUUCGUGAGGUAUCUCAUAUAUUUCUUUUUAUUUAUCUUAACAACACCCAACUUGGAGGUAAUUUCCCAUGUUGCCUUUUUUCAGAUUCAUGCCAAAAAGACUUGUGUAACGGGUUCCAUGUUUUUGUAUCUCAUCAUUAUAGGUUAUGAUAAUGAAAAUCCUGGAGCAUCCUAAUAUAGUUAACCUCAUUGAGGUUAUUGAUGACCCUGAGACUGAUCAUUUUUACAUGGGUAUGUCUUUCCCCUCUUUUGUUUGUCACUUCAAUUCUUUCUCUUUAGGGGAAAUUUCUUUCAUCUGAUUCUGUGUUGUUGCGUCUUGUCUAUAGUUCUUGAAUAUGUUGAUGGGAAAUGGGCUUAUGAUGCUUCUGGACCACCGGGUGCUCUCGGAGAGAAUACUGCUAGAAAGUACUUGCGGGAUGUAGUUGCUGGCCUCAUGUACCUUCAUUCUCAUGUACGAUCUUCACUCUCUAACGCUUCUUCAUCCAACACUUUCGUUUUAUCCGAUAAGAGACAUGAUUAUCGCCUUGUUUACAGAAUGUAAUUCACGGCGACAUUAAACCGGACAAUUUGCUGGUUACUAGUACCGGGACAGUGAAGAUAGGAGAUUUCAGUGUAAGCCAAGUAUUCAAGGUACUGAGAAUCCCAUCUUUGGUCUUUGUCAAACAUCAGCAUUAGUAUCUUCAAAUCUGUAAACAUGAUACGUUAUGGUGCAGGAUGAUGAUGAUCAACUACGUAGAUCUCCUGGGACUCCUGUCUUCACUGCCCCAGAAUGUUGUUUAGGUAUAACAUACAGUGGCAGAGCUGCAGACACAUGGGCAGUGGGAGUUACUUUGCAUUGUAUGAUAUUAGGACAGUACCCGUUUCUUGGUGAUACACUUCAGGAUACUUAUGACAAGGUUUCCUUCUCUCUCUCUCUGCUGCUUUUGUUUACAGAUUUUGAAUAAAGCAAGCUGUCUUAAAUCUUGUUUUCUUACGAAUAAUGCAAGAUUGUUCACAACCCGUUGAUAAUACCGGAAGGACUGAAUCCUCAGCUCAAGGACUUGAUCACAGGUCUACUUUGCAAAGGUGAGUUCUUAUCAGUUUGCUAUGAGUUUGAAGUUGAAAUAAAAGUUAGGCCUUUUUGUGAAUAACGUGGCUCAAAGCUGCUCACUUGUGUUAGACCCAAACAAGAGGAUGACGUUGAAAGCUGUGGCGGAGCAUCCAUGGGUCACUGGAGAAGAUGGGGUUGUCCCGGAGUACUUUUGUUGGUGCAAACGCAAAGCUCAAGAAGAAGAAGCACAUAAUGGGAUUGAAAUGGUAGCUGAGAUUGCAGAUUCUUAACCAAAGACCAGUUUACGUGAAAACUUGGCAAACAUAUCGUUUUGUCUGUUCAAAUCCCUUUAGGCGGGUCGAAGCGAUUGCGUUUAUGUUGUAUGUAAGAGAGUUCCUUAGAGAGACUUCUCUUGAUUGUUAUUUGUUUUUCCUCUUUUGUUGUUUUUACUUUUCUUUCUUUUUGGUUAUAUUUUUUUUUUCUAUAUAUAAAGAUAACCUGUUUGCCUGUUUGGGUCAUUGGGUGGAAAACAACAAUAUGACGUUUAUUAUAAAUCUCUUUUGGGAUGGGCUAAAUUUUAGAGUACAUGGACUAGUAGUUAAAUUUUAUCAUAUAAUAGUAGUUUGACAAAUUUUAUCAUAUUAAUAGUAGUUUGAUAUGAUUUUUAUUUGAUUGUUUGAAAAUAUAAUAAUAGUUUGGAUUCAUUUGUUUUUUAUUUUUGAGUAUAUUUGUUUGUUAGAUUUUCUUACAUUUUAAUGUUGGAAGAUAUGAUCGUAAAAACAAUAUAGAAUAGAAGAGAGUAAAUAAAAAUAUAGUAGUAUCCAAAUAAUCUUAUUUUAUAUAUAAAAGUUGUUCAACUUUCUCCAUAUAAUUGACACAUUAAUAUUGAAGAGGUUGACACCUGUCUUUAAAUUUUAAUUAAUAAAAUUUAGUAUUAAAUUUUAAAACACUUAAAGAAUAUGAAAAGUUUGUUUUAUUAACUGACUCUUAAUUAAAAUUUAUAUUAAUGUUAAACAACAAUUUAUGUUAUAACUAAUUAAAAAUAUUGAUAGAUAUAUAUUUAAUUUUUAUAUAAUUGUAGAUUACUUAAUAAUAUUUAGAUUACUUAAUAAUAUUCAAGAUGUAUUUUAAAUUAAUUUUUUAAAUUAUUUAUAAUAAAAUACUGACCAGUAACAAAUGAAAUGAUGAUUAUAUUAAUUUUAUUUUUUUAAUUAAUUGAUUAUCAAUUAAUAUUUCUGUAAAUGUUAAACAAAAAUUUAUGUUAUAACUAAUUAAAAACAUUGAAUGAUAUUUAUUAAUCUUAAUAUAAUUUUAAAUUAUUAAAUAAUAUUCAAUAUGUAUUAAUAUUUUAUAAUUUUUUAGAAUAAAAUAUUAACAAGUAAGUAAGUAACAAGUGAUGAUUAUAUUAAUUUUUAUAAAAAUAUAAAAAAAGUUUGAAAAUUUUGAAAAGAAAAAUCUGCACGUAAUGUGCGGGUAUUCACCUAGUUUAGUUUAAAUAGUUUUAAGACCUUUUGAUCAUUGUUCUAUGUAUUUUAGACCUAAUUUUUUGAAGGUUUGUAUGAAUUUAUUCGAUUUGAUCAUUGUUUUAUGUGUUUUAAACAUUACAAAUACCAUCAUUCCAUUAGUUAGAUACAUAUAUAUAUAUAUAUAUUUUUUUUUUUUUUUUAAUUUUUUUGUUAGACUUUUUAAAAAAAAUUUUUUUUUGUUUUGAAACGACAUUCCAUUAAUUUUUAAAAGUUUCCAUUUUUUGUUUCUUUUAACAUUUUUGUUAGAAUUUUUUUUUAAAUUUCAGAAAUAUAAGAAAUGGUAAACACUCAGAAUUAAGAAAUAUAGAUUCUAUUUUUUUUAUAAAAAAAACAUUUUUGUUAAUUUUUUUAAAAUUUUGGUUAUAUACAAUUUUAAAAACGGUUUGAUUGACUAUGCAAUUAAACAUUAAACCAUAUUUAGACCAGUUUUUUUAAAAGUUUUUUUUACACAUAAUCAGAUAAUGACACGUUUUUAAAAUUUUAAAAUGACACAUAAAUUGCAAAAUAGGGUUAAACGGUCUGUUUAUAGCCGAAAUUCAUUUUUGAGCUGACAUGUAAGCGAAAAGCUCUGAAACUCGUUGUAAAACAUUUUUUAAAAUUUUUUUCUAAAUUUCAGUUUUAUAUAAUUUCAAAAACGACAUUCUAUAGCUUUUUAAAGAGAUUCUAUUUUUUGUUUCUUUUAACAUUCUAAAUUUUGGAAACAUAAUAAAUAAUAAACACUAAGAGAUAUCAUAUUUUAUUUUAAAAAAAAAACUUUUUUUUAAUUUUUUCUAAAUUUUGGUCUUAUGUAAUUUUAAAAACGGUUUGGUUAACUAUGAAAUUAAGCAUUAAACCAUAUCAAUUUAAACUGGUUCGUUUUAAGGUUUUUUUUACACAUCAUCAAUAAGGAACCAAUUAAAAAUGGCACGUAAUUGCUUUUUGCAGCCGAAACUUAUGUUGGAGCUGACACGUAAGCGAAGAACUGUGAAACUUGUUAUGAGUGCGAUACGUAAGCAAAUCUCUACGCAAAUAAGUAUAUAGAUUUGUAAAAUAUCAUGGAUUUUGAACUAAUGUGAAGGACCAAGGAGUCUUUGUGCCAUUGUUGAUCUGUAAGUUUUACAUGUAUUUCAUUAGAAUUAAAUAUUUGUCUACGAGACAAAGCUGGAGCGGGUUUCUUUGUAGUGAAUUGCUCUUAAGUUUUUCAAUCUCUGUGAAUCUUUUUGAAUUUAGGUCUAUUGAUUAUGAAUUAUCGCUUAGGUGUUCAAAAAUUUAGGUUACUAGUUUGAUUUGCGGUGUGGCAAAGAUAUUUUCUCUGUCAUUUUCAUAAUUGAGUAGCAUUUCACCGGAUUUAAAAAAAAAAGUCUCUUCAUUUAGGGUUUAGUUUUUUUUUUUGGGUAGUAGUAGUUAGGUGUUAGUUUUUUUAAUUUCUUGUUAGUUUUUUUAAUUUCUUCGGCAGAUAAUUUCACUAGAUUUUUCACAUUUUCCUUAACAAUUGAUCUAUUUCAUCAAUAGACUUAAUUUUAUAGACUUGUAUUAAUGGUUGCAUGAUUUUUGUGUUGUUUCUCUAAAAUAAUUUUAUUUUCCGCCGGCUUUUAUUUCAAAAAACUAUUAUUUUCCUCGAUUUUUAUUUUCGAAAAAAUUUUGUUUUUUACCGAUUUGGGUUCUAAAUGUCAAUUAACAAAAAAUUACGUUUUUUACUUAAAGAUGAUACAAAGAAAAAACAAUCAAACAAAAAAAGUGAUUUUUAAAUAAAUUAUUUUAUUGCGCAAGAUUAUUUAUACUAUUUCACAGUUACAUAUUCCACAAAAUUGAAACCAAUGAGAGCGAUGGUAUGUUUAAAAUUUCUAAUAAUAAAAUAAAAAUCUCAAGCUAAUGUGAGAGGUCUAGAAAGACGAAAAAUGACCAAAAUCUAACUGAACUAAAUUUUGUGGGCUAAAAAACAAAAUUGUACUAAAAUACGGGGCUAAUUCCCAUCUGAAUGAUAUAAACAUUUGAAUUACCUAUCUUUAACUUAUAACAUCAUGCCAAAACCUAUCUUGACAAUCUAACUGUUAGUCAACACUCACAGAAUGUUGAAAUGACCGACAUGUCACUAUUCCAAUGUGGCAACAGUAAAAAAAAACGUCAUCUUUUAACUAUUUUUAGGAUAAUUCUCACAUAAAUAAAACGGCGUCGUUUUGAUUUAAUUGGGGGAAAUAAAAAUCCCAAAUCGAUUUAGGGUUCUUGACUUGUCUUCUUCGUCGAUAAUGGUUUUAAAGGGAGCUCUAAUGGAAUGUCAAAGAAGAGGGUUCCCUAAGAGAUGUAGGUGCAGAGAAGCUGUCCUUAUGAAGACGUCUGGUAUUGCUAAAAAUCCUGGAAGGCUGUUUCAUGCGUGCCCAUAUGGAAAUGAAGGAGUAAGUAUACUCAUUUUCGGAGCAUUGAUAUAUGUUUGGAUGGAGUGUUUGUUGUCCAUUGAGUUAUGUUUGUAUAUGUGAUAGGAUAAUUGGUAUCAUACGUUCAAAUGGACUGAUACAUGUAUGGUUAAAGAGCUUGAGGACUUGAUAGACAAAGUCGGGAACAUUGAAGAAACUUCAAUGACAUUGCAGAAGGGCUUUAAUGUUUGUGAGUCUGAGAUUGACACAUUGGCUAUGGAGACGUGUAUGUGUGAGGCUGUGGUUGAAAAAGAGGUGGGAGAUCUCACAUUGGAGCUCUGUAGCUUGAAUAAUCUUGUCUGAUUUUGCUUUUGUGAUGUGGUUGGUCUAGUGUGAGAUGUGGAUGUUCUAUUUGCUUUUUCCUUUGUGAUCUUGUUGUAAUGUGAGUCUACAUAAGUGUUUGAGAUAAGCUACUAGUGUCUUAGUCUUUCAAUCUAAUGUUUAUGUUUGGAAUAAUGUUUUGUGUCGUAAAUUUGUUGUUAAAACUGAAUGAUUAGAAAAUGGAUUUUGAUCAAGCAAAAUACGGAUCAAACACAACAUAGAAGCAAGAGUAUCUAAAGCUUCAUACAAGCAAAAUUUUCUGAGCAUAAGGGUUACAAAAAACAGUUGCAAAACAAGGGGCUAAACUUAAAAAAAAAUCAUAUCAUAACAUCAAACAAAAUUCAGUUUAAACCAUGACAAAAAACAGAGAAACAAAGUCAUGAUUUAGGUUCUAAUCAGCUGCCUCUUAUGCUCCAUCCUUUGUGCUCCACAACAUCAUCAUUUCUUCCAUCUUCCCAACACAAAAAAAAUAACAAGGUUGCUAAUACUAUUCUAUACUGUAUUAGUAUUCACUUAAACGAUGGCCCCUUAAACGAUCACACAACUUAUCUAGUCUUGAGUUGGUUGAGUUAGAGUUGGUCCUUCUCCAAAUGAUAGAGUCAUUUACUCGUAUCCAUCUUGUUCUGUCUCUGUAGCCUCAUUUCCAUCUUCUCCCUGGCUCUUCUUUCUGGCAUUUGAUCUCUUACUUGCUUUUUUGCCAUUAUCCACUACCAUAUUCUGACAUUUUGUUACAUUAUGGCUAUCUUCACCACAACAACCACAAUGCAUGAUCUUUUUCUCUCUAGAUGCUUUCUUCUUUAAUGGAGACUCAUGCCUUGCCUUCUUCCUUUUCGGCUUUGGCUUUCUUCCAACUUUGUUCUCAAUUUUUUCAACUAAACUUGGUGGUGGCAGCACCUUUGAUUUUGAUUUUUCCUCAAAUAACAGACCGUUGAGAGGAUUGAUAGAAUUGAUUAACAGACUAUAGAUUUGUUGCUGCCAGGAAUUCAGAAACCAAUGGAAGAUGGGAUCCUCAUGAUUCAGUUUCCUUUCAGCGAUGACACGUAGGGCAUGAUGGCAAGGAAGACCACUCAUGUCUCAUCUACUACACGCACAUGCCCUUAGUCUCAUGUUAACACUUUAACUUACACCAGACUCACACACCUCAUCUCUUGCAUUUUUUCUGGGAAUCAUCACACAAUACUUGAGUUUCUUCUACUCAGCCUCUAUCCACUGUAAUGCCAUUACCAUGAAUCUUCUUUGAUGAUUCACUGCUUCCUUCAUCCUCUUUGGCUUUGGCUUUCUUCCAAUUUUGUUCUCACUUUUUUCAACUAAACUUGGUGGUGGCAGCACCUUUGAUCUUGCUUUUCCUCAAAAUAACAGACCGUUGAUAGGAUUGAUAUGAUUGAUUAAUAGACUAUAGAUUUGUUGCUGCCAGGAAUUCAAAAACCUAUGGGAGAUGGGAUCCUCAUGAUUCAGUUUCCUUUCAAUGAUGACACGUAGACGGCAAUGAAUACCACUCAUGUCCCAUCUACUACACGCACAUGCCCUUAGUCUCAUGUUAACACUUUAGUUUACACCAGAUUCAUACACUUCAUUUCUUGCAUUUUCUCUGGGAAUCAUCACACAAUACUUGAGUUUCUUCUACUCAGCCUCUAUCCAUUGUACUGCCCUAAUCAUGAAUCUUCUUUGAUGAUUCACUGCUUCCUUCAUCCUCUGGUCUAUAUGAACCAUAGUCUUCAUGAGGACAGCUUCUUCACACCUACAUCUUUUAGGGGACCCUCUUCUUUGACAUUCUAUUAGAGCUUCCUUUAAAACCACUAUCGAAGAGACAAAUUCGUGAACCCUAAAUUGAUUUGGAACUUUUAUUUUUAUCCAAAUCAAAACGACAUUGUUUUGUUUAGGUGAAAAUUGUUCUAAAAAUAGUUAAAACGAUGAUGUUUUUUGUACAGUUACCACAUCAAAAUUGACAUAUUGGCUACAUCAGCAUUCUGUGAGUAUUAACUAACGGUCAAAUGGUCAGAAUAGAUUUUGACACGAUGUUAAAAGUUUAGAUAGAUAAUUCAAAUAUUUAUAUUAUCGAGUUUUUGGUCCAAGAAAAUUUAGUUCAACUAGAUUUUGAUACUUUUCUUAUGUACAGUAAAUUACCCAAAUUUUGGCAUCACUAGAUGAAUACCCGCGUGUACACGCGGGUGUUUUGUUUGUUUUAUAUACAUUUUAAAUUUCUAUUUUUCAACAAAAUUAACCUAUUUUAUUUUUGAUAAAGAAAAUAUUAUCCAAAUUUGUAAAAAUAUAGUCAUUAAAUGUGAUUUUUUUGUUUUAAUAUAAUUUAUUAAUAGACAUUUUUUUAUAAGUUUAAUCUAAUUUUUUGUAUUUGGUAAUAUGAAUAUCAUAUGAACUCGUAAAAAUGUAGUCAUUAUUUUUUGUAGAUGUAAUAUUUUUUAUUUUUGCACCUAACCAAAUAUAUCUUCAUUAUUAUUUUUCUCAACCUGUCUUUUUGUUUGUUAGUUAAUUUUUAAUGAUAAAAAUAUGUAUUUUGUAAGACAAAUUUAAUAUCUUUGCCAAAUCGUAUUUUGCUUUCUGCCCGAGGACUUCAAGUCUCAACUCUUUGUCCUGGUGGUAGGGUUGUCAUCGGUGGAUAUGCCUUUAUACAAAGAAAAUGGAUCAAUGUCUAUGUAAACAAAACCAGAAUGAAUUCAAUACAAGGAAUAUAAUACAGUUUUUAAAAACCAAUAAAUCAAAGAGGAGGCGAAGAAUAAAAAAUUUUACCUAUUGACUUGUGGAAUUUUGAGUCGAUAUUAGAAAGCAUUGGAGAUUGUUUGAGAUUCUAUCUUUCCAAUUUCCAAAAUAAAAUUAAUUUGCAGUUUAUUAUGAACCAUAAAUUGAUAUGUACUUCUCUUUCGGUUUUUGUGUUCAAUUAAAAACCAAAUUAGUAUAAUUUAAUUGUUUAAUUUUCUCAUAAUUUUUUUUAAUCUAAUGUGUCAAAAAAAUGAAUGCUGAUAUGUCAAUCUUGUGAAACUCAACUGAGUUUUUAUAUAAUAGAUUCGUUUUCCCAAAUAAAUGACCAAGUGCAAUAACUCUAUAAUAAAAUGCAUUAAUACUUUCCAAAUUAUUAAAUCAGAAAUAUAAUUGUAGUUUCGAACUAACUACAAAUAAUAAGAUUUCGGUAAUCAAUCAGCCACGAAAACAACUGCAAAAAAUCAUACGGACUUUUUUCAAACAAAUAUAUCAAUAAAUGUUUUUCGAAAUUCGAAAAGUAACAAAAAAAAUUAAAUCAAGCUAUAUCCUCGCCGGAUCUCUCUCUCUUUACAGCAUCUCUCUGGCGGCGUAACCGUACCGAGAUCUGCGAAUAUUCUCCUGCCGUCUCUUGUACACAAAUCCGGCCAAUCCAACCACACAAACCGCCGCGAUCGUUCCAAACGCGACCCCAGCCUUCUUCCCGCCGCUCAUUCCACCGCCUCCCGAUGAUUUUUCCUCUUCGACACCGGUAAUAUCGCUGUGGUUCAAAUCGCUAGCUUCUUGCGACGGAGACGGAGAUGGAGAAGAUGAAGGAGACGCAUGAUCAUCCGGCAACGGCGGAGAUAGCGAUGGAGAAUCUGACGGAGAAGGAGAUGGAGAUGGGGAGUGUUCUGUUUCUGGUUGCGGAAGAGAAGAGUAUGCGAUCGGAGACUCUGCUGGUGAAGGGGAUCCAAAUUCCGGCGUAGGCGCGUGGAUUGGAGGCGAAUCUGUAGCGUCGGUUGAUAGAUCCGGCGCCGGAGCCGGUGAGACUUUAGUCGAAAUCUCGCCGGAGACGAGUACCAGCAUUAGCAGAGACGAAAUGGUUAUGAUUCCGAGCUUCAUUUUCGAAUUUCAAAUUAUGUUUCUCUCUCAGAUCUUGAUGAGUGAAGUAAGAGACGAAUAAGAAGAGAUCUGAGAAGAUGAUGAUAAUAAACAAAAAUAGUUAGUUUUAGAGUGAGAAUGUGAAAUGCAAUAUUACGAUCGCUAGAUUUGCGGCUACGAAAAGCGUACAACUAAUAGAAUUUUGCCACGUAGGAUACGUAUGGAAACAGAGAAGGAAGCGAAACACUGGAUCUGGUCAUUGCGUGAAAUCGGCACGUGGGUUUCACGUGAAGAGCUGACCCUCACGUUAUCUAUGGAGUAUAUUAAACAAAGAUUACUUUGUAAGAGAAUUAAGCAAUCAAGUUGUGAGAUUAAAUAUAUGUAACUAACAUCGUUUUUUGGCGUUAAAACAAAUCAGGUAAAGAGAAAAAAAAAGUAAUACAGAACGUUUCUUCGCAUUUCCUAAUCAGACUUCUUAAAAAUAUAAUAAAAUCACUUUGUGUUUCUACAAAAUUGUAACAACAUGUAGCUAUACGCAGAUAUACACACACACAGAGGAAAAAAUAAAGGGUUGAGGUUUUCUUGCUGUCCAAGAACCAAUCAAAAGUGUUCAAACUUGGAUCCCUAGAUAACAGCUACUUCAAGGAAUUAUGGGAGGCUUAAUAUGAAAUCCGAUCUGGUUGAAACUUGGUGGAAUGUUUCGUGACACUACUGAAUUGAGAAGCAACGGUGGGAUUGCGAAGUUAGUGGUCAGUUUGUCAUUUCUUCACGUUCUCCUGAGCAAAUUUAGCAUAAUACCUCACAAGAUAUAGCGUUUGGAUGUUUAAACUAGCUCUCGAUUUGAGCUGAUAUUAAGCAUGAAGUUUUGGAUUCAUACACUACAAGAAAUCACCCAUUUCACAACGACCAUAUUCGUCGUUAAAUCAUUGUGAAAUGAGGUUUGCGACGAUUUAACGACGAAUGCCAGUUCGUCGUAUAUUGAUCGUCGUAACUGGUAAUUCGUCGUAAAAUCGUCUUUAAUUAGCGAGAAACAAAUAAUCGUCGUUAAAUCGUCGAGAAGCAUUCAUCGUAACUUCGUUGUAAAUGUAACGACGAUUGAACGACGAAAAGCUUUUGUCGGCAAUUCGUUGCAAAUUCGUGGCAGAAGAAUCGUCCUUAAGUCGUCGUUACUCUAGAUUCGUCCCUAAUUCGUCGUAAACAUUUCGUCCCGAAUUCGUCGUAAUUUACAACGAUUUAAGGACGAAUGUUUAUUUAUUUUUUAAACCCAAAUUUUUUUGAAAUAAUAAUUAAAAAUAAAUAUGAAAAUAAAAUUAUUUUAAUUAAAACAAAACAAAAUAUUUUUAUUACAACAAAAAAAAAUCAUAUUUAAGCAUCAUAAUCAAUUUCGAAAUCUCCAAAAUCGUCCGCAAGAUUAGUAACCGGAGCAUGUGAUUGAUCUUCUCCACCAUUUGUAGAUGCUCCUUGAGUACCCGCAGCAUGUGUCGCUCCACCACUUGUAGAUGCUCCUUGAGUACCUGCAGCUUGUGUCGCCACUCUUCGUGCCACCAAUCUUGCCUCCUUUUCCGCUGCACGUUUUUGACGUUUUGCUCGCAAGGCAUUUGCAACAUCUGGGAUUGAGAGGGCAAUGAUAUCGAAGAUGGAGUCAUACUCCAAAAGCUCCUCCUGAACUUCCUGGUGAUAUGCGCUUUGAGACUCCUCUAAAGUUGCAAUCUUGGCCCGUAGAACGACUGGAUCAUCUUCUGGUCCUCGGCGGCGUGGUGCGGAUGACGAAGCACUCGGGACGUCUCUAAUAGAUUCCAUCCCUAUAACUUUUCCCUUCUUUUUCGGAGCGACCUACAUUUCAUCUGACGGAUGAGUAAUCUUUCCAUCUGUCUGCAAAUGAUCUGCAUGCCAUCUCAUCGCUGCCGCUGUUCUUUCAGAAUGAUACAUUCGUUUCAACCUAUCAGUUAUAGGAAGGUACCACAUACGCUGGAAUGGUACUUUGCUGCGACUACUUCCUUGCGGCUUAUAUCUAGGCUUAUGACAAAAUCGACAUUCCUCCAACUUAUCAUCAUCUUUCCAAAAUAGCAUGCAAUUGUCAACACAGACAUCUAUCAUCUCAGAAAGCAAUCCUAGACUAUAAAUAAGUUUCUGGAUCUCAUAGUAAGUUCCAGCUGCUAAAUUGUCUGCCGGCAAAUACUCUUUAAUCAGGUCAGCCCAAUCAUCCAUGCAAGUCUCAGCUAAGUUAUGAUCAGUUUUAAUAGUCAUCAUUCUAGCUGCCAGUGAUAAUUUAGAUUGUCCUUCUUUGCAUCCAUUGUAAAGUGGCUGAUUAGCAGCACCUAACAUAUCAUAAAAUUUUUUUGCAUCUGCAUUGGGUUCCUCAUCAUGGACAGGUGCAAAUGUGUUUGUGGUUUCGUGAAAUGCAUCUGUAACCAUGUCUUGAAUUCUAUCAUGAUCAAACCUUUGCUGCUCUGCAUGAUAAUAUUCAUCUUGAUGCAAAUUAUUUGACGAGUCUUCAAAAUUUGAAGCUUGAUAAUUGCUAUUACUACUACCUGCACUUUCUCCAUGCCCUUCUCCAUGAUGGUACCAUAUAAAGUAAUGUGGCAUAAAUCCUCUAUUUAAUAUAUGCGACCACACUUUCACGAUUGUGAUAAAUUUUCUAUUCAUGCAUUUAGGACAAGGACAAUACAUCAUACGACUGGCAAUCGUUCUUGGGAGUUUUCCUGCCUCAUGCAUGAAUCCCUCAACCCCCUCACUGAAUUCUUUUGUCAACGAUCCCGUUGAAUCAAUACGAUUGUACAUCCAUUUCCGAAUUUCAUAUAUGGACGACAUUUCGUAUAUAUAUUUAAUAUUCACUACCAAGUGAAUAUUUUUAAAUUUUAUACUUGUUCCCAAUUAAGUGAUCAAUUCAAUCACUCUUAUUUAGGAGCAUUGUGAUUUUUUUUUGGGUUAUGGGAGGCCCUAUAUAUAGAUUUUUAUUCUGCUUACCAUCGAAUUAACAACGUUAUUUAACAACGAAUUAACGACGAAAUGUAGUUUAGCGACGAAUUAACAACGAAAAUGAGAAUCGGGUUUAUUCGUCGUUAAGUCGUCCCUAAGUUACGACGAUUUAACGACGAUUCUUAUAAUCGUCGCCAGAUCGUCGUUACUGCACGACGAUGUAACGUCGAAUUCUUUUCGUCACCAAUUAACGACGAUUUGGCGACGAUUAUAAGAAUCGUCGUGCUUUCGUUGUUAAUUCGAAGGGAAUUUGCGACGAUUCUUAAUCGUCGUAAAAAAUCGUUGCUAAUCGUAUACUUUCUUGUAGUGAUAGAGGCAUAGAGUUAUGUCCUAGACUAAGGAGAUCCUGUAUGGAGAGAAUUUAUGUUGAAGUUGAGACAGCAAAUAUGUUCACGGGAGAAGGAGUAGAUGACACAAACUAUUUAUUCCUUAUACAUUAUUAAGGUCCCUCUAGCUUUCCAUAUACAAUCCGUGAGUCAACUUGAUAUUGGUUUGAUGUGAUGCUAGCUACUAUAUCACAUAUAUCCAUUAUUCUUGUAUUUUGGAUUUUUGCUUCAAUGCUCGGAGAGCUGAGCAAAUUCUUGCAUCAGCGCUCGUAGAUUACUUCAUUUACUUCAGUGCUUUAAUUAAUUAGUAUAUUUUAUUCUUUGUUCACCAUUGCUAGACUUCAGGUAUAGAGUUCUUUGCUUUACAAAACUGUGAAUAAGAAAACUCUAUUUCAUCUUGUUUACACAUGAAGCAAUAAAGAAAGCUAGUUGCUUAGACAUAGUUUUUGAAUGCAGUUACUGUGAUGUAACUUUGUCUAAUUGUUCACCCACUAUAAGUUCCUCGGAUUUUGAUAGCCUUUAGGUUGGCUAAUUAAUGUGGAGUUGUCUCAGCUUUGUCUAGUUGCUAGAUUUCUUGUCUAUUUUUGUAGAGUUUUGAUCCGAUUCUAAAGAUUUAUGAAUCUAUAUCGCAGGUAAAUUCUAAACGUAAUUGAAGAAGACAAUACGCAAGAUUGUUUACCCAGAGUUCACCAAUAUGGCUACGUCUCCGGGGAGGGAACGGGAUCCCUCAAUAUCCACUAUCGACUUCGAUUACAGAGCUAUGCAUAAGGUGCUUACAGCUUUGUUAUAAAGAUCAAGCACUCAAAAGGAAUCAAGGCGAAGACGAUGAUCGGACCGGAAUCUACCACUGGUGAACGCCUACUCCGUCAUAAGCUUCGAUCACACUCUCUCUAUCUUUUCUUCUGCUUUCUCUCUCUAUAACUGUCUCACUCUCUUGCUUUCUUGUUACAACUUCAGCUCGGGAAGAUGACGACUUAAGUCAACUUAACCACACUCUUGGGCCUGACAAUUAUUGAAGCCAAAUAUCCCUGAAUGAGACGCGGCCUUGGAACAUAAGCCCACUAAGGUGUUUGACUGAACCAGUACUAGACUUCACAAACUCCACCUUUCAGACUCAACACCGAAGACUCCGCCGAACCCUAAUACUCCUAACCUCUCGAUAGUGAACCUCCGACUGUAACAGAUGACAGCCUCCCAUGGGAUCGCCGACGGACUCUGCGACUCCGGCACAUGAAUCUGACUUAAGGUAACCCGUGAACACUCAAGUAACACUCUGAGAUUAGCUUGAGUAUUCUCACCUAUGAUUCAUCUCCUUUUGCAAAGAUUGACCCUUUCGGAUUUUCUUUGCACCUUUUGCAGCUUCUCCGGUGAGCAGACAUUGCUCUUUCGCUGUGAUUACGGCUUCAGGUAAUGGCUUCAGCCCGUAAUCCCUCGCACCUUAUCCUGUUAACACGGAUCUUUCAGAACAGCUUUCACUGACUUCAUUUUUUUCAUGUGAACAGAGUCUCCACCUGGAACUAGAGAGGUUGGUUCACCCCUAGUCCCUACACUCACGAGUAACUCUCUUUUCCUUCCUCAUCUCCUCUUUACCAAUCAGAGCCAUAAGAUUCUCAAGUUACUGACUUGUCUUCUUAUGCGUGCGAGAUCCUCUAAUGGUGGAGUUACCCAGAGCCUUUAUGUCACUAGACGACAUUCACCAAAUCACAGCAGAGCUGAAACUUUGGCCCAGGUAAGGCUUUAGUUAAGAAGUCUGCUGGAUUUUUGCUAGUGUGGAUCUUGUAUAGUAUAGCAUCGUUAUCUGCUACUAUAUCCUGAAUAAAGUGAUACUUUGUAGCAAUGUGUUUGGUGCGCUCGUGAUGCACGGAGUUCUUUGCAAGUGCCAAAGCACUCUGUGAAUCACAAUGUAUCUUUACACCUCCUGUGUUAAGCCCUAACUCACCACAAAUACCUUUCAACCAAAUGGCCUCUCUCACAGCUGAUGAGAGAGCCAUAUAUUCAGCAUCUGUAGUCAAUAAUGCCACAACUGACUGUAAAUUUGAUCUCCAACUGACUGAAUUUCCCCAAACCUUAAACACAAACCCAGUCACUGAUCUUCUCUUGUCUAAGUCUGUGGCAUAAUCUGAAUCACAAAACCCGUUGAUGACAAAACUUGUAACCUUAACAAAAGUAAGACACGCAUUAGAGGCACCUGACAAAUACCGAAGAAUCCAUUUAACUGCUGACCAAUGUUCCCUGCUUGGACUUGUCAUAAAUCUACUGACCACACCUACAGCAUAGGCUAGAUCAGGUCUCGAGCCGAUCAUAGCAUACACUAAGCUCCCAACAGCACUAGCGUAUGGAAUGUUUUCCAUAGGCACAGCCUCUGCCUUUCUUUCUUUCUUUGACAAACUCUUAAACUUGAAAUGAGGUGCUAAGGGAGUAGUCACUUGACUUGCUUCUUUCAUUCCAAACGCCUUUAGAACUUUCUCAAUAUAGCUUUUCUGUGACAGAAUAAGAAUUCCCUUCUCUCUAUCUCGGAUAAUAUCCAUUCCCAAAAUUCGAGAAGCCUUCCCCAAAUCCUUCAUUUCAAAUUCCCUGUUCAAGCUUUCUUUUACCCUUUUAAUCUCUGACAUAUCUCCUGAGGCAAUCAACAUAUCAUCCACAUAUAACAAAAGAUAAAUCGCUUGAUCAGUCAGUAUGUUUCUCAUGUACACACACGGAUCAUAGCGGCUCUUCUGAAACUUUUCCUUCUUCAUAAAGCUAUCAAACCUCAGGUUCCAUUGUCUCGGGGAUUGUUUCAACCAGUAAAGAUACUUCCGUAGAAGACAAACUUUAUUUUCAUCCCCAUUCUUAAUAAAACCCUCUGGUUGACUCAUAAGAAUCCUUUCUUCUAAGUUUCCAUUUAAGAACACAGUUUUGACAUCCAGUUGCUCCAAUUCAUAAUCCCUGUUGACCACAAUUGAUAACAUGAUCCUAGUGGGCACAUGCUUAACCACUGGUGAAAAAAUUUCAUUAUAAUCCACACCUUCCUUUUGUGAGAAUCCUUUAGCAACAAGCCUGGCCUUGAACCUUGGUUUUUCGGCUCUGAUUGUGGUAGUGAGUGAGGGUUGUCAAGUUUUACCCUAAAUGAAAUCAAUAGCCGCAAGUGCACAGUUGAUCGAUUGUAGUACUUAGGGAUCGAAUCCACAGGGAAGGAGGAUCUUUUCCAGCAAAAAGCCUUUGACAUAAGUAUAAAGUAAGGAAGUCUAGAACCAAAACGGUUUUGUGGGGGUUUGGUAGUGUGUUUAAAAUGUAAAAAAUCUUAAAAGAAAGUACGGGAAUUAAAUAACCUAAUAACUAAACUUAACGAAAAUGAAUAAAAACGAGUAAAACGGAUAUUCUAAUUGCUUAAAUUAAAAUCUACUAAAAAGGAAAGACAAUAUUGAACUAAAGCUUGAAAUAAAAACGGUGUAAAUCUAUGGGAAAGAAGGCGUUGGGGUUCAGGGAAGUUUUCUCAGGGGUACGAACGAUUCAAAACAUUGCUAGAGAGUAAAAUUGAUAAGAUCUUAGCUUAAACUUUUCGAACUGGAGUCACGGACGUAUGAAUACGCCACUGUCGUGAUCAUAGACAACUAUCUCUCUCAACCAUGACCAGUAGGUUUCCACUCUGGCCCUGGAAGAGAAGAGAUGCAUUAUGUUUAAGACUCGUCCUUAUUCACAAAUCGCCCAUAGGUAGGUUUCCACUCAUAUGUUUGUUUUGCUCUCCCAAACUAGAUCUGAUACCGGAUGAACACUUUCGUGUCACCAAGCAUCUGGAUUAGAUUGUAGUUCAUGACGCUACUCUCAUGCAGUAAAAACGAAUUCAGAAGAAAAAGUUCUAAGAUUCGGCUCAAAAGCUCAUGGAAUCCUCAUCGAACAUAUAGAUCCCCAUCGAAAAUCCCUUAAUCCCAACAAUAAAACUACUCAGACAUGAUGAACGAAAUCAAAAGCAUAGUAUUAAGAAGUAGAAUAGAAACCAAAAUUGAAAAAGAAAGAACAAGGGUUCAAGAGAACAAAUCUCUCUCUCCCUAAAACCUAAAGCAAAAACAGUAAAAAUAUGAAGUAAUGAUAGAUGAUCUCGAUUAGGGUUCAUAAAACAUGUAUUUAUAGUGCUCAAGACAUCUCUGGACGUCACUUAGGGUUUCUCCAAAUGAAGGAAUCAUUGUGGGCUUCAAAAAUGGGCUUUUGGGCUCAGAGUUGGCUUGCCGCGGUCGGGAGUGCUGUGACCGCAGGGAAUGAGUGGUUUGCCGCGGUCGGGAUGCUUCUGACCGCGGGAAAUGGCCUGUUGGCCGCGGGUGGAGUUGCUUGCCGGCUGGUUUACGGGACAUCUUGCUAUUCGCGUAUCUUUUGAUUGAACCGUUGGAUUGCCAAGCUGUAAAGUGUGCUGGAAAGCUGAUACUUCCAUCUUUAAGGUCUCCAAAUUUGAGCUGGAUCAGACGAUGAGAAGGCCUUCAAUCAGGGGUGAACUUCUGACGGUUUGACUCUGAGCUGAAAUCUGGUUUUCUAUCCAUUUUGUUAAGCUUUUCCCUAAAUUACCUGAAAAGAGUCUUGAAACUACAAAUACUAGAAAAACGUAAUAAAAGUACUUAAAAGCAAUUAAAAACAUAGAAAAGUAUUUCAAAACGGUCCAUAAAAGUGGUCAAAAUACGGUGUUAUCAGGUUCGUGCAUUUCCCAUCUUCUGGAAUCCAGACACGGUAACCCUUAACUCCAAACGGAUACCCCAUUAGAAUUCCUUAGUCUUAUCUUGAACAGUAUGAACAUAAGCGAUGGACCCAAACCUUCGUAAAUGUGUUAAAUCUGGUUUGUGACCUGUCCACACUUCUUCUGGCAUCUUGAAUUCAAUGGUAGAGCUAGGGGUCCUGUUUGUCAAAUAAACAGCAGUUUGAGUUGCCUCAGCCCAGAAUUCCUGACCCAAACCUGUCUCAGCCAACAUACUUCUCACCUUGUCCAUAAUAGUCAUAUUCAUUCUCUCGGACACACCAUUUUGCUGUGGUGUGUACGUACAUGUUCUAUGCCUCUUAACACCAGAUUGUCUGCAUAAUUCAUCGAACUGGACAUUACAAAACUCAAGUUCGUUAUCAGUCCUCAAACACUUCAGUUUCUUCUCAGUAUGCUUCUCAACAGCUUCUUUCCACUCCUUGAACUUAGAAAAUGCCUGAUCCUUAGUUCUCAAGGAAUAAACCCAGACCUUCUUUGAGUAAUCGUCAAUGAAGCUUAUGAAAUACUUGCAUCCUCCUAGACUUUCUGGGGUUGACGGUGACCCCCAUAAAUCUGAGUGCACAUACUCCAGAAUGUCCUUAUUUGUGUGCUUGGCCUUAGGAAAACUCUGUUUAUGAGAUUUGCCUAAUACAUAUCCCUCGCAAAAACUCAAAUCUCCAAUUUCAUCCUUUGAUAAGAAACCAUUCUUUACCAAGACCUCCAUGUUCUUUGAGCUCAUAUGACCAAGUCGUGAAUGCCAUAGACUUGUCAUAUCCUUCUUAGAAGUGGAGAGGUUUGCUUCGGCAUUGGUCACUUGUCCUUGGAGAUAAUACAGCCCUUUAUUGUAUUUCCCGGUGAUUACCUUUUGACCAUUUUUAUAGAAGGUAACUUCGUAGUCUUUACUUUCAUACUUGCAUCCAGCUUUUUUCAAGCAUACCGUAGGAGAUAAGAUUUCUGCUCAUGUCAGGCAUGUACCGAACAUCUGUUAGGAUUACCGUAGUACCAUCUGGGUUUUGGAUUCUAACUUUUCCAAUUCCCUUUACCUCACUGUGUGUGUUGUUUGCCAUUAAUACUUUUCCACCGUUGACUUCUUUCAGGUCAAAUAAUACUUCCUUGUGUGGGGUUAUGUGAAAAGUGCAACCGGAAUCCAUUACCCAUGCAUUUUUGGAGUCCUGCAAACUCACCGUGAGGACCAGAGGUUGCUUCCCCUCUGUUGCAACGUUUGCCGAAGAAUCUCCAUUCUUCUUCUGGCCUUUACUCGGGCAUUCUCUUUUCCAAUGCCCCUCUUUCCCACAGAUGAAACAGGUAGUGCCUUUGUACUUGUUUUUGGACUUUGAUCUGCCUUUACCAUUCUUGUAUUCUGCACGUUUUUCAUAUCUCCCUCUGGAUUCGACGUACAGCCCUUCUGAUGAAGACUUUCCCUUACCUAGGAGUCCCUUUUGCCUGAGCUCUGCCUCUUUGGAGUGAGCUGCAAUAACCACUUCCUCUACGGUAAGAGUUUGUCCAUCUCAAAUUUCCCUUGAGUUGGCUCCAUCCUUACCAGAAUGAUCUUUUCUUGCAGGUUGAACUUUGAGAGUCUCCGAACAACGAGCUUUUCAUCAACGAGUACCAACAGAUCAGGAGGAGAAAACUUCUACAACAAAACCUUCCGAUCUGACUUUCUCCCAGAGUAAGAUAAGUUCCGAUAUCACUUCCUCUAAUAUCAAUAGAUAUUCUUCGCUAUCUAGAACCUGGAUAGCUCUGAUACCACUUGUAGUGUUUUGAUCCGAUUCUAAAGAUCUAUGAAUCUAUCUCGCAGGUGAAUUCUAAACGUAAUUGAAGAAGACAAUACGCAAGAUUGUUUACCCAGAGUUCACCAAUAUGGCUACGUCUCUGGGGAGGGAACGGGAUCCCUCAAUAUCCACUAUCGACUUCGAUUACAGAGUUAUGCACAAGGUGCUUACAGCUUUGUUAUAAAGAUCAAGCACUCAAAAGGAAUCAAGGCGAAGACGAUGAUCGGACCGGAAUCUACCACCGGUGAACGCCUACUCCGUCGUAAGCUCCGAUCACUCUCUCUCUCUAUCUUUUCCUCUGCUUUCUCUCUCUAUAACUGUCUCACUCUCUUGCUUUCUUGUUACAGCUUCAGCUCGGGAAGAUGACGACUUAAGUCAACUUAACCAUACUCUUGGGCCUGACAAUUACUGAAGCCCAAUAUCCCUGAAUGAGACGCGGCCUUGGAACAUAAGCCCACUAAGGUGUUUGACUGAACCAGUAGACUUCACAAUUUUCUAGAAGCAAUUGAUAUUCGUUUCGAUGUGAUAUUUUUUUUUGGGAGUUGAUUAUUAUUGAAGGUGUGUGAAGGAAUAUUGUCCCACAUCGGAAGUUGAGAUGGGAUUACACUAAUAUAUAAAAGACUUGGGUUAAUCCACUUAUUGUCAGUUGGUUUUGAUUGGAAGCUCAUUCUCAGAUCCAAUCCGAACACACGCAGCCAGGCCCAUUCUCUACCUAAAUAUUAAAUCCGACCUUAAAAAAAUUAUUAGUCGUGAUCAUUUUACUACUUCGACCCAACUCAAAAAUUUGUCUGGCCUAUCGUACCUAAAAUUAAUCUUAAAUUGGAAUUUUUCGAGAUGAAUGGAUAGAAGAACCAUCAUUUCGAGGGGGCGUGUGAAGAAAUAUUGUCCUAAAUCAAAUCGUUUCUAAAACUUUAUAAAAUCAACAUUUAAAAAAAAAAUCUAACAAAAAGUAUUAAAAAAUAUCUAUAUAUUUAAUUAAUAGAACAUCGUUAAAAAAAGGAUAUCAAUGGAAAGUCACUAAUUAUUACAAUAUAUUGGUUAGUGUUUACGAUUUCUUAUGUUUAUAGGAUUUUCGAUUUCUUAUGAUUUAGUAUAAAUAUCAACCAUUUUCUCUAAUAAAAUCGAUAUUUAGUCAAAUAUAACGAAAAUGUAAAAAUCAAUAAAUGAAAUUCUUAAUGGAAUGACAGUAUUUGUGAUGUCUAGAUUAGGGUUUUCGACUUUAAAUAUUUUAGUACAUAUUCCACGCGCAGAAAAUAUGAAGGCAGACAACCCAGCACGAAGUGCACGGAUCUACCCUCAAGAUAUUGUAUAUGUAAACUCGGUACCACCAGUUUGGAUUUCUGAACCGUUCUAGGUAUCUAGGCAGUCGACAAAAAAAAAAGUAUAUAUAUGUACGAUUUCUCUCUAAUUCUCUCACACCCUUCUAAAUUGUUUAACUCUUUCCUUCUUUUCCGAAUAAGUUCGUACGAUACUUCAAAAAACUACGUCUAAAAUAAAAAGAACAGUCAUUAAAACAUUUCAAAAUUAUUUAAACUAAAUUAUUUGAAUAUUAAUAUGUUUUUAUCUAGUCUCUUUUACACUGUUUUUCCGGUCAUGUUUUCAAACAUUAAAAUGUAAAGAAAUCUAACAAACAAAUAUACUCAAUAAUAUAGAAUAAAAAAACAAAUGAAUCCAAACUACUAUUUCAAACAACCAAAUAAAAAAAAUUAUAUCAGUCCACGCAAGGCGUGGACAAAUCCACUAGUCUUCUUAUAUACUAAUAAAAGUUGAAGCUAAUAUGCUUCUAAGAAUGUCCAUAUGGGAUUUAAAAGGGUAAUUUUAUUGGUCCACAUCAACAUUCAAAAUUAAAGAAAGUUUACAAUUAUAAUAUUAUUGCUGAAAAAAGGAAAUUAAGAAAGUUUACAAAUUUUAAUAUUAUUAAUGAAUAAAAAAAUUCUGUAUAAAUUUUUUAUUGGUCCAACUCAAUUGAUAAUAAAAAGUUUCUAAAUUUUAUUAUUGUUUUUCUAAAAUUAUUAACGAUAAAAAAUUAUAUAAAAAAUUAUAUUAAUAAUAAAAACUAAAAUAAAUAAUAUUAAAAUAGGAAAUUUUAAAUUUAAAUUAGAUGUAUACACACGCAUAUUUAGAGACUCUUACAUUAGGAUCCAUUUUUUGUCACAUAACUAUAAUAAUUUUCAAGUUUUUUUCCUGUAUGUGCAGCCAUUUCAAAAAAAAAAAAAAGAGUUAUGUACACUAAAAAAUGAGUCAUUACAACGUAAAAGAACCAACAUGACUAAACUAUAUGUUUAAGUAUUAGCUAAAUUACAAAGAAUAUAUUAAAAGGAGAUAUAAACAAAACCACUACAAGCCAUUUUAAUAUUAAAAGAGACUGUAAAAUCUCCAAAGCCUAGUCACCGAAUUUGAGAAGAAUGAUAAAUUACAAUCAAUUCGAGAAACAUGUCAAGUGAUUGAUACUUGACACUUUUAAAAAAAGAAACACUGAAAAUAGAGAAAGAAGUUCCGUCAUUAAGACGAAGGAAACUGAAGUAUCCGAGGAAUAUUUUUGAUAUAAUAUAGCAUAUGAUGGGGUUUUAACAACCUAACAUUAACCACAAAAGUAACAAUUAGCUGACCAAACAGCAUCCGAAUAUAUUCAGUAAGCCUCAAAAUAAGAAGGAGAGAUCAAAAUCACUUGUCGCAACGGGCCUCGUGUGAGAUAUUCCAGCUUUGAUUUCUAAAUCUAUUAUUGAUCAAAUUUAAAGCUAUAUGCCUUUAAAAAUGUCCACAUAUGAUUUUAAAAUUCAAUUCUAUUGGUCCACAUCAAUAACUAAAAUUAAGAAAAUUUCCAAAUUUUAAAAUUAUAUUGUUAACAAAAAAAAGACGUUGAAGCUAUAUAUGUCUCUAAGGACAUCCACAUAAGAUUUAAAAGGUCCAUUUUAUUAGUCCACAUCAAUAACUAAGAUAAAAGAAAGUUUCUAAAUUAUAAAAUUAUAUUGUUAAUACAAAAUAAUAUAGGAAAAAUUGUUAAUUAAAAUUAUUUUAUCAUUAAUAACAGUUAAAGCUAUAUUAUUUUAAAUUCGACGUAAAAUUUCGAUGGUAUUUACAUGUUUUCUUGUAGUGUCCACAUCAGUAUUUAAAAAUUCAAUUUUAUUUGUAUAUAUCAAAACUGUAAAUUAAAUAAAGUUUCCUAAUUCUAAUAUUAUGAUUAAGAAAAUAAAUAAAAUAAAUAACUAAAUCUCUAUUAAACAAAAAAAACCAACAUGAUAUUAAAAUGUAUGCUAUCACUGUUUAAGUUACAAAUUUAAUUUAUUAUCUAUCAAAAAAUAUAUGCUACUUAUAUUGAUAUACUUGAUCUUAAAGUUUUUUUCACGUUGAAUUUUAAAUAACUAAUAUUUAUGAUUUAAUAUUCAUCUAAUUUUUUUCAUAUAAGCAAAACAUAUUUUCACAUAAUCUCAUGUAAUAUAUUAUGUGGAAAAUGAUAGAAAAUUACAUUUUGUAUAUUCAACUUGGAAUUGCAAUAGAAUAAUGUGGAAGUUCUUAGUUUUGAGUUGUUCAAUUUGUUAUUUUAUUUUUCUAAAUUUUUAUGUAUUAAAUUGUUUACUUAUAAUUAGAAGAAAUGAGAAUGAAUAUGAUGAACUGAAUAUAAUUAUACAAAAAUUAUUAAAAUGAAUAAAUAUGAUAUAUUUAUUGAAAAAAAACAGAUAUAACAAGAAUAAACAUGAUGAAAAAUUUUUCAUUCUUAUUAGAAGAGAUGAUGUAUAAUCAUUGAAAAAUUAUUCAAAAGUUUACAUAACUAAUUGAAAAAAAAUAAUUUAAUUCACAACAAAAAAAUUCACAAACUUUGUGUGAUUUGAUUCAUUAUUUCAUUUCAUAUUUAACUAUUGUUUUGGUUUCAAAUUUAAAAUUGUUAUUAAUCUCAAAAAAAACUUUUUUAUUUAUUAGUUUGUUUUUAAAAUUAAUAAAUAAAAAAUUGUAUUGGUUAAACAAGAGAAAAAAAACAUUAAACUUUAAAUUUUAUUUUCUUUUAUUGUUUUAAAAGAACAAAUAUAUAAUUGGAAUAAAAGUGAAAAUGAUGAACAAAAAUUAUCUUCUUGAUUUAAAGAAGUUAAUGUAUAAUAUUUUAUCAUUAUGUCAAUACUAUGUUUAAAAGUAUUAUUUGAUUAAUUUGUAAGAAAAUUUAGUUGGUUCGGAUAUAUUAACUAAUAAGUGUUUGAUCAAAUAAUAUGUUUUUGAAAUAUGAUAUAGUGUAUACAAAUUUGAAACAAAACCGUUAAAACCUAACAAUUUACAUAAAAUUAUUAGAUUAACACCAUAAUAUUUGUAAUAUAUUAUUAAAACACUAAUCUAUAAAAUUUAUAUCUUAAUAAUUAAAUUGAUUGUAUAUAAAUUUUAUCAACAAAAUAUCCACGCGUAGCAUGGAUGCAAAGUCUAGUUACUAAUAAAAGUUGAAGCUAAAUGCAUCUAAGAGUGUCUACAUAGGAUUAAAAAGUGCAAUUCUAUUGUUUCAGAUCAAUAUUCAAAAUUAAGAAAGUUUCUCAAAUUAAUAUUAUUUUAAAUCAAAAAUAUAUAAAAGAAAUAAUAAAAUUAUGUAUUAAAUUUCCAUUAACAACAAAAAACUAAGAUAAUAUCAAAUUAAGAAUAUUUCUUAACCAAAAUACAAAUUUACUUAGAUAAAAAAUAAUAUCCAAUCAAUUAAGGAAGGAAAGUAAAUUUUAAAAUUGUUUUUCCGUUUUCUUAUAAAACUGAUAUAAAAAGAAUGAAAUUGAAGAUGGUGAAAAAUAUUAUUUUCUUUUAUUAGAGAAGAAUCAUAUACUAAAUUUUUUGUGUCAAUACUAUUUUUAUUAAAUAGUCAUUAUUGUUUUUAGUUAUUUUUUAGUAUACUAACUUACAAGUAUUAGAAGAAUUUAAAAAUAUUUAUAGAAGUUGAAAUUAUAAAAUAAAUUAAAAUAGUAUUUACUAUAACAUAAAAAGAACACAUAUAUUAAUAUGUGGAGAUAAUUGGUGGUUUAAACAUAAUUUAAGGGUGAUAAUAAGUUUGUGAAAUCUAUUUUAAUAUAUCAAAAAUUAAUUUAGUAGUUUAUUAAAGAGUAAUUAAAUGCUAUCAAGUAUAACUUGUACUCAAUAAAAUAGUAAAAUAAAGAGAAUUUUUUUGUCUUUCUUGGUUUUUAAUAAAAAAUCAUCUAGAAGUUAUCACACACAAUAUGUUACUCGAUAAAAAGUUUGGUAUUUACCAAUUUAAGAUAAAAUUGACUAAAAUUUAUAUUGAAUUCAUCGAUCUUUGUGAUUUGAAAUUAGUUUUAAAUUUUAUUUUAUAUUUAUUUACUGAAAUUAUAUGUUACCAAAAAUUUGUGUUUAUUAGUUUAUUUUUUAAUUUAAAAUAAAUCAAAAAUUUGUAUUGACUAAAUUAGUUGAAAAAAGAAAAUAACUUUUAAUUUUAUCAUUUUUCAUUAAAAAAAACAUACAUAACAAGGAUGCAACUGAUGAAAAACACUUAUUUUCUUGACUAAUAAGUGAUGUAUGGUACUUUCUCUUAGUUUUAAUACUAACUAAGUACUAGUUAAUUAGUUUGUUACAUUUUAGGUUGAUUUUGGUAUACCAAAUAUUAAACGUUCAAUAAAAUAAUAUGUUUUUAAAUGACACAUAUAUAAAUACAAACAAGAUCGUUGAAACCUCAAAAUCUAUAUAUAAAUUUUAAAAUUAAAACUCAAUUAAUUAUGAUAAAUUUUAUUACAAUAAAUUAACAUCUAAAUAAAUAUAACUGCUUAAAAAACUACCCACUCGUAGCGUGGAUGCAAAAUCUAGUUGGUAGGAAAGAUUCAUAGGAAAUUAGUAGAAAAUAAAGAAAAGUGGUAGAAAAAAAUUGUUGGAAAAUGGUAGGAGUUAGUCCAUAGAAACUAGAAACGUGGUAGGAACAGUUUCGUAGGAAAAUGGAAGGAGUAAUUCGUAGGAAAUAGGUAGGUAAUGUUUCGUAAGAAAUUGAAAGGAAAAUGGUGGUAGUUUGGUAAGUAUUUUCUUACAAAUAUCCUACCAAUAUUUCUGACAAAAAUUUUCUAGCAACAUUUUCGUAGAAAUUUUCUUACUAUUUUUCUACUUUUUAAAUUUCAGACGGACGAUAACUUACGAAUAAAGUUCGUAGGAAUUUGGUAAGAAAAAAGAUUAUCUUACAAUUUUUUAACAAUAUUUUUCAUAGGUUUUCAGGUUUUUUUCUUGUAGUAGUGGAUCCAUGAAAAUCUGAUCCCCAUAAGAAAAACAAACUAUGAUAUUUGGAACAAACAUUUAGGAAAACGAAACUUGAACAUAAUUUGGAUGUCGUGAGAGAACCGAGUAUCACAGCUCUUUAAAGCUACAUUUGGAAGUUCGGACGCCUGGAAAAAUGAAGCAUUUUAUGUGGCAAGCUUUAUCAGGAUCUAUUGCUACUUGCCAAAUCCUAACCUACAGGCAUAUGAGAACGGAUAAGAGUUGUCCCUGCUGUGGGAAUCCUGAAAAAUCUAUUAACCAUCUUUUGUUUUUAUGUCCCUCGGUUUUACAAGUCUGGGCGUUAUCGGACUUUAUUUAGGCAUGAUAGGUCCUCAAAAAGAUAUUUAUCCUUGGAUCUUGUGGUAUAUUUGAAAAGAUAAGAACGACAAGAUAUUCAACGGGAAAAUUUUCCUGAUAUAUACUUUGAUCCACGCCAAGGUUGAAGCUGAAAGUUGGAAGAUUGCAAACCAACCGGAAGAAGAAGAGGAGGGAGCAGACGAGGCUUUGCUGACUCCUUUGCUCCUGAUUUCUCUACCUGAUGCCCAGAGGUUCCCAAUUUGUCAGGUUGAUGCAUCUUGGAUAGGCAACGGCCUGGUUAGUGGGUUCGGGUGGAGUCUGAAUGAGGAGAGGGGUGGUGAGACUUUUGGCCUUCAGGGCUAUCGUAGAAGCUUAUCAGCCCUUUAUGCCGAAUUGGAGAGCCUUUUAUGGGCUAUAUCUUGCAUAAAAGAUAGACAAAUUUUAUCCGUACACUUUCAGACCGAUUGCUCGGAUCUGGUAAGCAUGUUUGAAUCUCCAUCGGAUUGGCCAUCUUUCUUAUCAGAGUUGGAAGCCUUCUGCAUCCUUCGAGAAAGCUUCUUGGAUUUCACUCUCUCCCAUAUCCCAGAAGUUCAAAUGUCCGAGCGGAUAGUCUUGCAAAAGGAGCUCGAGCAAGAGGCGGUAUUCUCUUCCAAAUCAUUCAUACCGAGCCAGCUGAGAACGGUUCCCGGACCAAUUUCUUAACUGGCCAAAUGUGAUGUAAUAGUUGGGUUGUUGAAAAAAAAAAUUUGGAACAAACACAUUGUUGAAUCUCCUCAUAUUUUGUUAUGACAAAUUAAAAAAUAACCAACAAUAUAUAUAUAUAUAUAUGGCUGAUUUUUUCAUAUGCACGUGGAUUCGAAACUCAAAAGAUGAAUGCUUAGACGAAGUAUCUUUUAAAUAAAUAAAUAUAAAAUAAAAAUAAAAAGAAUGCAAUCGAGAUAUUUUAGUGUUUAAGUCAUAAAAAAAAUCACAUUGCAAAGUCUUUUUGCUAUAGAAAGAGGGGUGCAUGCUCAAUGAACCAUCUCAGAGUGAGGAGAACAAAUACACCACAAUCACUCCUUUCUAAAGUGUAAGAAGUGGCAGUAUUUACCAUGUUAAAUUUUUCAAGGGACGUGUAGAAAAAUGUAGAGAAGAAGUGGCAAUCACUUAUAGAAAUCAAAGCUUGCUGAUGGUCCUUGCAUGACUGUGGUUUAGUGGUAAAAAAGACUGUGUGGGAUAUUACACUAAUUUACCUAGAUCGGAUUCCCUUUAGAAACAAAAAUACAUUUGUGUAGGAAGUCUGAGCUUGGGCUUAAGGCCCAGGCAGUUAACAUGGUAGUCAGUAACAGGUAAUAUAGCUAUCUGGCAUUAGUUGGAAAACAUUUCAAACUCGAGAUAGAUAGUGUGGUAACCCGCUGAAUCUCAUAGAUCUCUUGGUCUGUUGACUCUAGUAUGUUUGGAACUCAUAGUAUUUGUUGAACCGUUGAACUAGAAAAUCAGUCCAGUAACACUUUAGUGUGUUUCUACCAGGACUAACCAGAUCAGCCGAUGAUAGUUAUCAUUCAUCCGAAAGACAAUUAGCAUCUUUAAGGUAAAGAUAAACAAGUGAUGGAUCUUCUAAGCUUUUUGAGUCUUAGCCACAUGCAUUAGCUUCUUCUCGACAUCUAGGGGUUAUCCAGUCCAUGUCCCUGGCUUCAACUCAUCUCCACAUCUAGGAGUUUUCUAGACUCGACCACAGACUUCAUCUUCUUCUCAACCUCUAGGGAUUAAUUCCCAAGUCCUAAGUCUCACUCCCAAGCUUCAGCUUCUUCUCGACAUCAGGCUUUAACUUCUUCUUGACAUCUAGGGAUUCUCCAGUUCCAGUUCCAGUCCCAAGCUGCAGCUUCUUCUCCACAUCCUUUGGUGCCAUUGCUGGGAUUGAAUUAUCUUCAUUAUUUUUCAGAAUCAUCAUUUGCAACAGCAGCUCUAACUCCCUAGAUAUAUAGAUCAACGCUCCUCACAGUGUAUAUAUCGUUCAUUGCAACCCAACAUAUCACCGUUUUCACAACAUCAUUGUCAUCAGCUAACAUCCUUUUAUCUUACGCGUCUACUGUAGAGGAAAACAUAUUAUAUAAUGUAUCUAUACUCUCGCUAUAAAACCUUAUGUGAUAACCAUCUUACCCACGCUGACACCAAACUCGUCUCAAACUAUAUAGGUGUUCACACCCAGAUUACUACAAGUCUAUAGAGGAAGAUGAAUAUAUUUUCUUGAAGAUAUGUUACAUAUUGUACAACAGUAUAUAUAUAUAUACAUAUAUAUACAGGCUAAUAGAAGAAGAUCUUUAUACAGAAAUACAGAUGAUAUUCUAACUCUAAGACAAGGUGUUAGAUACAAUAUCAGUAUCCAUCUUCGUGUAGCCUUAUACAUCAUAAAUUCUGAAACUAAGAUUUAUUCCACUAGGGAUUUGAAGGAUUUUGGUUGAAAUUAGGAACCUAAAUCAAACUCUAACAUUAACAUAAACACUAACAUAAUUCGGCUUCUGAGUCUAAAAAACCUACCUCUAAAGUUCCAAAUUAUGAUUUAGGGACUUGAAAUUUCAAGUAUAUCUUAAGACUUGUGCAGCAAAACUAAGGAAACAAAUCUUAAACAAAACCUAUGAUAACUGAACUUAUACUCAAAGUCUCAAACAGUCAAACUUAUAUUAAUUAACCUAUAAGAUCAUGUACAUCAAAGGUUCAAGGGGGGUUUUGGCACAAAAACAUAGGCAAAGUGAAAUAAAUAAAAAAGAAAAAAUUAUAUUUUCUUGUGAACAUGUCUCUUAGCGAAGGAUUUUAUGAACCUCAUUCUAAGAGGUUUGUAAGACAUGUGUAGGUUGCUAAUUUGUUUGUUCUCAAAUAUUAAACUUGGUAUGUGCUAACACAUCCAUCUUUUGAGUCCCAGCGUUUUUUUUUAAGAAUCUGUGAACCAGGUUCACUAAUGGAGACAUAAAAUUCACACUGAUUCUUCCCUGUACAUAUAUCCUAAAAAAUUAUUUUUAUAUUUUUAUAAACCCCAAAGAGGAGUUCACCAAUGUACAUGCUCUAACAUUUUUAGGUGUUGAUUGGUUCACCUCCUAUCAUCCGCAAACACUGCAUUUGCGGUUGGUAGCGGUUAGUGGCGUUAUAUAAUAAUCAUAGAAAUCGCUGCAAACCGUUCGGUAUUGUUUUGUACCGCUGAAAUUCAAAAGUUGCUUCCCACAAGCGUUUGCGGUUGGGGGCAGUAGCGGUUAGGUUAAUAAUAUAAAAAAUUAUGCUAGAAAAAAAAUGAAAAAUCACGUUAAAAACAAUUUAAAACCCUACUAAUUGUCUCCUAUAUAUAUAUAUAUAUAAACUCUAACCUAUCACUUUUUCUAUCAAGUUCUAGUCUCUAAUCAUGACUUCCAUACCAGUUGAAGAAAGUCUAGACACAAGUAUAAGUGCUAUAAUACUUUGGUUUAAGUGUCACUUUUUUGUUCUCUUUUCCAAUUUAUUAAAUUACUAUAAACAAUUUUGGGUGAUAUUCCCAGCAAUUGAAAUAAAAUAUAUUAUUAUAAAAUUUAUUAGUUUUUAUGAAUAAUUAUUUAGUAUAAUUUUUAUUAUUAAUUAUUUUAAACUAGUAAUUUUGAUAUUUAGCAUAAUAAUAUAGUUUUUAUGUUGUUUUAUAAUUAGAUAUGAUGUUUAUUUGAUACUUUUAUAUUUAACCGCUAAAAUAUCCGCUGAUUCGCUAGUCAAAAAUGUCCUGCAAACGGAUCCGCUUUACAAAGUUUAGCCAAUUGCUCAAAACUGUAAUCGUCCGCUUCUGUAAACUCUUAUAUUCGCAAUCGCAACUGCUGCGUUUAAACCAAUCAGACUCUUAGACUUUAGUAUUUUUUAGGAAUUUACUAAAAUGAAACAACUUAGGAAUAUAUAUAACUUACCAAGCCUUUUAACAAAAAAAAAGGGAGAUAUUUUACUAAAAGUUUAAAUUUGAUAAUAAUAUUAAUAUAUCACUGGACCAUUGUGAUAAUUAGACGGCCAUUAUAUCGUCAACACAUGGUAGGUCUAUGUAGCUUUGCCUUUCUUCUGUAAUAGAGGCUCGAAUUUUGUUUUGUUAACAGAUACGUUAUUACUGUCGUUAACAGUAAAUAUAUUAAAACGUUAUCAAUCUUUAAAAAAAAAAAAAAAAACUAUUGUAGAUAGGUUGUUGUUAAGUGCAUUUGCCCAAAAAGAAAGAAAAUGUAGAUUCGUUCCAAAAUAAACAGAAACACAAAAAACAAUUCUUCCACUUAAAAUCUAAAAAAAAAAUGCGACAUCCAUGAUUACGUAAAUUUCCUAAGUUAACAAAUAGAGAAAAAGUGGGUCUCUUAUCUAAUUACAACUGAAACAUUUAUAAAAGCAGAGAGGCUCCUCCAAAGUCCAAACAAACAAACCAAAUUCAAAACUAAAACAAAAACAAACUUCUAUCUUCUUCUUCUUCUUCACCAUCAAUGGCGACGGGAAAAACGUAUUACCCACGGCCAAGUCAUCGAUUCCUUCCCACAGAUCGAUCUCACCAAGUCGCUGUCACCGAUUCAGGAUUCGAGUUCGAUGAGUCCGAUCUAUACUCCGAUUCGCAUGAUUUUCGUAGUAAACUCUUUAAAUCCGGUCGAAUCGGAAUCAAACAAUGCGGUAGAUCGUCUCUGGUUACCGUAACAACCGCGAAGGUAGGGUCACUUCCGAUGAACGUACCGGACCAGUCGAAGAAUUGUCACAGACGCCGGACAAGCAUCGAAAUCGAUGAGGAUGGUUUAAUAGACGGAGGAGAUCGGUUAGACGGAGGAAGAUUUCCGCCACAUGAGUAUCUGGCGAGGACGAGAAUUGCUUCGUUCUCGGUGCAUGAAGGAGUUGGGAGGACAUUGAAAGGGAGAGAUCUGAGUAGGGUUAGAAAUGCAAUUUUUAAGAAGACUGGGGUUUUGGAUUAAUAUCUGAAAACUAUAAGGUUCUUUUUGGGGUUAGGUUUAAUUCUCUAUUACAGUUUUAUAAAUAACUGUUAUGCUGAAAAAAAAAAAAAAAAAACUGUUAAAAAGUGGCAUAGAUAUUUCGAGAAAUGCCCUCUUCUUUUUUUUUAUUGUAAUUUCGGAAUAUUGCAAAGCUUUGACGUUGAUGAGAUAUUUUGGGAAAUUUUUUGUGCCGGCUAAUUAAAUUCUUAAGCAGGAAGUUGAUUGUUUGGUUUAAAUUGUACAUCAAAAAUUCAAAUUGGAAAAUUCGUGCAUUACAAAUUUUGUAGGGUCAGAAACGAAUAAUAUAGGAAAUAAGGGUAAAUAGUUUAGUUAUUGGUGGGGUUUUUGGGUUGGAUGUGGGUGGGAUUGGUUAGUAAAGCAGAGGAAGUGGUUACAAUUACAUGAAAGUGACAUAUUUUUCUGAAGAAUUAUUCUCAUAUAACAAAUAAAAUAUUUUAGCGUUUUCAUGUUAAAACAAAAUUGGACCGACUUCGAGAAAAUAAUAAUUAAAAUUGUACAAAAUAUCGUAUUUCAUUAACUAAAAUUGGCUGUUUUAAGAAUUUAUUGUUCCUUAUAUCUCGACUUUUUUUUCCAAGCCAAAAUUCAAGUAAAAGAGAGACUUUUUUCUCUCUCUGUUCUCUCUCUAAAAUCUUUCACAGAGAAAAAGAGUGUUUUCUUUUUUUGUAUUUCCGAUCUAAAUCGGAUUUAUCUUUCCAACUAGUGAAUCAUGUUCAUAUAUCAUCUAGUUGGAUUAAUAAAUUUCCGUUUAACGGAUUUGGUUUGUGUGUAGAUCUUCUUAGAUCUCAUGGAAGUUCAAUUAUGAUUCAACUUCUUCAUCUUCUAGUUUCAUCUGCUCAUUUCAGCCGAGAGUUUUAUCUCUCUAAUUGUCCCCGAUAAAGAAGCCUUUCAUGGCAAAGGGAGACAGGUCAUGAAAUUUGGUGGAAUAGCGGCAACUUUAAGGAGAAGAAGAAUCUCUUAGAACUAUAGGUCUAUGAGAAGAUCAAGGUGGAAGCAAUCGGAAGGAGAUGGAGUGGUACUGAAAACUUGUUCGGAAAAUUAGCGUGCCCUUGCGGUGAAGCGCGACGACGUGAUGCUCGACGGCGAUGAUGUUAGCAACCACUUAUCUCGUUUUCAACCUAAAGCUUACACGUGUUAUAUUGUGGCUUAUCAUUAUCUUUUAGUACUUUGGAAAUAAUGAUGGGUUUGUACUGAAUUUCAAUAGGCUUCCGAUUUCCACUUGUUGUAAUUGCCCAAGCGGGCUAUCAAUAUAAGUUUGUUGACGUCAACAAAAAAAAAUUGGCUGUUUUAAGAUUUCUUGUAUGCAUUUUUUUCCUUGUUACAACUCCAUAAAUAUCGUUUGCAUAUGCAUCGUCCACGAAUGACUAUAUGCUUUAAGAUAUAUUGACAAUUUUCUCAAUUUUACAUAUAUGAUUAUGUGGAUAUUUAUUGGAAUUGAAAUGGAUUAUUUUAUAAGAUUAGAAAAUCAGAAGUUGUGGAACGGAAAAGAUGUAAUGGUUUUGUUGUUGGGGUUUACAUAGUGAAUAAUUUAAUAAGUUUAUUUUAUAUAUAUUGCUAGAGUAUCACCAUUGGAUGGAUGAUGAAACAAAAUGUGUAAUUGGUGAAUAAACAAAUUUCAGAACCUAUAUAUCCUAGGGAGUGUCUGUUUAUUCCCAUAAACUAAAACAGCCAAAAUGAUUUGAGUUAAAAAAUUUUUUUAAUGAUUUGAUUUGAGUUAUUUAAACAUUAGUUCAUUACUACAUAUCUAUUUUUUUAUAGAACUCAAAGGUUCAAGUUCUAAAGAUUUCGGUGACAGUAGGCGAUGAACGAAUAUUUCAACGUUCUUAUGUGCAUCCAAAUGUGGUACCUUGUCCCACCAAAUCUCAUCUAACAAUAUUGGAGAUAAAUGUUUUUUUUUUGGCACAAAACGAUGGUGGAUUGACUGCUAAGUGCUAACCACCGGACAUUAGACUUAACUUCCAGAUUUGAUGUGGUUUUGGCAAUAGGGAGACAUGUUUCGUACGAGCAAGCUGUUUCAUUGAAAGUGUUUGCUGACUCUAAAGACAAUAACAACAACAAUAAUAUUCAUUGUCUUUCUUUCUUGUUUGUGAAUUGGUGUGAUCUAUCUAUCAUCUUCUUUGUUGUCUCUCUCAGAGAAGAGAAAGAGAGUGACCUGUUAGAAUCUCACAUCGGAAGUUUAAAAGGACUAACACUAGUAUAUAAGGGAUUUGGACCUCUCCACUUAUCGCCAAUUUGUUUUAAGUUGGAAGUUCAUGAAACUUAACAUGGUAUCAGAGCCUCGUUUGUUGAUCCAAGAAGGGUGGCCCAAAAAAGAGUUUAUUAUCGGUCCUAAAGUGUGAUUUGGUUCGAGAUGGGCUGAUAAGAGCCAUCAUCUCGAGGAGGCGUGUUAGAAUCCCACAUCGGAAGUUUAUAAGGACUAACACUAGUAUAUAAGAGACUUGGACCUCAAUUGGUUUUAAGUUGGAAGUUCAGGAAACUUAACAUGACCAAUUAAAAUUCUGCAAAGAGUAUUCCUUACUCAUUUUUGGUUAAGUUAGGUGUUGUUUUGGGUCUUUACUUUGUAAUUUAUAUAUUGUUAUUACAUCUAUUAGUUUUCCCAAGUAUUCCCACUUUGCAGUUACAUCUCCUUACAGGUAUACUAUUCGAACAAAGUAGCUUAUAUACAAGUAUACCAUGCUUGUAUUGCUUCUACCAAUGACCGGUUCGUUAAAAUGCUUUCCUCGAGUCAAUUCGAAACCAUGUGAUAGUCGAUGUAUCAAUAUGUUGUUCUUCUGUGAAACACGAGGUUAUUCACAAUGUGUAUGGGUGCUAGUGUUGUCAUAGAAAAAAAAAGAAAAUUAGUUUUAUAAUGCCAAUUGAUUUAGAAAUUGUCUCUUUAAUGUUUUCUGAAAAAAAGUUGUCCUUAUAAUGUUUUAUUGAAAUUUUUUCCCAUUAUACCCAUUAUUUCGAAUUUUUUAAUUAAUUAAAUUUUUAUAUUAAUAAUAUUUUAUAAUUAAAAAAUAUCAGUAGAAAAGAGAUUUUACAUCCUCAUCCACACGUUCUUUUUCUUCUCCAUCGACAUCAUCGAUACAAUCUCCUCCACCUACACAGUCUUCACCGGAAAAUCAAUUUCUGGUAAAUACACAAUCAGUCUCUCCCUGAUUUCCAUGAACCACAAGUUAUAUAGAUAUGUAGUAUGUUUGAAGCAAAAGACACGUAAACCUAGAGAAAUUCUCCUGAAUCAAUGGGAAGAGGAAGAAAACGAUGAAGUCAAACAAAAAGAAGCAACUUCGUCAAAAACAAAGAGAGAAACGUGAAAAAAAGAUUUCAAAAAAAGAAAAAUCGGGAAGAUAGCUAAUUUUCCUAAAUUUUAUUAGAUUUUGGUAGCAGUUGUAUUCUACCAAUAUGUAGAACAUGGUCUAAUAAGUAGAAGAAUUAUUCUACUAGCAUGUAGAACUUGGUCUAAUAAGUAGAAGAACUGUUCUACAUUAACGUAAUACUUGGUUAAAUAUGUAGAAUUAAUGUUCUACAAUAACUUAGAACCUUGUCUAUUUGGUAGAAGUUUUAUUUUACCAACACAUAGAAUAUAGUCUACCCGAUAGAACUUGUAAUCUACCAUAACGUAGAAUAUAAAAAGGAAUGUAGAAAACGAUUUCUACAAGCUGGUAGAAAUUACAAAGAUCUAUAGAAAUGAGAUUCUACGUAGACUUAGAACGUAGAAGACGCGUUCUACCAUGCCUAGAACGAAAUUUAAAAAUAUUUUCUUUCCUUAAAUGAUAUCCAAAAAUAUUUUCCCUUCUUAUUUUGGAAUGUUCGAUAUAUAUAUUAAAUUAUUUUAAUUAUAAUUACCAUAACUGAUUUAAAAGGGUAACUAUGUCAAAAAGUGACAAAAAAAUACUAAGGGACAAUUCCUAAAUCAAUUAACAUUAUAAAACUAAUUUUCAAAAAAAAAAUGGUUGUGCUUGAUUAAUAUGAAGAUCUUAGAGCAUGAUUAACUUGGUAUCUAACAGGAUAUCUUAAGAUUUAUUUUAUAAUUUUUUAAUCAGUUGGUUUUAAAAUUUUUUAGGGAACGUCUCUUAUUUUGCGACCAUAAGAGACCGUCUCUCCCUCCACGUAGCAAUUCUUCCAAAUUUAAUAAGAAAAAAAAGGCUUAGAGAUCCAAUUAGGAUAUAUAGCGAUAAUCAUGGUCUUAAAGCAAAUUUCGCAACCAAACUACAUAAACAAGGCUUUUAUACUCUACUUCAAUAAAGGAAAUGGAAACAAUCUUAUGAUCAAUAAACAUUACAUACAAUACCAACUAACAUACCUUACGAGUUACGAGUCAUCGGCUCGAGCAUUGUUGUGGGCUAUUACAAUGUCAUCACAUAUACAAACACUGCUAGAAAAACGCCAUCAAUAAUUUUAGUUAACAAGGUAUGUUCAUGAGCAGAUUUGCAAAACCCGGCCAAAGCUUAUAUACUUUUAGAAAAGAAUCAAUGUGGCAGAGUCAGAAACUUUCUUCAUUGGAGGCAAAUGAGAAUAUAUGAUAUUAUGAGUGGGGACAUUGAUAUUAAGCUUUAAUAAAUUAUACCAAUUUUUUAAAUUCAUUGGAGGCAAAAGACCCCAACUUGUUCCAUGUAUCUCCGCCAUUAUAUGAUUGGUUUUGGUUAAAUGACUUUGAAAACUGUUGAAAACUACAAGACUCCUUUCAGAUUAAAUGUCGUUUUAAGGUUUUAAAUUUUCAUAUCAUUUUCAUGUAUUAAUAAGAGAUAUAAAGUUAUGUAAUGUAUAAGUAAAGAUAUAGAUGUAUAGUAUAAUUUUUAUUAGGUUCUUUGAACGAGUGAAAAAAUCCUUAAACAAUAUAUUUAUUAGAAAUUUCAGAUAGAAUAGACUGCUCAAAAAACAAUUAUGAUAAUUGUACAAUAUUUCAAAUGGACUCCAAUUACAUAUAAAAUUGUUUUUAAAUGAUUUUGGAUCCUUGCUAAAUACAUUAAUUUUUUUUGUUAGGUUAUCAAAGUUCCGGUGCAAAGGCACUCCCCGCACAUACUUAAAUACGGUCCUGGAUUAUAUAUAUCAAUGUAGAAAAAUUACAUGUUACAGAGAUAAACUCUUAUCAAACGUGUUUGAAAUCUGAACCCAUUUUUUGUUCAGUUGAUGCAAAAAUAUAGUUUUUGAAAAACAUGGCUCCUAAAUCUUAACUAUGUUCAGUCUAAAGAUUACGGGCCUGCUUGAUAAGAACUUUUACUUUUAAUUUUUACUAUAGAUUUUUAACUGUAAAAACUUUUGCUAUUACUUAAAAAAUUAAAAAAAAUUGUUUGGUAAUAAAUAGAUCUCAAAAACUGUAGAAAUUAACUGCUAACUUUUAAUUUACAAAAUUUUAAAUUUUUAUUUUAAGAAAUGGAUUUCAAAAGAAAACAGAAAAAAUUUUAAGAUUUAAUCAAUUAAAUUUAAUUUGGAAUUAUUUAUAUAUAAAUCUAUAAAAUUAUUUGAAUAAUUCUGCGAAGAGAAUAAAUAGAUAAAGAAAUUAAAAAUGUAUUUAUUUUUGUUAAAAAAUUUUCUAAAAGCUACUCGCACGUAGCUUUUAGAAUUUAUGACCAAAAUUAAAAAGUUUGGCUUUUAAAACUUUAAAAGUAAUCCAUGAAAUAAAAUUGUAUUUGGCAAAAAUAUGAUUUUUAAAACUAAAAUUGGUUUAACAGCCAUAAAAGCGAACGCCCUACGUAUCAGUUCAAAAACCGGUCUACACUAAACCACACCAAACCAAGCCUCUGAUCUCGUGACUGAAGAAUUAAACAACCGUGCAACUAGUCAUAAGCAGCAAAUCUAAACAUUUUAUUCGAUGCGACAAAAACAAUAAUCUUAAUUUUAUUUUUAAUUAUGUCUCCCCGAGAUUAGUUUUUUUUUUUCCUUCUUGGAUCCUUUCUAAAAAUUAUGUGAUUUUCUCAUUUGUGCCUCUCCUUCUUCACCAGCAUCAAAUUAGGGUUUUUUUUCUGCGAGUUUUUGGCGAGUGCCUUAAGAUUUUAGUGAAUUGAGUUUGGGUUUGAGAAGAGAUCUAAUUAGCUCGCUUCUUCGUCAUCAUCGUCUGUUCUCCUACUUUCUUUCACCAUGUUCUGGAAGUUGACUGCUCUCUCUGCUGCUUCUCCGGUGAGUAGGAACUUUUCUACGCAUGAAUUGGGAUUGUUUGCGUCUUAAUUUCACAGUUUUCUCUGAACUCUUCGUGUUCUAAAUCGCUUGCCCCUUUCUUAUCUGCUUCGUUCGUACGCGAAACUGAAGAUGCUGAGAAAUGUUUGAGAUUUCGUUAAUUUUCUGAACUGAUGAUGUUCGUCAGCUAUAAUCGUUAAUUGAUGAUUUCUUCUCUGUGGCAUGCUUGUAAAUGAUAAUAUAUGGGAGUCAAUUGUUUAUCCCCGAUAUUGCGUCUGGAUUUCAGAUGACAUUUACUGAUUCAAAUUCGUUGUUUUUUUUUUCCGAGAAUGUUUUGUCAUGUUAACUUCUUGAUGCGUUUCAAGAUUUUUGCUUUCGAAUAGCUUAAUAGUCCUCGUGAUGUCUGAUUUGGGUCUUCGAUGUUGAAUAUUAUGGUGGGAGACUGGGAGCUAGAAUAUCCGAUUUUUUUUCAGUAUAUUUCAUUUCUUGUGACGUUUUGAGGGAAAUAGUAUCAUACGUAUUUGCAAUUUCUCGGAAGCUGUUUAAGUAGUUUAGAGAAGAGAGAAAUCAGAUAAGGAACACUGUUGUUGCAAUGAAUCGGCAGUUCUUAUCGAGUUCUUCCUCUCGGUUUCCUUAUCUCUUACUUGCGAUUGACAGGUCGAAUCCAUAUUAGACAAGGAAGAUUUCACUUUGGAAGAACUCCUGGAUGAGGAAGACAUAAUCCAAGAAUGCAGAGCUUUGAACAGCCGGCUCAUAAAUUUGUAAUUCAUUUAGGCGUUGUCCUUGUAGUUAUGUGUAGAUUUGUUACAUCUUCGUUUGUACUAUGACAUGUGUCUUCUCUCUAUAUUAACCAUUCUUGAAAAGAUUGAAGAAGCCAGCAGAUAUUGUGCAAAAGUAGAUAGAAUCACUGCAUACUUCCUUUUGUUAUAUUUUUGCAGGAUAACCCUGUGUAUACAAUGGAAGUUUUAGUUUCUCGUAGUCGUAGAAGGGUUGCGAUGUUGGCCUUUUAUGCUUUUUGUUUUGUAUGCUCAUUUGCAGUUUGAGAGAAAGAGCCCAAGUGGAACAGUUAUUACGUUUUAUUGUUGAAGAAUCUCCUGAAGAUGCUGAUAGCAAGCGUGCUUUCAAGUAUGUGCAUUGUGUUUUUUAGAGAUAACUUACCUAACCUUUGCUGAUGAACUUUUUUCCAGAUGUAUUGAAGGCCUGAUUUGGAAUAUUUCUGCUGACUAUUUUGAACUAAGAUUGAUUAACCUUAAAGCAUGUUUCUCUAUUAGGUUUCCUUUCAUCUCCUCUGAAGUCUUGACUUGUGAGAUUGAUGUUAUUCUUAAGACUUUAGUGGAGGAGGAGGAGGUAUUGUACUACUUUCCUUCUUCCUUAAUUAUGAUGAAUGUUUUUGACUUUGAUGUUCCUUUCACUGGUCUCAUUUGAUGAUUUAUUCUUCCUGUUGCAGCUGAUGAACCUACUUUUCUCCUUUCUGGAGCCAAACCGUUCCCACAGCGUAAUGCUUGCUGGGUAUUUCAGCAAGGUAAUGUUUUCGUUGUACACUUUAUUUUAAAACAUUAGUUCUAGUAGUUUCUAAAUUUUAUGCCUCCACAUGUUUAUUACUUACCAACAAUGUAUCUUAUCUCUUUUGGGUAUAGGUUGUCAUUUGCCUCAUGUUGAGGAAGACGGUCCCGCUGAUGAACUAUGUAAAAGUGAGUUAUAUUUUGAUGUAUUAUGAAAUUCUUUCAAAUAGCACGGAAAGCAUGCUUAGUUCUGUGUGGCCGAAAGCAUAUUAAGCUGGAUGUUCCUUCUGUCCUUGUGAUUUUAUGUGCCCUAUAUUUCUUUUUCUUACCUAUGGUUAUUGAUAAUUAUACUUGGUUGAUAUAAGUUACAUUGUGAUCGUAGGUAGAAACUCCUUGAAUAGUUCAACAUGUGAUUUAGACGCACCUUUUCUUUGGAACUUGUUGCUUAGUGAGUUAUUGUCAAUCGAUUGAAAAGUAGUAAUUAAUGUUUACAAUACCAUCUACAGGCCCAUCAGAAUGUUUUCCAGCAACUGGUUGAUUUGAUAGGGAUUACGUCCAUUAUGGAGGUAAACCGUCCCUCUCCUCUUAUCCUUAUAUUUGAUCUGGUAAUCACUUUUAAGCUAAUGUUCAUGUGAUUUAUCUAGGUCCUAAUUCGGUUGGUUGGUGCGGAUGAUCAUGUGUAUCCCAACCACCUCGAUGUGAUGCAAUGGUUAGCUGAUAGCAAUCUGCUUGAAAUGAUCGUGGACAAGCUAGGUCCAUCAGUAAGUUUAAUUAUUAAAAAUUGUCUCUAUCUCCUUCAUUUUGCUAUAAAGUUUUGAAUAUAGGAAGCAUGGGCUUUUUGAGCUACUUUGUGUUGUUCUCUUCUAUGUUAUAAUAAAAUGUGGGAUCGGUUGGUUCUUCAUGUGGCUAGGCUGCUAGUUUUGGAGCUACUGAAAGUCGCGUUUUCUUAGAUUUAUAAGAUAAAUAGAGGAUAGAUAGAGAGACUCUCCUGUGCAUGAACAUCUAUAUAUUAUCAUCUUCUGAAUGUCUCAAUGGAGUGAAGAGAACCUUCGCUGUAGUGGUUAUUGUUUCAGUCAAACAACAGAACUUGUAAUUUCUAAUAUGAUCAGUUCUGAUGUGAAGUUGCUGACAUAUUUUUUCUUCGAUUUCUGUUUCUAUCAGAAUUCUCUCGAAGUUCAUGCAAAUGCUGCUGAAACACUGUGCACUAUUGCUCAAAAUGCACCAUCACCUUUGGCUACGAAACUCUCUAGUUCAAGGUUUGCAGGACGUUUUAUCCUCUUAGAUAUGCAGAAACAUAUUUUGUAUUCAAUAUAAUUUCAGUGAUCUUUUUGUCUUCAGUUUUGUUGCAAGGAUAUUUGGUCAUGCUUUCGGAGAUCCCCAGUGCAAAUCUAGCCUUGUCCACACACUUUCGGUGUGCAUUUCGUUGUUAAGCCCAAGAAGAUCUCUAGUUUCUUCUCCGUUUAUGUAUUCAUUCAGGGGCCAACAGAUCUUUGAGUCUCCAAUUUCUGUGAAUCCGGAGACUAUUGCCACCAUGCUGCCUAGACUUGGUUAGUAUAACACAAAUGACCCGUUAUGUUCUAUAGAUGUGAGCAUAUUCGUUUCGUGUUUUUCCUGCUGAUGAUUUUUUUUUUUUUUUUUUUUUUUUUUUUUUUUUUUAAAUCUUAACACUAUAUUACUUCUUUUGCUGAUUGCUAGGAGCCAAUUCUAUGUUUUUUGUUUGGUUCAUCCUAACAUCUGUUAACUUCUUAUACUGUUCGAAGGUGACCAUGCAUGUUUGCACAACGAUGAAAAUCAUGUAGUUUUAUUAUUUGGUUGCUGCAAUCUCUCGUUUGAUGUCAUUCCACUUUCCUAUUAGUAGCUUCUGGGGAUAUGCUUUCUUCUUUUUAGCCUGAUGGAUUUGAGCUCUCAUUCUUGUUGAAUGUAUUAGAAUAUGGCUCCUUGACUUUUUGACCACGUAUCUCUGUACUUUCUUUAAAGGUUUUAUAUCUCUGGUGUAGGUGACUUUGUCACACUUUUAAACGUGACCUCUGAUGAAAAGGUUUUACCUACAACCUAUGGGCAGUUGAGGCCUCCUCUUGGUAGUCAUCGUCUGAAGGUCAGGUUUCAUUCUGAAAUUUUGGUUUUUGUUAACUGGAAGUUCUGAUUAUUAAAUGGACCCAGCAUCAGAUCUUGCAAUUAAACAUGUACAUCUCUGCCCAAUUAUAUUCUUCUGAAUUUCUUUGUGUUGCUGAUGGCUUGUCUUAGAUUGUGGAGUUCAUUGCUGUCUUGUUGAAAACACGAAGCGAAGCUACAGGAAAAGAACUAGCCAGCUCAGGAGCUAUAAGAAGAGUCCUUGAUCUGUUCUUCGAGUAAAUACUUCUUCCCGGAUUGAUGACAAAUUCUUGGUUUGUUUGGUAAUUCACAUGUCUAUUUUUUGCUUGGCUAAAUCCGACUUUUCAGUUCUAUUUUUUUUUUUUCUCUUAUGCAGGUACCCAUAUAAUAAUGCACUGCACCAUCAGGUGGAGAGUAUUAUAGUAUCGUGUUUGGAGAGCAAAAAUGAAGAGAUUAUUGACCAUCUUCUCCGCGAGUGUGAUUUGAUUGGAAAAAUUCUUAAAACAGAGAAACAGCCAAUCCUUUCUGGUGAUAACCAGGUAUGAACUGUUUCGCUCAUGCUUAUUGUUUUGCGUACAUUCUGGUAAAUAUUCAGAAAAUAAUGUCUGAAACAGUUCGCCAUAUACAGAAAUUAAUUUUCCAGUUCUGUGAAACAAAAUGUGGAACACCAGAUUGUGGUUUGCAAAGAAAUUAUGUUCUAGUUAGAUUCACUUUUCUUACGGAUUUGAUUGAUUUUGAUAUCAUGCAGCCAACAAUACCUGCUACUGGAAAGCAGGCUCCACGGGUGGGAAAUAUCGGCCACAUCUCAAGAAUUUCAAACAAACUUAUUCAGCUGUCAACUAACAGUAACCUGAUAAAGACUUUACUUGAGGUUCGUUUUUCAGCACUAGUAACAUUUUAUUGCAGCAAUUAUUGCAGAUUUACUGAAUUUUACACAUAUAACUGUUAAAUGACUGCUCGUUGGUGUUUGUGUAUAUAUCUAUUUGCUUGCAUCUGUUGUACCACUCUGUUAUCUGUACUCGUGGGAGUCAACCAGCGUAAAUCACUUGGAUUUUUGCAUACCCAUCAAGAUGUAUCCAUAAUGAAAUAUCCCACGUCGAAUCUUGUGUACAAAUGUUUGCAUUUUGUUUGGUAAGAACAACUUUUUGAGGCGUACCGUUUCCUUUGCUAGGAACAUAACGAAUGGGGCGAGUGGGAAGCUAAUGUGUUGCAUGAUCGAAACACAGCUGAGAAUGUUUAUCGCUGGGUUUGCGGGUAUGCCUCGUCUCAAACCUUUUAAGUCUUCCUGUCACACCUAUUUAUGCAAUGAUCAGGGGUGCAAUUAUUUUUGUUUUUGCAAGGUUGUCUUAGAAAAAGCAUAGAGCUAUCAUACCUAGUACAAUUAGAUAUGAUAACUCUAUGUAUAAUCGUUUAUUUUGUUUCUUGAUAAUAAUCACUUGGCUUCUUUCGCAUGCAGACGCCCGACUGCAUUACAUGAUAGGACUAGGGACAGUGACGAUGAUGAAGCUCACGACAGGGAUUAUGAUCUUGCUGGUUUAGCUAAUAACUUGAACCAGUUCAGAUACAACAUGCAAGAGAACAAUGGUGCUGGGGAGGUAACUGUUAGUCUCUCUGAUUCGUUUUUCGUAAAAAUUUGGCUGAAUCUAAAUUUCAUGUUUCUGGUUCCAGGAACAUGGUUCCAAUGAAAGAGACGAAGAGGUAUUCAUUAUAAAAUAUAUUCAAUGUUUUAUAUUUGAAGAAAACACUGUCUAGGGUAGUCCUGACUGUAACAAAUUUUCUAGGAUGUCUACUUUGAUGACGAAUCUGCUGAAGUUGUUAUAUCAUCUCUAAGGCUUGGUGAUGAACAGGCGAAGUAAGCUUCCAAAUUCGAUUUAUACAACUCAAAUAUCUGAUUUAAAAGAAAGAACAAAAAUAGAAUUAUGGCUUUUAAAACCAAUUUAAUUGUUUUUUCUUUUUCUUGGUGCAGCAAUUUAUUCACAAACUCGAACUGGUUCACGUUCCAAGGAGAUGAAUUGGGUGAAAACACAGGAACAGGGGAGAUUCCUUCAGAGGAAGCUAUGGAAGAUGUAAGCUUGAAUGAAACUUCCGGUGGUGGAGAUGAUGAAGAAGAAGAAGAAAAAGAAGACGAAGAAGAAGAAGACGGUUUGAUUACAGAAACCAAGAACCCUUUCUUAGACACAGCCUCAACCUCAGAGCCAGUUUCUGUAGAAACCCUACCUGGAGAUAUCGAGAUUGACGAAGAAGAUGUGGUUUCAGAUGAAUUGUCACCGGAAUGGGCUAAGCGUGGAGAUUCUUCUUCAUCAGCUGCACAGGUCAAAGAUCAGGAAAACGACACGAAGAUGCCUGAUGUUAGAAUCCCAAACGGUUCUUCAUCCUCGGAAGGCGAGAUUAGCCCGAGAUCACCGCCUGUGCCUUCGUUGUUUGGCAAAGACGUCGAGUUCGUAGGCGUGGAGCCAGAAGGAACCGAAAGAGCGAUGGAACAAGCUCUCAAGGAAGGGAUAGUGGGAGAAGCAGGGCCAAUGAAGAGGAACAGUGCCGCCACAGCCUCACCGGGUAAAGAGAGCUCUGAUGAGAAUAUGCAGCAGGAGUAUAACGAUACUAACUACUGGAAAGUUGAUCAGGAGGUGGCUGUGGUUGAAUGAAUGUGAUGUGACGUGGCAUAUCGUUGUCUGAAAGCUGACGUGAAAACUGAAGUGGCACAUUGAUGUCUGAAUGAUUCCCGAGUUGAAAGGGAAGAGAAACUCAAGGAAGGUACUUGUGAAUGUACAGUACUACUAAAGUCAUUGUCUCUUUUUGUGUUUUGGAAUAUUUUCAACAAGUGAACUGAUUUGUUCGUUUAGGGUUCUCUUACAAAAUUUGGAUGCUUUUGCUAUAUGUCUGUCAAGGAUCUAUUUUACUUACUUUGAUAUCACUUUUUUAUUUCUUUUGGUACGUUUUGAUAUAUUUGAUUAAAAUUGGGACUGUUGUUGUAAAAACUUUCGUGAUGUUCUUGGGUAAUAAAAACUCUGAAUUUUAAUGUCUGCGGAUGAUUUUGAAGCUUGGUAAUAAUUUAUUUCAAUUGUGUUUCAUACACAGGUAAAAAAGGAAACAAUAAAGAAAACACGUUAAACGUUAAAAUUACUUUUCAAGGAAAAAGAAAGGAAAUACAACAACAAUAGAUGAACGUUAAAAAGUGCUUUUAAUAAGAGAAUGAAAAAAAGGAAAUAACUACAAUGAAAAAAAGGAAAGAUGGUUGCAUUUACGCGUAUAGUAAUUAGUAAUAAUAAAUUAUUACGAAAAAACUAAAAUCUAACCGUUACUCAAAUUGAAAUAAACCUUGUCCUAUAAAUACAUGAACAUACCCAUCAAAUCCUCCACAAUUUAGUUUUCCACAACAAUCUCUUACGUCUCUCUCUUCUUCGAUUUUCUCUCUGUUUCUGUUGAAUUUUUUCAGAGAAUGGAAACUGCAGCAGUAAGUGUAGAUGUGUUCGCAAGGGCUUUUUCUCAGGAUCCAUCUCUAGGGUUCUUAAGCACUGCGGUAAUUUCUCUAAACCGUGAAUUCGAGGAGUUUCUCGUAGACGAAAACGGUGGUAACGUCUCAUCUCUCGGAUCAUACCCUGCUUCUAAUUCUCGUCCCGACCGAGAAAUCUCUCUGAAACUCCAGAAUUUCACACCGAACCAUAUCUACAAACAUCUCCAGAAUCGAUUUCACGAUCAUGUUUUGUCCCGACAAAUAUGUGAUCGGAUGGUUGUCGAAGCCGAGAAGCAAAGUCAAAGUGUUCCCUUGUCCAUGGUGGUCUCUGUGAAACUGACUCAGAAAGUUUUCAUCGUCGUGCCUUGUAAUUCAACGACAGAUUUUGAAACAGAGAGUUGUGUUAUAUGUUUUGAGAAUCUGUCCGAGUCAGAAUCGGAGACUAAACCCAUAUGCGAGUUACCUAAUUGUCCUCAUCGUUUUCAUGAAGAAUGUUUCUUGGAGUGGUACUUAGAUCGACAAAACAAUUCAUGCCCUCUCUGUCGCCAAUCUAUUUACUAAAGUACAAGCAGAGCCGUGUCUAUGUUAUGGAUUAGGGAACAUGUUGAAGUAAAAUCAAAUCUCGUUUUUGCAAUGUCACAUUUGUAUUAGUUAUUACUUAAGAGUCAAAAAUUGUCUUUUCCUAAAGUUGUGUCUUUUCAAUUAAGAGUCAAAAAUUGUCUUUUCCUAGCGUAACAAGCAGGGCCUUGUUUAUGUUAUGGAUUGGGAAACAUGUUGAAGUAUGAUCAAAUCUCGUUAUUGCAUUAUAGUUUUGGUUUUGUAUAAGUAUAGAUCGAGUCAGUUUUUUGUAAUGACAAGUCAGAGAAUAAUACAAUUAAGUUUGAUUACAUUCAUAUUCUGUAUUUCCUUCUUUUUCUUCAUAACCGUAAAACACCAAAUACAAAACACCAACAAAAUUUGUAUGUUGUUAUUUUUUAGUGAUCAUGAUCUUAUUUUUUAUCUUUUAUUUUAAUCAAACAUUAUAUUAUAAAAUUAGGUUUUUAAAAGAAAAUAACCUGAAAAAAAUAAAUUAAGCAAAAACUACAUCGUCCAAAAUCUACUACCAAAUUUAUUCAAAGUAAAUUAAAAAUUAUAUAUUAUAAAUUAUAAUUUGAGAUCAUAUAUUGACAAGUUCAUAUUCAAAUUUCAAAGGUAGGCUAGUUUUGGUCUGACCAGUUUUUUUAUAAUUUGAGAUUACCUAUAUAUUGAUCAGGUUGUUGGAGGAAAUCUUCAUAAAUAGGUUUAAGCAGUCUAUUCAAGAUCAAGUGAUCCGGUACAGACCAGUGGGGAUUGAUGAGUUAGUAGACACCGCGUUGAUCAUAGAGGAGCAGGAGAGUCGUGAUGAGAAGGAAAAGGAGUGGGAGCACCGGGAUCGGUUUAAGCCAACGUUUCAGAGGGUUAAAUCAGCUCCAGCGUUACACUAUAGCUUUCGUUUCUCGGGAUCAAACUCUCACCGAUCACCCGAGAAAAGGAGUUCGGAGGGUAACUAUAAAAGCAGGCCCAAUGUUUCCGAUAAGAAGAAGGGAGAGUGCUGGAAGUGUGGGGAUAAAUGGAGCCCAACGCACAAGUACAAGGGUAAGGAAUUCAAGUACCUGGCGGUCAACGAAGAAGGAGAGAUCGAAGGGGAGCUUGGGAAUGACCUAGAGGAUCAAGAGGAGGACUCGGCUAACGACGAAAUGAAAGAACUCUUGGUGUUGUCCUUGCAGUCUAUGUCAGGGUUGACACCAGGGAGGUCGAUGAGGCUUAAAGGGGUGGUUGCAGGACAAGAGUUGAUCGUGUUUAUCAACUCAGGAGCAACGAGCAAUUUCAUUUCCUCGGAAGUGGCUAAGAGGUGUGGAUUAAAGGUUCAGAAGACGCGAGGGUUCGGAGUCUCCAUCGGCGAUGGACAGAUCAUUCCAAGUGAGGGCAAGUGCAAACGAGUGCCAUUGCAAAUUCAAGAGGUAAACGUUCUCGCUGACUUCUUGAUAUUCGAACUGGGAACUACGGAUUUAGUACUUGGAUAUGCCUGGUUGGAAACUCUGGGGGAGAAAAAGAACAACUGGAAGUGUCAUACUAUGAUCCUAAUGCACGAGGGAAGAUGGGUCAUGCUGGUUGGGGAUCCAUCGUUGGUAAGGUCACAAGUUUCUUUGAACUCGAUUGAGAAGGUAGUGCAGGAUGCGGGAGAGGCGUAUCUGUUAGAUUUUUUCACCUUGUUUGAAGGAGAUGUCAAGGGGGCAACCUGUACACAGGAUACGGAGGUCCUCAAAGUAGUAGAGAAGCAUAAGGGAGUAUUCCAAAUGCCUGCGGAUUUGCCACCACAGCGUAACAGGGAGCAUGCUAUUACCCUAAAAGAAGGUGCAACACCAGUCAACCUGAGACCUUAUCGAUACACCUUCAUACAAAAGGAUGAGAACGAGAAGUUAAUUCGGGAAAUACUACAAGCGCGGAUAAUACAACCGAGUAUUAGUCUCUACUCGAGUCCGGUGUUAUUGGUGCAAAAGAAGGAUGAGGGAUGGCGUUUCUGCAUUGAUUACAGGGUGUUGAACAAGCUUACGGUACCCAAUACCAGUUAUUGAGGAAUUGUUGUAUGAGUUUCAGAGAGCAACAAUCUUCUCCAAACUGCAUUUGAAGUCGCGGUAUCACCAGAUAAGAGUUCAGAAGGACGAUGUGAAGAAGACGAUCUUCAGGACACACGAGGGACAUUAUGAGUUCCUCGUGAUGCCUUUUGGGCUUACAAACGCCCCAGCCACUUUCCAGUCAGUGAUGAACAACAUUUUUUGGGAGUAUUUGCGGAAGUUUGUGCUCGUGUUCUUCGAUGAUAUUCUCAUCUAUAGCACCAGCAAGGAGGAUCACUUGAGGCAUUUAUAGUUGGUUCUGAAGAAGUUGAAGCAGCACCAAUUCUAUGCGAACAAGAAGAAGUGUGCAUUUGGGAAGAAGCAAAUAUCGUACUUGGGCCAUAUCAUUUCGGGUAAGGGGGUAGCAGCUGAUUCAGUGAAGAUAGCUGCUAUGAGUGCUUAGCCUGAGCCGCAGAAUAUCACAGAGCUGAUGGGUUUCUUGGGGCUAACGGGUUACUACCGGCGUUUUGUUCGGGAUUAUGGGAAAAUUGCGAGACCGUUAACUGAGUUACUACAGAAGAAUGAGUUCAAAUGGAGCUCUCACGCGACAGAGGCUUUUCAGCAGUUGAAACAGGCAAUGACUUCUUUGCCUAUUCUGGCAUUGCCGGAUUUCAAGGCGCCUUUUACGGUGGAAACUGAAGCGUCUGGUAAUGGGGUAGGGGCAGUGUUGUCUCAAGCCAACAGACUAAUCGCGUUCUUCAGUCAAGGAUUCACGUAGAAGGGAAAGAUGAAGUCGGUGUAUGAGCGUGAGUUACUUGCCAUAGUCUUGGCGGUCCAGCACUGGCGCCACUACCUUGCGUGCCAACCUUUUACCAUCAGGACUGACCAGAAAAGUUUGAAGCACCUGUUGGAACAAAGGUUUGUUACCAAGGAGCAGCAGAAGUAGGCAACAAAGCUGCUGGGGCUGGAUUUUGUUAUUGAAUACAAACCGGAAAAAGAGAACAGAGUGGCGGAUGCACUUUCGAGGAAGGUUAAACCCGUUCAGUUGUUGGAAUUGAUUUUCUCAGCACCUCUUUCGCUUGACAUGGUGGCGUUGAAGGACCAAGUAAGUAGAGAUGCGAUGCUGCAGAAGAUAGUGUCGGGGUUACAGCAAGGUUCCUCACAGGAUUCACGAUACACUCUAAAAGACGGUGUGUUGUACAGAGACAAUUGUGUGGUGUUACCAUCUGGAUCUCCCUUCAUUUCAAUAUUGUUGCAGCAGUUUCAUUCUAGUAGUACUGGGGGUCAUGAAGGGCAGCUGAAGACGUACAAAAGGUUAAGUAGGGAGGUCUACUGGAGGGGAAUGAAAAAGGAUGUGGUGUGUCAUUGAGCAAUGCCAUACCUACCAGCAGAAUAAGUACUCGACUCUCAGUCCGGCUGGUUUGCUGAACCCCUUACCUGUUCCGAAACACGUUUGGGCUGACAUCACUAUGGAUUUUAUAGAGAGAUUGCCGAGGUCAUUGGGGUAUAACUCGAUUCUUAUUGUUGUUGUCAGGCUGAGCAAGUUCAGCCACUUCAUCAAACUGUCUCACCCUUUUACUGCGAGGGAUGUGGCGGAGAAGUUCAUCUCUGAAGUGGUGCGCUUACACGGGUUCCCAGAGUCCAUUGUGUCCGAUCGAGAAAAGGUUUUUCUCAGUAAUUUUUGGGUUGCUAUGUUCAAGUCUCAAGGCACGUUCUUGCGCAGGAGCUCAGCCUACCAUCCGGAGACAGAUGAGCAACAGAGGUCAUGAAUAGGUGUCUCGAGACCUAUUUACGGUGUUUUGCUGGACAAAAGUCGAAGACUUGGGCAAAAUGGCUUCCUUGGGCAGAGUAUUGGUACAAUACCUCCCAUCACUCUGCCAUUGGAAUGACGCCAUUCAAGGCCUUGUAUGGUCGAGAUCCGCCGAAGCUCUUACGGUUCCAAGACACCCCGACUAACAAUGCCACGGUGGAGGAGAUACUUAGGGAUCGGGAUGCCCUGUUGGAAGAGUUGCAACCCCACAUCAUCCUGAAGGCUCAGCAACGCAUGAAGAAGGCUGCUGAUAAGCAUCAACGAGACCUGGAGUUUGCUGUGGGAGAUUGGGUAUAUGUCAAACUCUGACCGUACAAGCAGAAAUCAGUAGCUGUUCAUCUUAAUGAGAAGCUUGCACCGCGGUUAUUUAGACCCUAUGAGAUCUUGAAACGCAUUGGACCAGCUGCACAUCAUUUGAGGCUCCCAACUGGUAGCUCAAUCCAUCCAGUAUUUCAUAUUUCCCAGCUUAAGAAGGCGGUUCCUGCUGCGUACACAGCGCAGCCCAUACCACAAGCUCUACAGGCAAACUUGGAGUGGAUGGCAGAGCCUAAGGCGAUCACGGCUAUACGCCGCGUAAUAGACGGUUCGAAGGCAGAUGUGUUGGUGGAGUGAGAAGGAUUGCCUGACUUCGAAGCAACAUGGGAGUUAGCUGAUAAGAUCCAUGAGCAGUUUCCUCACUUCCACCUUUAGGUGGCUCAUUUACAGGGGAGUAUUGAUAAGCUUGGAGUACCCUUGGCAUUGAUGAGGAAGAAAGCCAGAGAUUCGAAGAGAAGAAGCAAGUAUGGGAGUCGUCAAAGUGGCUAAGCAGGAGAAGAAAUAUGGAAGACGAGAGGCUUUGUCUCAUUUAGAGUAUUUUUUUAUGUUGAGUAAUAAUGUGAGUGAUGUGUAUUUUGUUGGUCAGUGUAGAGACUAUUUAAGCUAAACCUUAUCUUGUAAAACAUUUAUCUUUGAUCACCUAAGAUUACAGAGGCUAGGUUUGUCCUCAAUGUCAAACCAUUUCUCUACUCUUUCAGUGUCUUUCUUCUCUAAUCUCUUUUCUAUUCUUAAUCAUCAAGGUUAAUCCAUUUUAGUAUUAACAUUUUUCUUCAGUAAAAAACCAAAAGCUUAAUCCUCGGUUGUCCUCUCUCUCUUAUAUACUCCAUGAAUCUUCAAUAGAUAGAAUAUUUAUUUUCUUAUGCAUAUAUCUUCAGCUCAUUCUAUCCAGUGCCGGCUCUUGGCAUGUGCUAGCGGUGUUGUUGCACUGGUUCAAAAUGUUUUUUGCAAAUUUUAGUGAAGAUUUUUGGGUCAUUUUUGAAAAUUUCAAAAUGUUUUUGAAAAAUUCUACAUAUUAUAUCUACAAAAUCAAAUUAUUGUACAAUGCCCAUUUAAAGUAUGAACCGGACUUAUUCUAUCGAUAUUUUUUCACCACCACGUCAGAAUCUUCUUGUUCCACUCAAAAUUUGCCAUGUCACCACAUCUACUUAGCUUCACAAUACUAUGUUCAAGAUGCAGUUCUCUGUUGCUUUCAGAAGAUAGAACACAUCCAUUACAGAUUCAAGAAGAAAGUGUUUACUUUAGUCUCUUUAGCUCGUGUAAGCAACUUCAAACAAUCAAACAUUUUGUAUUUUUGUUAUAUUAUCGAUUUUCAUCAUAAUUAUACCCCAUUCAUGGGUUUCGAUAUUUAACUCUUGGGCCCAUGGAUCACAAGCCCAUUUCAGAAUCUCAGAACUAUUGGUUAAAACAGAAUUAUAGAAAAGUAGACCUCUCUUAGCUUUAUAUGUUCGAAAGUCUCUCGAAACUCGAAUAAAAAAAACAUUCUUCCACAAUUCAAUUGGAGACGAGAAGAGAGAGAGAAUCUAGAGAGAAGAUGAUAGAGGUGGUGCUUAACGAUCGUCUGGGAAAAAAGGUGAGGGUGAAGUGCAACGAAGACGACACAAUCGGAGAUCUGAAGAAGCUCGUGGCGGCGCAAACCGGAACCCG